RNAcentral lists this long non-coding RNA (100732 nucleotides) under Lotus japonicus. RNAcentral describes it as "long non-coding RNA (LJAP_LNC001540)". Lineage: Eukaryota; Viridiplantae; Streptophyta; Magnoliopsida; Fabales; Fabaceae. The record is from RNAcentral.
AUUUUUCUCCUGCUAUCAUCAACCAAACCCUUGGAAGAAGUGUGGUUGAAUUUGUUGAAGAAGAACUUUCUCUGGAUACGGUUGCUGAGGAAUUGACUGCUGGAAGAGUCAAGAAGUGGCCUGCUAAGAAGCUUCUAUCAACUGGGGUUCUGAGUGUGAAGUAUGCUAUUUUGAAUAGGAUUGGAGUGGUGAAUUGGGUUCCCUCUAACCAUACUUCUGCUGUUUCUGCUAUGCUUGCCAAGCUUCUCUAUCGCAUUGGGACUGAAAUUGCUUAUGACUUUGGCAACUUUGUGUUUUACCAAACUUUGAAGCAUGCAGAGACAUGUGCUGUGAAACUCCCCAUCUCCUUUCCUUCUUUACUGACUGCUAUCAUUCUGAAACAACAUCCUAAUAUCCUCACUGUUGAUGAUGUUCCUGUGCCUAAAGGCCCUCCCAUCACCUUGGACCAACGGUUGUUCCUGGACCCUCAUGUCCUGGACAUUGAUCUGCCAUCCAGUAGGACAUCUGUUCCUGCCUCUAUGUCUGCCUCAGGCACUCACAGUGUCAUUGCUGAACUUGAGGCCAUUUCCAAGGAACUUCAAGAGACGAUCAGGAUUGCUGCUGCUAGGAAGAUUAAGGUGGAUGCUCUCAUUCAAACUCUCCAGGGGGAAGCUGGUCAAGAGGGUGAGCAUGCCGCUGAUGCUGAGAGGGAAGGAUCUGCAGAAAAUGAUGAGGAACACUCCUCUUCUUCUGGUGUUUAGUGCAUCUCCUAGUUGAUUUUUAGUUGGCCUUGGUUAAAUUCUUUCCAUCUUUGCCAAAUUUGUGCUAAAAAGGGGGAGUAGUAGUAGAGUAGUAGUGUGUUGUGGUUUGUUUUUUUUUUGAAGACUUGGUAUUCUGGUUAUGUUAUGUAAUAAGUAUGCAGCUUUGUCAAGACAAGACCAGUUCAGGAGAUAUUUUAUGUUCAAGUGUUCAAGUGCUACAAGCUAGCUUCUGUUCAAGUAUUACCAAGUGUGCUUGUUGGAGAUAUUUUAUGUUCAAGUGUUCAAGUGCUACAAGCUAGCUUCUGUUCAAGUAUUACCAAGUGUGCUUGUUUAGUUUGUACUAUGUUGCAUAUGGGUUCUAUAUACUUUAUGCAGUGUUUAUUUGGAUGCAUCUUUUGAGGGGGAGUUCCUCCAUGUUUUGGCUGUUGUUGAUGCAUUGGUUUGAGGGGGAGUAUUUCUGCUGCUGACUCUGAUGAUUUUGAUAUUUUUUCCCUCUCUGGUAGUGAAGUUGUUUUUAGUCAAAAUUUGACAAAGGGGGAGAUUGUUGUUCCUUUGUUGUCAUCAAUUUUGUUAAAAACAACCUGAUGUCCUAGCCGAUGUUGUGACAUUUGCCUUGAUGAAGGCCAGGACAUCCGCCCCUGCUGGCAUGCAAGUGGGUCCCUUGUGGUUAUGCUUUAUGGUAUGAUCUGUGCUUACUUGAAGGUCAAGUAACUGUGUGUUGGGAGCCAGUUGCGGGUUGUUUUUGUUGAAGCAAAUCUGUGAUUAAAAAGAUUUGUUUCUAUUUUUACUUGUUGAUCACUCAUAUCAGAUCUUGAAAGAUUCUCUACUGAUAUGAGUUGGAUCAAAGUGUUCUUCAGCCCAAAUAAACCCUAGCCGCCUCUGCUGAAGUAUAUAUUGACAAAGACCUGAAGCUUGAAGUUGAUGGAGAGAAUCACCUUGAAGUUCAAGUGUUCUUAAGAGUGUAAGUUGUUCUUUGUCUUUGUUAGUUGUGAACUCGUCUUGCUCACUGAUUCUAUAAAGUGAGACUGAGUUCUGUGUUGUGUUUGAGUGUCAAACAAACUCUGUGUUAUUGUUGUUCACUAAUCAAUGUGGCAGUGAUUGAGGAAAAGUGAGAGGGGCUCUCAUACUUAGGCUGUGGUUCUAAGUAGAAUACCACUGGGUAGAUUAGGUUAAGAACAAUGAACUUGAUGUGUUCAUGUGUGUCUGUAAUACCUAGUUCUUGAGAUAGUGGAAUUCCUUUUCAUUGGGCGAAAGCUAACCAGACGUAGGUGUAGUUUCACCGAACUGGGUUAACAACUUCCUGUGUCUUGUUUCCUUUUAGUUGUUUGUUGUUUUGUGUUUAGGUCUUUCAGUAGUAUGAUGUUCUAAUCGAUUGUCCCAGCAUCGUGCAGGACAUUUGUUCUAAGGGAUCUAGAAUUUCAAACCCAUUACAAACUGAUAAAGGAACGAGAUUUUUUUACAUGACUAGUGCAACUUUCAAAUAAAUUUACCAAACUAGUGCAACUUUUGAUUUAAUUACAAAAAUAGUGUUAAUCGCCACUUGAAGUGGCGAUAUCUCUUUUUUUUUUUCUUUUUUUUUAUGAAAUCGUCACUAGCAGUGGCGACACAAUUUUUUUUUUUGACUUUGUUUAAUAGUGACGGAAAAUUGUCCGUCACAAGCUCUGUCGCUAAAAUUUUUGUGACGGAAGUAUCUAUACUUCAAUUUCCGUCGCUAAGUUCUUUUUCAUUGUUCACUAGGAUUUUGAGAUGAAAUAUACUUCAUCGCAAACAGAAUUCCGUCGCUAGAAACUUUGUGACGGACGCUAUCUUUCUUCACAUUCCGUCACUAAUAUCUUUUAUAUUAAAUAUUAGGAUUUUGUGACGGAUACGAUUCCGUCACUAACUUAGAAAGUAAAAAAAAAAAUAUAAAUAUAGUGUCGCCACUGUUAGUGAUGAUUUCAUAAAAAAAAAAAAAAGAGAUAUCGCCACUUCAAGUGGCGAUUUACACUAUUUUUGUAAUUAAAUGAAAAGUCGCACUCGUUUGGUAAAAUUUUGUUAAUACUACACUAGCCUUGUAAAAAAGUGAAGGAACGAAGUACAAAACGAAAAACAGAAAGAGGAGUAAUCUAAGAGGCUAUAGAUCAUAAGUAGAGCCAAUGUAUAUGGCAAGAAUUAAUAUGUAGCAAGCCCUUCAUUAUGAGAACAUAUCCACGGGGAUAGUCUAGAGAUUGAUUCAAUUGGAUCAAUUGUUCUAAUAUAGGUCCAAAUUCCUUCCUCUUUGAGCCAGGUGCCACCUCCACUAGCUAAAUAAGUUUCUACUGAAAUAAGUUCUUAUAUGAGAACCUAAGAAUAAAUAAAUAGUGAUUGUUAGGUCUAAUCAUGAAUGGUCAAGAUUAAAAUAAUUUAGUGGUCACACGAUCAUUUAAAAAUAUCAUGUGACUUUUUCAAAAGUCAAAUGUCUUCAUGUUUUAAUCUUAAUCAUUCGUGAUAAGAUUCGAUCAUGAUUUAUUCUUAUAUUCUCACAUAAUAACAUUUCUCUCAUAAGAUACAUCCUCCUAAUGUCAGUACCUAUGCUUUAAGAUGACAAUGCCAGUUGAUACAGCAGCAUCUUACUACGGUUUAAACUCUUGGUGGCAAUUGCAUUUCAGCAUAACAGCCUGCUUCCCCUCGAUCUUAUGCACAAUCCUUACUUCCAAAUUUCAUUUCCUGCUGCUCUGCUUCCCUUACUGUUCAAGCCCCCACCAAUGCCCUAUUACCAUUCUUUGUUUACAAAGGCACAAUUCCAGCCUUCAUGACCUGCAACCACCACAAACACACGCAGCACAUAUCAUAAAACGGCCUUCACUGCAAACAGAACGAGAAACACAAUCAUGCAGUAAAAGACAGAUUCAAAAGAGAGCCUGAGUCUCUGGCUAUGCUCUCUUUUGAAGAUAAGAACAUAUUCCAAAACAUGAAAUUUGGUUUUAAAAUAGAAAGCACAUUGAUAUUCAAGUUUGGAUAUGUUUCAAGAGAAAAAUAUAAAUUGGUCUAACAAGUAGAUCUUUUGCCCCGUGUCAUAAAAAAAAUAAUAAAAAAUCUUGUGCCCUGUUGUUUUGGCCAGUCAAGUACAGAUGAUAUGUUUUCUGUUUUCAAGAAGAUUGGCAAAGUAAAUAUUUUAAUAGAACAUAGCCAGGAAAUUUGGAAAGGUUAUUAUUUGCUAUUAAGGGAAUAUCAAAUUUAUUUCCCUCUGGUCUUCACUGGCAUAUGCCUAUGCCUGAAUGACCUUGCAAAACAAAUCAGCAAACAUCACCUUCAGAGUUUAGACUCAGCUCACCCAAAAAUAACAACCUUCCAAAUAAAGUUAUAAUCUGUACUUGCCUGAAUUUAAAAACAAAAACAAUCCAGAAUAACAAGAGAAAACAAAAAUUAGACUAGAAAUGAAUUCUUAAUCUAAGCAAAUUAUUUUAUAAAACAUCUCAUUAACUUUUUUUUUUGAAUUCACAUCUUAUUAAGACAUUAACUUAAAAAAAAUAAAAAAAAAUUUCCUUGUUGUUACCAAAAAAAAAAAAUAAAGAAACGACAAAUCUGCAAUCUGUUAAACCGUAACCAUGGUUCUGUUUCCCUUUCAAUUUCGUCAUUCCCAGAAAUUUUCUGCCUAUCACUAUCAUUCAUAUAAAGAUCAUCACUGAUAUCAGAUUCAUCACUUGUUUCUCUGAAAUUUGCAUCAUCGUCAUCACGAUAGUUUCUUGCUGUUCAAUCAAGUCUCUUUUUCUGAGGAUCACUUGCUGAAUUUAACUGACCAAAUAGAUCAUAUACAUAUAGAUACAGAUUACAGCAUGUUCUGAUUCAAUAAUGAGAAAAAGAAUUGUGCACCUGAAAGGAUUGAAGAAUACAUGAGUCUGUUGUUUGACCAGAGAAUGAUAGUGGAAAAACACCAGAGGAUGGAACUGCUCUCUGCACCUGGUAAUACAUUCUCUAGAUAAAUUGUCUAAUGGGGAAACAAUUUAUAUAUUACCAGUUGGGACCAGGGUCCCCUCAUUAGACAAAGUUAACUGAUCUAACCCAUCAUAGGACAGUUAAUAACAAAAGUCUAAUCUACCAUCCAUCAUAAUACAUGUAAUUAAAUUAAAUUAAUAAUUCACAUAAUUGAUAUUAAUAACCAAAACAAAAUAUAUCUUAGUUAAUUGAUAAUGUUAACCCACAUAACAAAAGAGAUAGUUAAUUAUAAAUAAAUCUAACAUUCUCCCACUUGGAUUAACAUUUGUCAAUUAAUAUAAAAUAUAUGUAUCAUUAAACGAAAUAUCAAUUAUGACAAAAUACAUGUAAUCCAAAGAAAUAUAAGUUGUGCACCAAAAGUUACUCAACAAAAGAUUAUAUCCGAUAGGGAUAAUAACCAUAUGUAACAAAGUCUUAUAUUUCAUACAAAACAAAGAUGGAUAUAGAAAGCACAGUGAUAACCAGAAGUGCUAUUCCAUAAAAUGACCCAAGCAUCUAAAAUGCUAUAUGAGAUAUGAUAACAAAAGCAACAACAUAUCUCAUAAACUACAAUUCAGACUCCCACUGAUCCUAAACAUCAAAAGACUUUAACCACAUGAGUUAUGUGACUCCAACAAUAAAGUCUUAGAUCAGUGAAUAUACCAUUAUCAAUAAUGUAUUUCAUUAGAGUCUGAAAUUUUAUCACAAGGGGUCUACAAGUUCAUUAGGCACCAUCAAAGCCACAAACAAAAUUCCACAAGGUCUAAGUGCAUUUUGGCCCAACAAGAAUAAUAAUUACAUAUUGGCUAAACAACAAAAUGCUCUGCAGAAAUUGACAUAUAAUUAAUUCAAGAUUUCCUAAACAAGUGACUAUAAAUCCAUGUGAAGCUCGAGUUUAACAAUAGCAUGGAUGAUACUUGUUUAAACAAAAUGAUAUCUUGAACUAAUAAAUCACAAAAUAUCAAUAAUGAGCAAGCACUUAUGAUUAUUGGUCUAAAACAAGAGUAUAAGUACCUUAAGAAUGUAAGAAAUCAUACUCGAUAGGAGUAGUGAUCCUAUGCAUCUAAGUAACUUUUACAUUUGACCAUACAGAACGUGGAAUGUUGGCUAGGAUCACAAGCACAGUAAAAAUACAUGCCAAUGUGUUGUACCAACAAAAUAAUGUUGGCCUAAAUCGAAAGCACCUCAAAAUUGCAUGUCAAAUGUGCUGUACCAAAACAUAAUGUUGGCCAAAACAAAAGCACCAUAAAAUUGCAUACCAAAUGUGUUGUACCAACCGAAUAAUGUUGGCCAAAAUCAAAAGCACCGUAAAAUUGCAUGUCAAAUGUGCUGUACCAACAAAAUAGCCCCAACCACUUAUUAAAAGUGCUUACUAAGAUUCAACAUAAUUAAUAUAUAUAUAUAUAUAUAUAUAUAUAUACACACACAUAUAUCUCUCGGUACACUAGAAUGAGAAUGAGUACCAAAGUCUCCAAAAGAGUAUGUCAUAUAAUUAUCAAAGUACGCAUAAGAGCAUAUGACAAUAAAAUAGCUCCAAAAAUAUACCAUGAUAACACAAAAGUGCACACAAAAUAUAUGGUAUAUAUAUAUUACUAAGUAGUCUUAAGACAAAGCAAUUGUAUGCACACUCCCACUAAUCUAAUAUACCAUGAUAAUAUUAGAAAUUCAUUAGUGGCAACUAGUACCAAAAUACUCUUAAUGAUACAACUUUUAAUAGUGGUUUAGUGGCUUCAUGGCAAAGUCAAUGUGAGUCUGGAACUCACAAUCUUUUUCUCUUCAAGGAUAAUUAAUUAGAGAGAAGUACAAUAAUGCAGAGUUAUCACGAGAAGUGAUUACUAAAGAAUCACAAGAUGGAGCUCAACAUAUAUACCACAAAUUCUUAUGAAAUUUGUGAUGAAACUAACCACAAACUCAGCAUAUGAGAUUAAAGAGAUUAUAAACGUCCAUUUAACAUUUAUCAACAUAAAAUCUCCUUAUAUUAUCACAUACAUAAAAUCAUUAAAGAUUUUAUCUAAGAGGAAACCCACAAUUUAUAAACAAAUGAGUGAGAUUAACAUCCCUAAUAUUUUAAAUAAAAUAUGAGAUCACUUGUAUGUUUUCAACAAACUCACUCAAAGUUCAAGUGCUACAAUAUAGACAAUCACUAAACACACUUGAUCACAAAGUUGGGUUACCACUAACAACAGCGGAAGCAUAUAGGACCUAUGGUUAAUCAUUGUAGAGGAUAUUGUAACAAGUAGUCUCUAACUCUCACUGUCACUAUAUAUUGUGGGUAAGAAGCAAUAGGUCAAUGCCAAUAUGCUAAUUUGAUAGUUUGACAAAUUAUCUUAACAAUCAUAGGGAGUUAAUUGUAUUCCAAUAUUCCUUUUGAAAGAUUGUAUUCCAAUAUUCUCAAAAGAGACUUAAUAAUAUCCUCAAUAUAGGUCCCACUAUAAAGUGAUAUCUAGUAGUAUAUCACACAUAAGUGUGUCAAUUUUCAAAUUUAACUAAUUGAGCAAUUAAUGGAGUGAGAGACAUUGCAUAACUUCAGUUGGAAAAGAUAAGAGCAAACAAGCCUCUCCCACUUGAUAGAGAAAAAUAGUUGAGUUAAUCAUACUAGAAUAAAACAACAGGAUACUUUAAGUAUUUUUAAAUUAAAAGAAUAGCCAAAACUAUUUUCUCUAUCACACAAUGAUCAUGUCAAGCAAUGUCAUACCGAUAAGGUAUAUCCAUUACUUACACAAUGCAAUAAUAAGGAAAAUUAUAUCAAUAGAUAUUUUAUUCAAUAUAAAUUUGCUUUGCGAUAGGCAAAUGCAAAUCUUUAAGAUAAUGUAUUGUAACAAAUUGCUCAAUUAAUAUAAUGUAUCUAAUCAUAUGUCCCAUAAAAAUUCUAAUAUCGAUAGGAUAGUAGAAUGAAUUGACAUAAGUUAACAACGCAUAAUACAUUACAAACAAAACAACAAAUUACACUAAUAAUAAUAUACCGAUAGAGUACAUUAUCAGUAAUGUAAAUAUACACAAAUUACAAGUAGAUUCUUUAAAGAAUUUAGGUAAUAUAAUUUGUUCAAAUUCUGAAUAACUACGCCCACGAUAGGUGAGAUCGCAGUUACACAAAAUAUAAUAAAGCGCAUGUAAUCACACCAAAGUAUUCUGAAUAACUGCGCUCACGAUAGGUGAGAUCACAGCCACACAAGAUAUAAUAAAACGUGUGUAAUCACACCAAAGUUUGUAUAAACCAUAAGAUGUAUUUUAUAUACAAAGAUUAUAGGCUUUAAUUAUAUAACGACCUAAAAUAUUAGUUCCAUAUACAAAGAAAAUAGCAAACAUAUUAUACUAAAAAUAUUGCUAGCAAACUAAAGAACUGUCUCCAUAAUUUUAAGGUCCAUGAGCCUAUAGCAUAGUAAUAAAAAAUUACUAUUCAAUAUUUGGUUUAUAUAAAUAGGAGCGCACAAAAGAAUUUUAAAUUUUCAACAUGAAACUCAUAUAGCAAAAUUUAGCCAUAAAAUAUGGUAGUCUGAUCACAAUUUAUAUUUAACUGCCACUUUAACAAACUAAGUAAUAACCAAGUAUUACAAUGGUUAAAUAAUAAAUUUAUUAUAGACUUCCAAAAAAAAAAUAUAUGACAUCAUGUCUUAAUUGCCGCACUAAUAUAAUUGCAUAGCUAAAAGAAACAUAAACAACAAUCGGAGAAUUAAUUUUAUUAACGAAAUUCUCCAAACAUGAAAUUAUAUAAUCAAUCAGUAUAUAAAGAUUUUAUAAUCAAAUUUAGAGAGUGUUCCGUUUAUCUUUGUGAGUAGAGCCAAUAAAAUUCAUAAUUUAAUAAGCUCAUGAAACUCAAUAUAUUCUUCUCUUUAAUGGGUGAUACAUUAAACUAUAAAAAUAUAAAAUACUUUUCCAUAUAUAAAAUAUAUAUUAGUGAUAAUUUUGAUUUCAUAAUUGCACUGGUAGAGAAGAAAAGAAAAAACGUGCUUGGAAUGCCAAUUCAUAUUGGUUUUGAUAUUUAAGAGCAACUCCAACCCCAAAAUUCUUAUCUAGUUUCUUAACACACUAUUCAGCACUAUUCCUGUGGGCCCGUACUGCCACAUCAGACUUAAGAAACUCCUAGGAAACUGAAGCAGAUUUUGCUCCAACCCAUGGUUUCUUAAAUUACUAUUUGAAGGGUCCCACCCGUGUCCCACCAUACAACAUAAAUUAAUAAUAUUUAUUUUCACUCAAUUUAGAUUUAACAUUUAAUACUAAAUCAAUACUUCAACUUAAAAAUAAUUUAAUUAAAAUUAAUACGAAUUUAAUUUAAAUUUUAUUUUACUUAAUAUUUAAAACAAUUAAAUUUAAAUAUCGGCAUGUUAACUUGAAACAAAAAUAAAAAAGUACAUUGUGUUUUUUAUAACAAAAACAAUUUUAUUGAAUGAUAGAAAUAAAGACGAAAGAAAAUACAUGACAAUGAAAAAUAAGCAACAAUACAUUUGAAAUGAAAUACAUAAUAACACUUGAAGGUUAAUUUUCAUUAUUCUCGUUUUCGGGAAGCUGCCAAAUAUGCUCCACAAAGUCUACUUGAAGUUGGUGAUGAUUUGACCUAUCAAUUUGAUGUGCUCUUCUUUCCAAGAUAUUUCUAAAAGCCGGAAUAGGACCACUUACUACUUCAGCAUUCAAUAUGUCAUUAUUGACCUGAUCAUAAACAAAAUUACCUCGGUACGUGUUGCGCUCAUCUUCAACAAUCAUGUUGUGCAAUAUGAAGCAAGCAUACAUUAUUGACAUCAUCUCAUUCGGAUGCCAAAAGCGUGAUGGACCACGAACUAUUGCAAACCGAGAUUGGAGAACGCCGAAUGCACGUUCAACGUCCUUUCUUGCUCCUUCUUGUCUUUUCGCAAAUUUUUGCCUUUUUUCUCCUUGCGGCAUUGGGAUGGUCUUCACAAAUGUAGCCCACGGGGGAUAGAUACCGUCUGCUAGAUAGUAUCCCAUGUUAUACAUUGUUCCAUUCACGCUAAAGUUCACCAUGGAAGCAUUUCCACUCAAAACCUCAUUAAAAACCGGAGAUUUAUUUAGCACAUUAAUGUCAUUGUUAGAACCUGUGUAACACCCCGAUUUCGGUGGCGUCACUUUAGUAACCAAAAUAAACUUAAUGCGGAAAAACGUAAAUAUUUUUUUUCGAUAAUAAUAUAAACAAGACUGAAAUAAAUAUAACGCAAAUGCGAAAGACAACAGAACCAAUAUACAAAGUAAAAUACAGCCCCCGCUGUAAGUAACAACCUCGUCACGAGUAACCUCCAGUGAAGGAAAGAAGAAAAGUGUAGCGCCCGUAGGCAAUAUAUACAAACCAACAGGAAAGGUUAAGUGUCCGCAACACCACCUCCAAAAAUGAGAAUAAGUUGGCCCAAUGGCCUGAAAGAAGACCUCCUAAGUCCAACCAACUCCCUGUGAUUCCCGUAAAGAAACCACACAAAAAGCUAUAGGUGGGAAACUAUAAAGUCAAAGCUCAAACAGUAUAAGUAAGAUAGGUGUGCUUGCACACGCUACGCGAGUAAUGGAACAUAUUAUACUGAAAUGAGAAAGAAUGGUUAGAAGGUUACCAUCGUUCUUGCGCUCUCCUGUGACAAACCCCUCAGCUCUCUCACCGUCCAUGGUGUAGACUCUUGCUAUAGCCGCAGAACGCUUUCCACGAGCAGUGUUCACGGUUGGCUCCGUCUUGGGUGCUCUGCACUGAUCGGCAGUGUGCCCCAUUUUGUUACAAUUAAAGCACUUGGGCCUCGUGUCGGAACAAGCGUUAGCAUAGUGCCCCGGCUUCCCACAUCUGAAACAAGUCAUCUCCCUGUUCAAAGUCCGAUCUCCAGAACCACCAGCAGUACCCGUCAUGGGUCGGUAAGAUCCUGAAGUAAACCCUUUUUCAGCAGGGCGCUGAUAUGGCCUCCCGUUCUGAAAUUUCCCUUUGCCUUGAAAAUUUUGAGAACCUGAUCUCAUCGGUCCUCCAGUUCCAGCACGGUUCAACCUUCUAUUCUUCAUUAGCUCCACUUCUGUGGCUUUCUCCACCAACGACUGAAAGCGCAUAAUUCCCAAUGGCCUCACUGAGUCCUCAAUAUCAGGCCUCAGUCCAUUAACAAAGCGCUUGCACAUAUAGCGCUCAUUCACAUGAUCAUGGAAGAAUUGAAAAUGCUUCGCCAAAGAUUUCAGCUUCGAAGCAAAUUCCAGUACAGACAUACCUCCCUGACGGAGUGUUAGAAACUGUGCCUCCCUCUCAUCCCGAGCACUUGUUGGAAAAUACUUUUCCAAGAAUGCGGUCCGGAAAGAGUUCCAGUUGAUCUCUUCAUGGUUGUCUUCCAUAAUCUCCCUGGUGCCCCUCCACCAGUACUCAGCAUCACCCAGCAGCAAGUAAGUUGCCAUGCCAACCUUGGCACCCUCAACAGUUUGCAAAACACCGAAAAUCUUCUCGAUUUCCUGGAUCCAGAGAUCCGCUUUGUCUGGGUCAGUACCACCAGAGAACCUUGGUGGGUUUUGCCUCCUGAAAUCAUUCAGGCCUUUGUUCUGGUCCAGAGUUACUUCCUUCUGGCGCUGAUGCUGUUCACGUGCCUCCUCAGCAGCACGCCUCAUCGCAUUAUCAUUAGCUUAUGAAGUUACAGCUUGGGCCAUAGUGGCCAUCAUCUCAGCUAACUGGUUAGUAUUCACCAUGUUCUGUUAAGUUAAACAAACAGUUAGUACUCAUCAUAAGAUAGCAUCUAGUAUAACUAUACAAUAUGAUUAAGCAAUAACUUCAAUCAAUUCUAUGCGAGAAAUCGCUUGCAGACAAUCAAUUUUCACUCUUUGUAGAGUCACACAACCUAGCACCGAAGACCUAUUCCCCAACAACUCCCGAAAGACUCGACCGUGCUAUGAUACCACAAUGUAUAUAAACGACAGUAAAUCACAGUUAUCAUGCCUCAAGUAGAACUAACAAGUAUCAAACACACUCAACAACUAAGUCAGUAUGCAUGUUGCAUGAGAUGAUAUGCAGGUUAACCCAGUCAACCAAAUGCAUUCCGGAAACGGAUGGACAUCAAACGGAUCAAUCCUAGCACCAGCAACGGUGGGACCAUUUCUGCCCGCGUGCCUCUUACACCACACAAAGGUAGUCAGAUCAGCCGUAACCCGUAGGUCUGCCAUUUCGGUCUGCUACAAGAGUCGUCUACAAACGCUCUUACACGGCAUUCCGGGUCUUAUGACCAUUUUGGAAACCGACGAGGUCCAGAGUACGUCCUGUGUUAAUACCUCAUUAAUGUUGCAUGAAUGCAGGAUGAUUAGUCAAACAACGUCUCCGAAUCUUACUCGACACGUCGCCAUGUGUUCUAGCUAAAUUAAAGUCUCUAAAAGCUUACCCUAAGGUAACAGUCGAUUCUGCGACAAAAGACCCUUCUCAAUAACACAUAGCUCAUGAUGAUCUCCAAAUCAUCCGACUCAUCUCAAUCCGAUGGUCGUAACUGCUCAACGAGCAAAGAGUACCACGUACUCGGAAACUAUCAAUUUCCCGGACUUAUCCCCAGGAUAGCCCAACAACACAGCUGCUCCAAUAGCACAAGAGUAUCCCGCAUUCACAAGGUCUCACGCCUCAGUGAAGCUUCUCGGCUCAUCCCUUGGAUGGCUAAACAAACUGCUCAACGAGCGAAGGAGUAUCAACAUACUCAGAACUUACCAAUCUCCUCAACACUUGGAUCCGACGACACUUCUCGUUUUCCAAAACUAAGAUUCGACUCCUAAGCUUCCUUCGAGAUUAUUAUCAUUACUUAAAGAUUUAGAGGUUGUUUAAGGUCUUAUGAGUUUUCUUCACAAAAUAAUAUCCUUUUAGCCUUAUCGCAAUUCUUAUAAGUUCUCGGGAUCUCCAAAUCCCCAAAUGACACCAGAGAAUGUCUCGAUCCAUGAAACACCAUAACAAGGUCCGAAUCUCAUUCGUCCUAUCAAACUUUCUCAAAACUCUCAAAAUAAAAUCGGCAUGACCUGCCCGCUAUUCUCACUACUCAGAAUCUCAGAUUUCAUAGCAGCAGCAUAAUUAACUCAUCACAGUCAACAACAUAUCAUGUAUCAAUACAUCUCAGAAUAAACACAUAGCACUUAGCAUAUAAAGCAUGCACCACACAUCCUAAAUUACCUAAUUAGCACUUAGCAUGUAAUUCACUCUCAAAAACAUUCAGUAGAUGAAUCAUCUACAUUGUCAGCCGAAGCCUCAGAAAACAUUUUUCCAAUCAAACACAAACAAGUGCAUAAACAGUAAACAAUGUCGAAAGCAUCGACCCUAAGCAUUAUCUAGAGAUUCAGUGAGAAGCCCUCACCUGUAGAUUCUCCAGGGUGAACUUCAAACUCUUCCUCACAAGCAAAGCGUUGCUCCUCAGGAAAUUCCUCAAAAGCUCCUUUAAAGCAAAAACACAGAAAUACUAUCAGAAUCUAUCGAAAACUAAGCUAUCGAUACUUACUAAGGUUACUCGAAGUAGUUCAUACUCCGAGGUACGAUAGUCUAGCGCGAAAGGACAAGUUUUCGGAAAAGGAAAUUUUCCUCCUCCUCCCCCUAUAAGCUCGGCCACUUUAGGUAAUUAGGGGACUCGAUUUUUCUUCGAUCAAACUUGGUUCCUAUGCUAUCAUUAGCCGUAACUAAGGGUAUUCUGAACUCGGAAAAAUUAUCGGAUCAAAACUGUCGCAGGGGUAUUUUGGUCAUGAUUUUUAACUUAUAAUUUCAAAACUGAAAUCCCAAAAACCAAAUUUGACAGGGACGUUACUAACGACGUUUAUGACAACUAAUCCUACUAGCACUAAGCUAAGGCGAUAGUUUUUAGCCUAAAGGUUGAAGCUUUACUCUAAAAACUCCAAAAAUGGGUAUUUAAGGCUAAAAUUGAUUCCGGCGGAAAUCCGGCGACAUUACGGAAAAUCUAAUCCGGCAGAAGUGAUCUUGGGCACAUAAGGAAGAGGUUUAGAAUCAGAAAUGAAAUAUUCAGGAUAGUUUUGCAAAAACCUCAAAACUAUCAGCUCAGAAAAGUCUACAGAAAAGCUAUGGAAAAAGCGAUCAGAGGUAAGGAUUAGCGACUAUACCUCGAAACCUUGGAGCAGCAACUGAUUAAUCAACGAUCAAGCAAGUAAUGAAGAAAAACUCUUCCUCCUUCUCCUUCUCUUGGCCGCGGGUUUGGGUGGGGAAAAUGGGUAGUUUUUUUUGUGUUUUUCUUCCUUUCUUGGCUAUAUAUAGAGGUUGGCAAAACGCGGUAAAAUGAAAGUUUCGCGAAUCUGAUUUUUCCGGCUUCAUUCUCCAUGAAUUCUAAGAUAGGUUUUGGUAACAUAAAUCCAGAACUCAAAAGAGGUUCCCUUGUAUUUUUGGUAACUAAUGCAAAGUCGGUGUAAAACUAUUUUACCCGAUAAGUUGCUUUUUGCAUCGGAUGUCGGAAUAGAAAACAUCCUUCUGAAGAAAGAUUGAAAUCAUCAAGAGAAAUGGGUGUACGCGUGUGGAAUCUUCAUUUGAAGCUCUGAAUAGAAAAAGUCUUCAUUGUCGGUUGAUUCUAGGGUUUUGAAAUACCAGGGAUUCGGUUUCGGCAAACUUCCGAUGAUUGGAAUUGGACGUUCGUAGAUCCUAGAGUUUCGCCUCGAAACGAUUGUGAUAUAUGGAAAAAGAGAAGUUCUAAUAUUACUCUGAAGAUUUUUGGACUAAAUUCCUACAGUGUUCCAAGGGUGGAACAUAGUUUGAUUUCCUAAGGUUCUUGUCCUAGGUUUUAAAACGAAUAUUAGUCGUGCUAUAACUUAAAUCGACUUCGAUACAAUCCUUUGACUUUUCCUGAACUUUCUCCUUCAUACAUUUAUUUCAUUUAAUAAACUCUUGUUCAGGUUUCCCUUCACAACCCAUCAACCCUAAUCGUGAAUAAGAUUUUAUUCACUUGGCAUAAGUUUAAAAACUUGGGCCUUACAUUACUAUCCUCCAAAAAGAAAGUUUCGACCUCGAAACUUAAGGGUCAGUAAAAAGUUCCGGAUAUUAUUCCUUGAUCUUUUCCUCUAAAUCCCAUAUAGCACCGUCCAUGUCUUUGUUCCAAAUAACUUUCACCGAAGCACUCUGCUUUCUGCUAGAUCGUUUCACUAUUCCAGCCCCAAUGCAGACCGACGGCGUCUCAAAAGACAUAUCAUCUUCCAACUCUAUGUUGUCCGGUUCGACCACUUGCAUCGGGUCUCUGUUGGAAAUAAUAUUUGUUGUCAUUCGUGCAAUCGCACGGCCUUUACCACUUAUUCCUUUGCUUUUGUUCGUCCAAAAUGUUGAUUAGAAACUUGGUACAUCUCUAUGCUCCGGAGUGAAUGCUCAACUUCAGUCUUAAUACCUUGUGCAUCACAAGACUCAUUCCCUUUAACAUUAACUUAUCAACAACUUAUAAGCUAAUCUUCAUCUUAAUAUCUAACAAUUCAUUAUUGUAGUCUUCGUCCUCAAAACCUUCCUCACUCAAACCAAUUCAGACUUACUGAAAUCCCUAACACUUCGCAUAAAUCGAGAUUUAUCCUCUAGAAGAUCAAAUCAUAGCUAUACCUCAAGGGACUUAACUAGUCAUUUUAUCAUCCCAUCCUCCAAUCAAUCCAAUACUUCUUAAAUGAAUAUUCCUUUCUUAAUACGAACACUCCUUCCCAAAGGAAAUCAAUUACUCAACACGAACUUUCCUCCCAAAUCCGACUAAUCCUCGACCAAUUCAAAUUCAUCUUACACAUCCUUCUAUCAAAGUCCAUAGCUAGCUGUGAUUCCGAAUAUCACCCCCUCAAUAUUAAGUUGAUCAGGCCUAAUACAUCGAAGGUGGAAAUAUAGAAAAAACCUACUGGAACAGUCAAUGAGUUCCUAUCAUCCAAUAGUCACAAAUAUCUUGAUAUUAAAUCCUCAAUGAUGUCGCUACGAAACUACAUACUCUCGACAUCAUAUGUAUACUAUCCAUACGAAAUCUCUCUAAGAUUCAUUCUUUAACUUCUAGCUUCUGGUUAAACGCAUCGGUACAAGACUACUUUCUAGGCUUAACGUGUUAUGUUAAACCUCGGGUACUUCUAUAGCUAAAAUACGAGCUACGGUCAAAUAAGGUAUUAAUAAGGUAUUAACCUGGCUCUAAUACCACAAUGUAACACCCCGAUUUCGGUGGCGUCACUUUAGUAACCAAAAUAAACUUAAUGCGGAAAAACGUAAAUAUUUUUUUUCGAUAAUAAUAUAAACAAGACUGAAAUAAAUAUAACGCAAAUGCGAAAGACAACAGAACCAAUAUACAAAGUAAAAUACAGCCCCCGCUGUAAGUAACAACCUCGUCACGAGUAACCUCCAGUGAAGGAAAGAAGAAACGUGUAGCGCCCGUAGGCAAUAUAUACAAGCCAACAGGAAAGGUUAAGUGUCCGCAACACCACCUCCAAAAAUGAGAAUAAAUUGGCCCAAUGGCCUGAAAGAAGACCUCCUAAGUCCAACCAACUCCCUGUGAUUCCCGUAAAGAAACCACACAAAAAGCUAUAGGUGGGAAACUAUAAGGUCAAAGCUCAAACAGUAUAAGUAAGAUAGGUGUGCUUGCACACGCUACGCGAGUAAUGGAACAUAUUAUACUGAAAUGAGAAAGAAUGGUUAGAAGGUUACCAUCGUUCUUGCGCUCUCCUGUGACAAACCCCUCAGCUCUCUCACCGUCCAUGGUGUAGACUCUUGCUUUAGCCGCAGAACGCUUUCCACGAGCAGUGUUCACGGUUGGCUCCGUCUUGGGUGCUCUGCACUGAUCGGCAGUGUGCCCCAUUUUGUUACAAAUAAAGCACUUGGGCCUCGUGUCGGAACAAGCGUUAGCAUAGUGCCCCGGCUUCCCACAUCUGAAACAGGUCAUCUCCCUGUUCAAAGUCCGGUCUCCAGAACCACCAGCAGUACCCGUCAUGGGUCGGUAAGAUCCUGAAGUAAACCCUUUUUCAGCAGGGCGCUGAUAUGGCCUCCCGUUCUGAAAUUUCCCUUUGCCUUGAAAAUUUUGAGAACCUGAUCUCAUCGGUCCUCCAGUUCCAGCACGGUUCAACCUUCUAUUCUUCAUUAGCUCCACUUCUGUGGCUUUCUCCACAACGAAUGAAAGCGCAUAAUUCCCAAUGGCCUCACUGAGUCCUCAAUAUCAGGCCUCAGUCCAUUAACAAAGCGCUUGCACAUAUAGCGCUCAUUCACAUGAUCAUGGAAGAAUUGAAAAUGCUUCGCCAAAGAUUCCAGCUUCGAAGCAAAUUCCGGUACAGACAUACCUCCCUGACGGAGUGUUAGAAACUGUGCCUCCCUCUCAUCCCGAGCACUUGUUGGAAAAUACUUUUCCAAGAAUGCGGUCCGGAAAGAGUUCCAGUUGAUCUCUUCAUGGUUGUCUUCCAUAAUCCCCCUGGUGCCCCUCCACCAGUACUCAGCAUCACCCAGCAGCAAGUAAGUUGCCAUGCCAACCUUGGCACCCUCAACAGUUUGCAAAACACCGAAAAUCUUCUCGAUUUCCUGGAUCCAGAGAUCCGCUUUGUCUGGGUCAGUACCACCAGAGAACCUUGGUGGGUUUUGCCUCCUGAAAUCAUUCAGGCCUUUGUUCUGGUCCAGAGUUACUUCCCUCUGGCGCUGAUGCUGUUCACGUGCCUCCUCAGCAGCACGCCUCAUCGCAUUAUCAUUAGCUUGUGAAGUUACAGCUUGGGCCAUAGUGGCCAUCAUCUCAGCUAACUGGUUAGUAUUCACCAUGUUCAGUUAAGUUAAACAAACAGUUAGUACUCAUCAUAAGAUAGCAUCUAGUAUAACUAUACAAUAUGAUUAAGCAAUAACUUCAAUCAAUUCUAAGCGAGAAAUCGCUUGCAGACAAUCAAUUUUCACUCUUUGUAGAGUCACACAACCUAGCACCGAAGACCUAUUCCCCAACAACUCCCGAAAGACUCGACCGUGCUAUGAUACCACAAUGUAUAUAAACGACAGUAAAUCACAGUUAUCAUGCCUCAAGUAGAACUAACAAGUAUCAAACACACUCAACAACUAAGUCAGUAUGCAUGUUGCAUGAGAUGAUAUGCAGGUUAACCCAGUCAACCAAAUGCAUUCCGGAAACGGAUGGACAUCAAACGGAUCAAUCCUAGCACCAGCAACGGUGGGACCAUUUCUGCCCGCGUGUCUCUUACACCACACAAAGGAAGUCAGAUCAGCCGUAACCCGUAGGUCUGCCAUUUCGGUCUGCUACAAGAGUCGUCUACAAACGCUCUUACACGGCAUUCCGGGUCUUAUGACCAUUUUGGAAACCGACGAGGUCCAGAGUACGUCCUGUGUUAAUACCUCAUUAAUGUUGCAUGAAUGCAAGAUGAUUAGUCAAACAACGUCUCCGAAUCUUACUCGACACGUCGCCACAUGUUCUAGCUAAAUUAAAGUCUCUAAAAGCUUACCCUAAGGUAACAGUCGAUUCUGCGACAAAAGACCCUUCUCAAUAACACAUAGCUCAUGAUGAUCUCCAAAUCAUCCGACUCAUCUCAAUCCGAUGGUCGUAACUGCUCAACGAGCAAAGAGUACCACGUUCUCGGAAACUAUCAAUUUCCCGGACUUAUCCCCAGGAUAGCCCAACAACACAGCUGCUCCAACAGCACAAGAGUAUCCCGCAUUCACAAGGUCUCACGCCUCAGUGAAGCUUCUCGGCUCAUCCCCUGGAUGGCUAAACAAACUGCUCAACGAGCGAAGGAGUAUCAACAUACUCAGAACUUACCAAUCUCCUCAACACUUGGAUCCGACGACACUUCUCGUUUUCCAAAACUAAGAUUCGACUCCUAAGCUUCCUUCGAGAUUAUUAUCAUUACUUAAAGAUUUAGAGGUUGUUUAAGGUCUUAUGAGUUUUCUUCACAAAAUAAUAUCCUUUUAGCCUUAUCGCAAUUCUUAUAAGUUCUCGGGAUCUCCAAAUCCCCAAAUGACACCAGAGAAUGUCUCGAUCCAUGAAACACCAUAACAAGGUCCGAAUCUCAUUCGUCCUAUCAAACUUUCUCAAAAAUCUCAAAAUAAAAUCGGCAUGACCUGCCCGCUAUUCUCACUACUCAGAAUCUCAGAUUUCAUAGCAGCAGCAUAAUUAACUCAUCACAGUCAACAACAUAUCAUGUAUCAAUACAUCUCAGAAUAAACACAUAGCACUUAGCAUAUAAAGCAUGCUCCACACAUCCUAAAUUACCCAAUUAGCACUUAGCAUGUAAUUCACUCUCAAAAACAUUCAGUAGAUGAAUCAUCUACAUUGUCAGCCGAAGCCUCAGAAAACAUUUUUCCAAUCAAACACAAACAAGUGCAUAAACAGUAAACAAUGUCGAAAGCAUCGACCCUAAGCAUUAUCUAGAGAUUCAGUGAGAAGCCCUCACCUGUAGAUUCUCCAGGGUGAACUUCAAACUCUUCCUCACAAGCAAAGCGUUGCUCCUCAGGAAAUUCCUCAAAAGCUCCUUUAAAGCAAAAACACAUAAAUACUAUCAGAAUCUAUCGAAAACUAAGCUAUCGAUACUUACUAAGGUUACUCGAAGUAGUUCAUACUCCGAGGUACGAUAAUCUAGCGCGAAAGGACAAGUUUUCGGAAAAGGAAAUUUUCCUCCUCCUCCCCCUAUAGGCUCGGCCACUUUAGGUAAUUAGGGGACUCGAUUUUUCUUCGAUCAAACUUGGUUCCUAUGCUAUCAUUAGCCGUAACUAAGGGUAUUCUGAACUCGGAAAAAUUAUCGGAUCAAAACUGUCGCAGGGGUAUUUUGGUCAUGAUUUUUAACUUAGAAUUUCAAAACUGAAAUCCCAAAAACCAAAUUUGACAGGGACGUUACUAACGACGUUUAUGACAACUAAUCCUUCUAGCACUAAGCUAAGGCGAUAGUUUUUAGCCUAAAGGUUGAAGCUUUACUCUAAAAACUCCAAAAAUGGGUAUUUAAGGCUAAAAUUGAUUCCGGCGGAAAUCCGGCGACAUUACGGAAAAUCUAAUCCGGUAGAAGUGAUCUUGGGCACAUAAGGAAGAGGUUUAGAAUCAGAAAUGAAAUAUUCAGGAUAGUUUUGCAAAAACCUCAAAACUAUCAGCUCAGAAAAGUCUACAGAAAAGCUAUGGAAAAAGCGAUCAGAGGUAAGGAUUAACGACUAUACCUCGAAACCUUGGAGCAGCAACUGAUUAAUCAACGAUCAAGCAAGUAAUGAAGAAAAACUCUUCCUCCUUCUCCUUCUCUUGGCCGCGGGUUUGGGUGGGGAAAAUGGGUAGUUUUUUUGUGUUUUUCUUCCUUUCUUGGCUAUAUAUAGAGGUUGGCAAAACGCGGUAAAAUGAAAGUUUCGCGAAUCUGAUUUUUCCGGCUUCAUUCUCCAUGAAUUCUAAGAUAGGUUUUGGUAACAUAAAUCCAGAACUCAAAAGAGGUUCCCUUGUAUUUUUGGUAACUAAUGCAAAGUCGGUGUAAAACUAUUUUACCCGAUAAGUUGAUUUUUGCAUCGGAUGUCGGAAUAGAAAACUUCCUUCUGAAGAAAGAUUGAAAUCAUCAAGAGAAAUGGGUGUACGCGUGUGGAAUCUUCAUUUGAAGCUCUGAAUAGAAAAAGUCUUCAUUGUCGGUUGAUUCUAGGGUUUUGAAAUACCAGGGAUUCGGUUUCGGCAAACUUCCGAUGAUUGGAAUCGGACGUUCGUAGAUCCUAGAGUUUCGCCUCGAAACGAUUGUGAUAUAUGGAAAAAGAGAAGUUCUAAUAUUACUCUGAAGAUUUUUGGACUAAAUUCCUACAGUGUUCCAAGGGUGGAACAUAGUUUGAUUUCCUAAGGUUCUUGUCCUAGGUUUUAAAACGAAUAUUAGUCGUGCUAUAACUUAAAUCGACUUCGAUACAAUCCUUUGACUUUUCCUGAACUUUCUCCUUCAUACAUUUAUUUCAUUUAAUAAACUCUUGUUCAGGUUUCCCUUCACAACCCAUCAACCCUAAUCGUGAAUAAGAUUUUAUUCACUUGGCAUAAGUUUAAAAACUUGGGCCUUACAACCUGCAAUGCCAAAAAAUGCAUGCCAAAUCCAGAAGUCUUGUGAUGCCACUACUUCAAGCAUGAUUGUGGGCUUUCCAUGAUCACCUCGGGUGAAUUGACCUUUCCACGCAACUGGACAAUUCUUCCAUUCCCAAUGCAAUUGAAUUCAAAUUUUAAUCUCAACUCAAAUUAAAUGUGGAUUGCUAUUUUGUUCGAAAAACUAAUACAAUCCAAUUUGGAGUUGCCCAACAUACCUGGAAAUCCACGAGACUCGCCUCAUUGAAGUAAGCGGGUAAUGUCUUCCUGGUUCGGGCGCCUCAAGUAUGUUUCACCAAAUACUGCACACACACCUUCCACAAAAUUCUUUAAGCACUCAAUUGCAGUACUUUCACCAAUUCGAACGUACUCGUCAACACUGUCAGCAGGUGAUCUGUACGCCAACAUACGAAUAGCGGCGGUGCACUUUUGUAAUGGUGACAGGCCUUGUCUUCCAACUGCAUCGACAGACAUUAAAAAGUACGGGUCAUGAGACCCAAGGGCCCCUACAAUUAUGAGGAACACAUGCUUUCGCAUUCGAAACCUUCGUCGGAAAAGCUCUUCCGUGUACACAGGAUUUUCGGAGAAGUAGUCAUUCCACAACCGCUCGUUCCCAGCUUCACGAUCUCUCUCUAUCACCUUUCUUGUUCGCUUGGGCCUAACGGUGUUGGCACGUCGUUGAUAAAACUCCAUAUCCUCCUGCAUCAUAUCUUCUAUAGUCGUGUCAUUCAUAAUAUCGUCAAUAAUUACGUCGUAAAUGUCCAAGUCGGACAUAUUGUUUGGAUCCAUUCUAUGACACAAUGAGAAACUAUCAGUGUAAUUGGAUAGGAGGAAGACAAUAUGAGAGGACAAAACAACUCUUGAAUGUUGAGAUGAAUGAAAUAUGACAUGUAUAAAUAAGAGAAACAACAACAGCUAUAUUCUCCAACGGCUAUAUUCUCCAACGGCUAUAUUCCACAACGGCUAUAUUCUCCAACGGCUAUAUUCCACAACGGCUAUAUUCCCCAACGGCUAUAUUCUCCAACGGCUAUAUUUCCCAACGACUAUAUAGAACACAUAAGUAGAAACGCAGUACACAUUAAGAAAAAUUCGAAUACUGAAAUUACAACAUUAAUGCAGAAUACAUAAGUAGAAAUGCUAAAAUUACAACACUGAUGCAAUACACAUAAGUAGAAAUGCUAAAAUUACAACACUAAUGCAGAAUCAAUAAGUAGAAAUGCUAAAAUCACAACAUUGGCACACAUUAAGAAAGACAACAACAAGAAUUAAGACAUUCCUAGUUCAUUCAUGGCGAAUUCAACUAGGCGCUGAUGCGUUGCUAACUGCACCUCGUUCAUUUCAGAUGUGUCCUCCAUAAGGAUAUCUUUGUAUUCCUUCAAUAACCGCGCCUUAUGAAGUUUGUUUUUUUCCUUUCUCACCUCCAGUUCUUCGGUCUUGAGCUUCUCAAAACUCGCCAGGAAUCUCAGUUUAGCUUUCCCGAUGGCUAUCAUCUCGGAGUUAGGAACAUAAUCGAGAUCACUUGAAGCUGUGUCUCCUACUUUGGCUUUCCUUUUCUGGUUCUUUUUUCCCAACGGGCGGGUUGCUGGUUGUGUGGCCUCAUAUUCGUCGCCCUCGAUUGAUGCACUCCGGUAAGACGAUGUUGCAUACACCCCAUCUCCUGACUUCUUCUGCCUCGUUGAACUGGUUGUCAUAAAUGUUCCCUUCCACUUUGGUUCAUCCUUCACCAACCGCCAUUCAUUCUCAUGUUUGAAAUCUUUACCCGUAUCUACAUGAUAUAAUUGAUGCGUCGUAGCCAUGAUGUCCUUAUCUGAGUGUCCACUUUUCCAAUGAUUGACGACUUUAGUGUGGCAACCGACAAAUUUUUGAAGAUCAGCAUUCAAUUUAUUAAAACGAGAUUUCAUGGAUAACCAUGUCCUCGAAGGAGAGGCAUCGUCGCGGUACUCCUCAUAUUGGGCUCGGAUCUUAUUCCAAAACAAAUCUGACUUUUGCUCAUUUCCCACGACCCGAUCGGUAGAAACGUUGAGCCAUGAUUGAAGAAGAAGUAUAUUAUCUUUACCACUCCCUUUGGUGCGUUUCUUUCCGGAUUCUUCAAGAUCAAUAUCAUCUAGACCCCGUUGAGUAGAAAAUUCAGGCUCAUCGGGCAUAACCUCACAUUGUGUACUUGAGACUUUUGAACUACUGCUGCUACCAGUAGGAGGUGCUUGGUAUUGUGGUGGAUACAUACAAUAUUGUGGAUUGUUUGGAUAAGGCAUUUGUGGUGGAUAUGGUCCCAUUUGACCCUGAGGUUGGUUUUGAUGGUAGAACGAUUGUGGAAACAUUUGAUACGAAGGAUUUUGAACAUUACCACCGGUGUGAGGAGGUUGGUUUUGAGGGUGACACAUCUGCGGAUGUUGGCUUUGUGGUUGAUACAUUUGCGGAUGUGGGUUUUGUUGUUGGAACAUCGGCAUAGGUUGGCUUUGCGGACGAAUCAUCUGCGAAUGUUGGUUUUGUUGUUGGAACACCAUCAUAGGUUGGCUUUGCGGGUGAAUCAUCUGCGGAGAUUGGUUUUGUGGCGGAAACAUAGGCGAAGGUUGCAAACCUUCACUUGUAGGAGGUGUUUCAUUGUCGAGCAGUGGAUAAUAUUGCUCAUAAGGAUUAGACAUUUUGAGAAAUUUGAGAAUUUGUGGACAAGAGAGAAAUUGUAGGAGUAAAUGUUGGUGUUUCAAAUGGUCUACUGCACUAUAUAUUAAGGUAAAGAAGCUGAGAAUUGAAAAAACGGUCAGAAAACCGGUCAAUUUAAAAAUAUUCAAAAAAAAAUGCCCAAACGGGCAGAAAACCGGCUCCAGCCGGUCUGGACCGGCCCGUAACGGUGGGAUGACCGGCUCAGCCGGUCACCCACUAUAUAAUCUAUUUUUCCUCACUCACUCUCCAUUCCAACUCUCAACCCUAGUCGCUCCUCUCUUCUUCCUCUCUUCUCUCACGCUCAGCUUCUUCUUCAACCUCAAGCUCUUAAUCACCUUCUUCUUUUCCCCUUCCUCUUUCCCUCUUCCUCUUUCUCUGACCUGCAGCGCCUCCUUUUCCCCUUCCUCUCACCCUGACCUGCAGAUCCUUCCUCUCUACCUCACUUCUCCUUUUCUUCUUCCUCUCGACGCCUCCUCUUCUCCUUCCUCUCUCCCUCACUUCUUCUCCCUCGAUCUCUCUGGUCCACGCCUCCAAAGCCCCAGCCGAUCACCAAACAUCAACCGCCGCCACCAAACAACCACAUGCAGUCACCAUCGGCCACCAAACAACCACCACCGCCAACAUACAGCCUCAAUCCAACCCCCACAACCCCUGUUUGCCAGCUUCAAAGCCUUGAAGCUUGCAAAAAUCCUUCCUUUUCACACAUGCAAGGGCCAAUACUCUCAGAUCAGAGCUUCCAGAACUUCACCGGAGAAGUUUUUUUUUUUUAGGGUUUAGGGAAAUAUCAAUUUUUGUGUUUUAAGUUUCAAUUUCUUCAUGUAAAGUUUCAAUUCAUUCAAUAAAAUUGCAAUUUUCGUCCUCUGAUUAUGUCUCUGUUGAACUUGAAUUGUUCAAUUUCAUCCUUUCUGUUAUGUUUGCCUCUGAAAGCUGUUGGGGAAGUGAGAGAAAAUAUAUUAUUUUAAUUAAGAAACUGAAAAAGCAAAGUUGCUUGCAGAAGCAACCAUGCACUAUAGUUAAGAAACUGAAACUGCCAACUGAGCAAGCUCCAAUGGGUUGAAAAGCUAAGAAACGUUUCUUAGCAACUCCAUUUGGGUUAAGAAACCAGCGUUGAAGUUGCUCUAAUAUACCAUCACCACCACAAGGAAUCAGUCAAGGCACGUGCGGUAAAGAAGUGCAUCAUGUGUAACCAACAUAUGUGCCACGUCCAGGAGAGAGAAAAUAAAGGAAAAUAACCAUUUUUGUUUUGUUUUGUUUAAUUUCUACAGCAAAAUAAUAAGAAAUGCUUCUUCUCUGACUCUCUAUUGAAGAACAGAACCCGUAUUGCAAAACAUAGCUAUUCAUGGCAGCCAAUUCAAUUUCAAUGUCUCAUGAAAUAAUUUAGAGCAUGUUAAUCGAAUUUUUAAGCAGAUUAAUAGCCCUCAAACAAAUUUUGAAAACAUGCAUCACAAAGGGAUAAAUUGCAAAUCGAAAAUUUAAGGGUUCAAGAUACUAAAGCAUCAAUUUCUCACAAAGUACUCAACCAAGUCACCCCAAAUUUUAGUAUGUAGGUCGAAUAACAUCAUCAAAACCACCCAAACAAUUUCUAGAAUCAUGCACAAAAUUUGGGAUGAAGAAAUAUAAUUACGCCAGUAACGCCGUUACAGACAAAAUACGCGAACUGAAACGCAUUGGAGUUUUGAUGCUAACAGGCACACAUACGGAAAUUACUUGAUUAAUAAAUCAUUCCAUAAAGCAGCCAUAACCCAUUUCUAUCAAGCUCUGAUACCAAUUGCUGAAUUUAACUGACCAAAUAGAUAAUAUACAUAUAGAUACAUAUUACAAUAUUACAGCAUGUUCUGAUUCAAUAAUGAGAAAAAGAAUUGUGCACCUGAAAGGAUUGAAGAAUACAUGAGUCUGUUGUUUGACCAGAGAAUGAUAGUGGAAAGACACCAGAGGAUGGAACUGCUCUCUGCACCUGGUAAUACAUUCUCUAGAUAAAUUGUCUAAUGGGGAAACAAUUUAUAUAUUACCAGUUGAGACCAGGGUCCCCUCAUUAGACAAAGUUAACUGAUCUAACCCAUCAUAGGACAGUUAAUAACAAAAGUCUAAUCUACCAUCUAUCAUAAUACAUUUAAUUGAAUUAAAUUAAUAAUUCACAUAAUUGAUAUUAAUAACCAAAACAAAAUAUAUCUUAGUUAAUUGAUAAUGUUAACCCACAUAACAAACAAUAGAGAUAGUUAAUUAUAAAUAAAUCUAACAUCACUCCCACCAUCUGAAUCACGGCCUCGCCUGCAACAUCAUCGUCCGGUGGCAAAAGACAUCAAUGGACAGGAACCACAAGUCUGAUGACAGUUACGUUUCUGGGUGAAAUCAUUUUAAUAUUUUUAAAUAAUAUUCAAAACUCUGAUAAUCAUGUGUCAAUUUAUUUGAUUUUGAUUGGUGUGAAUGUGAGCAUACCUAUUAAACUUUUUUAAUUUAGCAAUCAAUUUUAUCUUUUAAGAAAAAUUGAAAAAAUUAUAGUACAUAAACCCACACAAAAUUCUGUAGGUAUAUAUUACUAUUUUUUCUGUAGUUAUUACUUGAUAGGUAGAAAGUGAUAGGAAAAUCGAUAGCAAAUAUAUUGUGUUGGACCAUAGGAAAAUCUAUUGAAAAAUCUGGAUGAAAAUUCACAAAAGAAGUUGUAGAAAAAUUUGGAAAAACAGUAGGAGGAAUCUAUAGAAAAAUUGAUGAAUAAAUUUUCUUAUAAAUUUUUGCUACAAAUUUUUUCUGGGUAAAACUUCAUGAGAAUAUUUGAUAUUUCUCGUGAUUUUUUAAGGAAAUUUGAUUUGUAGAAAAAUUUAUAAGAAAUUUAGACAAGCAAAAAAGAUUAUUUUAAUAGCAAGGGGGGUAGGUUCUUGUAAGUUGGUCGAGCAAAUUAAUAAUAAUAUUUUAAUAGCAAGGGGUAGGUUCUUCGUUCUUGCAAGUUGGUCAGGAAAAUUGAUAAUAUUUUAUUCUUGUUUUCAAAAAAAAAGAUAAUAUUUUAUUCUUGCAAGUUGCUGGAGCAAGUAGCGGCAACCCACCCAGACGGAGGAAUUUAUUAUACACCUCUAAAAACUUGUGCAUAGUUGCACAUUUGCUUUUUAACCUGCAAUAGCAAGUUUAGUAGGUUUUUUUGUUAAAAAAUAAAAAAACAUAUAUAUUAGUAAACUAAUUAAUGAAGGAUUAAGUUAAUUAUUAACUCAGUAAUUAAAACCAAAAAAAAAAAUCUUCUUGCAAAACUCCCCCGAUCAUCCUCACCUUACUCAUCCCAUCUCCAGUCCCUAUCUCCCAGCCCUAACCCUUUCCUCCUCUUCUUUCUCCCAGCCACCGCAACUCCCCAGAUCUGCAACACCACCUUCAUAUCCCAACCUCCUUCUUCCUUUCAGCCAAGAAAAACCCACGCUCACUCUCUUUCAACAUCUUCAACAGUUUUAAGUUUCUUCCCAAAUUUCUUCAUCUUUGACAGAGAGAAGUUAAAUGCACCACCACGCCUUCCACCGCACUGCGCAACGCCUCCACCACCACCACUCGCAGCUUUCCCGCCCUCAGUUCAAGUAACCUCCAUCACACCGUCAUACACAUCCAUACGACCCCAAAGUCCCAAUUUUUCAGCUUCCAAACACCACUUUACGACCCCAUAAACAACCCAGAACCUGGGUGUGUCUCUUCUGGGCUAAAAACAGAAGAAAAAAAACAAGAUCUUGAUGAAGAGUAGAAGGCUUACUCUAUCGCUCCAUCUGAUGGGAACCAGAUCUGUGCGACGAAUCUUCUGCAGUCACUCCAUCGCUCUCCUUCUCGCACCUCUGAUUUUUGCUCCUUCAUCUUCUCUUUGGUUAUGGGUUGGGUUUUUGGGCUUAGUUUCUUGGCGGGGUUGGGGGUGAGGGUGGGAUGGGGUGCGAUGGGCUUCUUCUCUCUGCCACCGCCGUCACGCCUCAUCUCUCCAAAAUCCAUAUCACCCUCAGAUCUUCUUUCUCGACCCACGGCUGUUGAACGAGAUCCAGAUCAAGAGGGAGAUGCAGCUUAACGGCGAAGGCCACCCACAGAGAUGCAGCCCCAACGGCGAAGGCCGGUGCGGUUGGGUGGUUUUUUUUUUUUUUUAGAUCUAGAUUUUUUUGGGUUGUUGGUGAGAAUAACAGAGGAGAUGAAGGAGAAAGGUCUGUGGGGAAGACAAAGAGAGAAGAGGUGAUGAAGGGGGAGAGAGAAGAGGAACAGAUUUUUUUUUUUGAUAAAGAGGAAGAGGAACAGAUUAAGAUUAAGGAUAAAUGUUUUCUUUUUUAAUUAAUUAAAAAUAAAUGCUUAAUUAAGAAAAUAUGUUUUUUGAUUUUUUUUUUAAAAACUUGCUAUAGUGGGUCAAAAGGUCAAUGUGCAACCUUACACAAGUUUGUAGAUGCCCAUAAUAAAUUUUUCCAACCCAGACAAGCAAACUAAUCAAUAUAAUAAUGUAUUCUCCACUAUAAAUACCUAUAUGCAUCAAGCAAUGCAAUCACACCCAAAACCUUGUCUUCAGUUAUUCCCCAUUGAAGCAAGCAAAUUAAUCAUGUUACCUCUAGCAUUGGCUAUACCUGCGUUGCAGCUCCUUCUGAUAAUACUUUUCAUUCUAUCAGUUGCCCAGCUUCUUAAUCCAAAAGAGCAUAAAAAUGGUAGGAAAUAUCCACCAGGUCCCAAACCUCUGCCAAUUAUAGGCAACCUCCACCUGCUGGGUAAACUCCCACACCUCUCCAUUCACGAGCUUGCCAAAAAAUAUGGACCCAUCAUGUCCUUAAAGCUAGGACAGGUCCCAACCAUUGUGGUUUCGUCCCCUGAAACAGCAGAGCUAAUCCUCAAGACCCAUGACUCUGUUUUUGCUAGCAGACCUUUAACUCAAGCAUCCAAAUACAUUUGCUAUGACAGUAAGGGCUUGAUUUUCUCUGAGUACGGUUCCUACUGGCGCAAUGUGACGAAGCUGUGCACCUUUGAGCUCUUAAGCGUGAAUAAAGUUCAAAGUUUUGCUCCUUUAAGGAGUGAGGAAGUACGAGUGUUUGUGAAAUCACUUGAGAAAUCAGCAGCCUCACGCGAGGUUGUGAAUGUCAGUAAGAGAGUUGGGGAACUUGUAGAGAAUGUUGUCCAGAAAAUGAUUUGGGGUCCCAGUAACAUUGAAAAUUUUGAUGUCAAAAGGCUUGUUCAUGACGUUCUGCACCUCAUGGGAGUUUUUGAUGUGGGAGAUUAUAUACCUUGGGUUGGGGCAUUUGAUCUUCAGGUACUUCCAAUACAACCACUACUAGCAUGUUUGAAUCUACUUAUUUCGCUUCAUAAUCAUUUCUUAUAUGCAACAAUUAAACUUUUUUCCUAGAAUCAAUUUUGCCUUUAAAAGGACUAUAGAUCGAUUUUCGUACAUGUACUAUUGCAUCUUGUUCAAGGUUGUCAUCGAUUCUAAGUUUCUAGGUCCCAAAAAGAAUCAACUAGCAAGUAAACUCUAAAAUUUCAAGAAUCGAGCAAACUCUUGUUAACUUGGUAAACUCGCAUAGGCUUGCGAUUCUACACCAAGUUAGUCACGGAAAAAACAAAAACAAAUUUUUCCCUAAAUCCUGAAAUUAAAUGGAGUAAUUUUGGAUUUUCACAAAAAGCUUUCAAUUAAGACCGAGAGAAAAAUAGGAUUUUCUCAUUUUAAUCCAACAUUCUCAUUCACCUUCAAACUCUUGGAGAAGAUGAGACAUCAGCGCUGCAAGUCGUCGUCGCCGCUUUAAAUUUUUAGCUAUCUCCAAGACUUUAUUUUGAAUUAUGCAUUCUUGGUACUUUGAAUCUUUGAUCGUUUAUGUAUUUUAUUGAACUUUACUUUAUUAUAAAGUUGGUUGUUGAAUUUAUUUGAUUAUUGUCUCCUUAGUGGUUGUAUUAUGUAUUCUUUUUACACCAUGACAGGUUUUAUCAAGGUUUUUAUUUUGGUAGACUCUUACGAGUCUACGAGUUAACUUGAGGAAACGAGUUUACCUCCCAAAACGAGUUUGCGUAGACUCUCGAGUCUGACAACAUUGAUCUUGUUACUUUUGAUUCUUAAAAGUCUUAUGUGACAAACCUAGGACACAUCAUCAGUUAGUCCGUAGUGGCAUUCUACAAGGCUUUAUGAGACUGUAUGACACACCAUGCUACAUGCUGAUGUGAUAAUAUUGACAAUAAUAAAAAUCUCAAAUCUUUACACAGUGAUAAUUCGAACAUGAGACCUCAAUAUUUAUAGGACUUUGAACAUAUUUAAUCCUUAUUCUUAUCCUAAAAGAUUUUACAUUGUCCACUAAAUCUGACUUAAUAUUUAAUCCAUAUCUCAGGGACUAGUAAGAAAGUUCAAGAAAGCGCACGAGGAAUUUGAUCAAAUGUUAGAGCAAAUCAUCAAAGAUCAUGAGGCUCCUUCUCGUCUUAGCGACCAGAAAAACGGGCAAUCUAUUGACUUCACUGACACAUUGCUAUCACAUAUGAAGCAAUCAAAGGACAAACAUAUUAUUAACAAAACAAAUCUCAAGGCUAUUUUGUUGGAUAUUAUUAUCGGAUCACUUGACACAACUAUCAUGACGACUGAUUGGGCUAUGUCAGAACUACUGAGGCACCCGAAGGCUAUGACGAAACUUCAAGAUGAGUUAAAGAAUGUAGUGGGUAUGGGGAGGGUGGUAGAAGAAGAUGACAUACCAAAGUUGCCAUACCUCAAUAUGGUGGUGAAAGAGACCUUUAGGAUACACCCACCUGCACCCCUCCUCGUACCUCGCGAGUGUUUGGAAGAUAUAACAAUCAAUGGUUAUUUCAUUGCGAAAAAGUCACGGGUUUUAGUCAAUUCUUGGACAAUAGGACGAGAUCCUAAAAUUUGGUCAGAUAAUGCUGAGGAUUUUUAUCCAGACAGAUUUCAAAACACCGACACAGAUUCUCAUGGACUCCAUUUUCAAUUUCUACCAUUUGGUUCCGGUCGUAGACGCUGUCCCGGGAUGCAAUUGGGUUUAACUACCGUUCCGUUGGUUCUAGCUCAGUUAGUGCAUUGCUUCAAUUGGGAGCUUCCAUUGGGCAUGUCUGCCAAUGACUUAGACAUGACGGAGGAAUUUGGCCUUACAACGCCAAGAGUUCAAAAUUUGCUAGCGAUUCCAACUUAUCGCUUAGUAAAUGAAGGUAAUUGAAUGCAUCAAACCUCGUGACAAAGCAAGAAACUAUUUUAAUGUGUUUUUCAAUUUAUGUCUUUCUUUGUUUGUCUCUUAAUAAGAUCUUCAUGUGCGCACAGAGCUUCUUUGCAGCCCUUGGAUCGAUCAUACCUAAGAGAUUAUGCUGAUUUUUUUUAUUUUGGCACUGUAAUAAUUUGAUAAUCCUAUUACUCAUGAUGGGUUUCAAUACGUUAAGUCGGCGCAUAUCAUCAUGUAUUUGAACAUUGCAUGUUAUUUUCCUUUAGACAAAUCUCUCUAGCCCAACAACCAACAUAAAAAUUGGUUUCAAAACAAACAACCCAACACAAUUGGUAGCUAGAUAGCUGAGUUCGUUAAGCAUUUAUUUGAGAGUUUGAUUCUUGAGCAGUGUAUAUAGAGAAAGAUUUGUUGAAAAAGACUUACCCGCUCAAUCUAGAGCUGGGUACAAGGGUGGCCCACUCCGCACAAGCCUGCUUCGUGUUGCUUCGCCCCGCGUAGGCCCGCAUUUUAGCAGUCCUCUAUUUUCCGGGCUAUAACCCGCAGUAGUCCGCGGUUUUGCGGGCCGAUCCAUGGACUUUGGCAUCUCUUACCCCUUUUUUGCCUUUGUAGGCCUGCCCCGCAUUGACCCCCCCCCCCCCCCGCACUGGCCCGCUUCGCGUAGGCCCAUAUUUUAGCGGUCCUCUAUUUUCCGGGCUACAGCCCGCACUAGUCCACGGUCUCGCCGGCCGGCCCGCGUACUUCGACCCGCUUACCCAGCUCUAGCUUAAUCUAAUCUCAGAUCAUUGAAUAGAUUAGUCUUGGUGCUGCCAACUAUCAAAUACUUAAUAAAAAAUGGCUUAAAAGCACUUUUGGUCCCACAAAUUUCUAUUGUGUAAAUAGAGUCUUUAAUCUUUAAAAAUAUCACUCUUAAUCCCCAAUGUUACCCUCCAUCAACCUUCUUUGCAAUGGCUGAAGCUUGAAUUUUAUUUUUUUGAGGACCAUAGUAAAAUUUUAAUACGCAUAUAUACUUUCUUGGUUAUUUGGUGAGUUUCAGAUCAAAUUUCAGUAAAUAAACCAAAAUAUCUUUAUUAGAAAAACACAUAUGUAUACAACAAAAAUGAAAAAGAUUAACCUAACUUAUGUACAGGAACAAUAGAAAAUUACUAUAAGUUGUACUAAUAAUCUUUGAAAUUUUCUAUUUAGUUUUUUUUUCUUCAAGUUUUGGAUUAUUGGUAUAUAUAUUUUUUCCUUUAGAUAGCAUUUUUAUAUUUAUAAUCAAAAUUCUUUCUCUUAAUAAAAGAAUUUAUUCUUUAAUUUUUGGUUAUUAAUUUUUUGGGACAAGCUUCCAUAUGCCAUUUUUCUGAAGAGGCAGGGGUGCCCCCCUUUCCUAGCCAUUGAUUUAUAAUAUUUUAAUUGAACGAUCCGGAUCAGUUGAGGAAGAUAAUUAUGGCUUGGUCCUAUGCACUAGUCAAAAUAUAUCUCUGGUCCUAUUACAUUUUAUAUUCACGUAAAUGACUGUAAAGUUUAUGCAAUCCAUUAUAGACCCUAUGAGUUUUCAUAUCUAAAAAUUAGUCCUAACUAUAUAUACACAAAACCAUGAAUUAAAUUCAUUUUAUGCAUCCAAAAUCUGAAGGAUCCAUUGCUCUUCUCUCUUCUCCAAACUUACUUUCUCCUUCUCCUACAAGUGACAAUGGAUUAAAACAAAUGAGGAUGGAGAGUGGUGGAUCCAAAAGUGGGGAUUGUGCAUUGAUGAGUUGUGGAUCUAAAACUGGGGUUGUCCAUGUCAAAAAAUAUGUUUAUGGUUUUGUGAUAACAAUCUCAUAGAUAAGUAUAGUGAAAGAAUAGAAAAAUAAUUGCAUAAAACUAUUCUCACUUUCUGGGUUCCAUAAGUGGUAACUAGUUAGGAAAAAUAAUUUUAUGUUGUUGUUUGUUCAAUGUUUGGUGAGAAUUUGUGCAAAAUCUGUGUCUCCUUGAUGUUCCUCGUCAAGUCACAGUCCCAACAAGUCAUACUAGAGCUUUGAUGGUGACUCGAGGUGGUCGGAAUCAUCAUUUUCGAAAAUGACCCAUUUUUAAAAGUUCCUGAAAUGAAAAUCUGAGGUCAUAGAUGGAUUCAGAAGGUUGAGACGAGUCCGGAACAAGUUCCGGAAUCUCAAACGGAGCCUGGACGAAGCUACACUCUCCCGCACUUGCCGGCGAGGUGGCCGGAGAGUGAGCCCACUCUCGGCCACGCGCUCCACUCGCGCUAGAGGAAGAAGGAGAGUGGCGGCCACUCUCGGCUAUGAGACACACGCGCCUGAUGACGUCAGAGACGCUGAUACGGCUUGUUCUCAUGCUGACAUGUGACAGAAUGUGUUUUUUGGAAAUUUUGGGUCAUUUUUAUCCGUUUUGGGUUCAAGAGGAGUCGAUUCUAAGGUUUUCGACCGUUCCGGACGCAAUGGUGUGGUUCUUUUCUUGAAAAUCUUUCCAGAUUUGCAAAUAGGACCAGAUAUUGGCCUUUGAAUAAACUUAAGUAAUGUGUUUUUUUAAUAAAUUUGGUCAUUUUUAUCCGUUUUGGGUACAAGGGGAGCCGAUUCUAAGGUUUUCGACCAUUCCAGAAGCAACGGUGGUAUUCGUUUCAUGAAAAUCUUUCCAAAUUUGCGGAUAUGAUUAGAUCAAUUCUAAUAUUUAAAUGAAUACUAGUGAAUUGAUGGAUAAUGACACUUUUAACCUAAUUUAGUUAUUCUAAAGUCUACGUUAAACUAGGAUUAUCCAUUUUAAUGACCUCUUAACUUAACGUUAGUUAUUCCAUUGACCCUUUUAAACGAAUGUUAGUUAUACUAUUAUCUCGAUUAGACUAGGGUUAGUUAUUCUAAUGACCCUCCUAACUGAAGCUUAGUUAUACUAUAGUCUUAGUUAGACUAGAGUCUGUUAUUCUAUAGUCUCAGUUAAACUAGAGCUUGAAAUUCUAUAGUCUCAGUUAAACUAUAGCUUAAAUCAGGUUUAUCUAUUAUAGUGGUUUUCUUAACUUAAGAUUAGUCAACUUGUGUUAGCGCAAAAAAAAAAAAUCAAAGUAUGAAAAAAAGGGCCAUCAGCCAAACAAAAUUCCAACAGAAUUGGCUAAUGCAAAAAAGCCCAGAUAUGCGUUUUUUGCACCAAAAAAGGAGGGGUCAGCAGCAAAAAAAACUAGCCCAAGAAAAAAAACAAUCAAAUCCUUAUAGAAAAGUGAAGGGCCAUCAGCCAAACAAAAAAAACCAACAAAAUGGGCUAAUGCAAAAAGGCCUAGAUAUGUGUUUUUUACACAAAAAAGGAGGGGCCAGCAGAUGAAAAAAAAAAACCUAGCCCAUUUUUGUUUUUUUUCCGAGUUCUUUUUUCUUCUGAUUUCAUUUAUUCUGAUUUCAUUUAUGAGCUUUUUCUAAGGAUUUUUCAAUAUCAAAAACAUACUUUUGAGACUUUAAUUCACAGUUUUUGAAAUUAAUAAAAUCUCAUUUUGAUUGAUUAAUCUGAGUUAAAAUAAAUGAUUAACUAACUGUUGGUUGUUAUUAUAAAUACUCUUAAUUAUGUUGAUAAUCAUAAUAAGGAGGAGGGAUGAAAAAAUGAACUAAAGAAGAUGGAGAGGAAUCUUAUCCUUCUCGACCACUUUAAGCAUUAACUUCAUGAUGAUUAAACUCUUUGAUUUGGACCCUCGAGAGUUACGACACACCUCAGAGAACCCAAUGAUGAAGAGGAAACUAUAGAACAUUUACACUUGGACCUUGAACUAGGGUUAGUUAUUUCAUAGUCCUGAUUAAACUAUGAUUAUAUGUUCUACUAACUUUAAUAACCUAAGGUUAGUUAUUCAAUAGUCCCUAGCUAGGGUUAGUUAUUCUAGUUACACUCUUAACUUAAGGUUAGUUGUUUUAAUAGUUCCGAUUAAACUAGAGUAUCUAUUCUAAUGACCAUCUUGUUAGGACAGGCCACAAUUAUAGCAUCUAUAAAGAAUAUUCGAUCAAGAUGAACCAUAUGGAUGAUCAAGAUGAAACAUGUGGAUGAUCAGGAUGAACAUGAUGGAUGAUUGUGAUCUUGAUGAUGGAUGUCAUGAUGGGUGGUCAAUAUGAUCAUGAUAGAUGAUUAAGAUGAACCCGAUGGAUAGCCAGGAUGAAACUCAUGGAGGAUCAAAAUUGUCACGAUGGAUGGUCAAAAUGAAAUUGAUGUUAGAUUAUAUUUAUAUAAAAAGGUCAAGAGUGACUUGUCAGAAAGUCGACCAUGUUGAACAACACAUCGUUAGCUAAUCUCGAUCUUAAGUUCCUAAUAUUAGCUAGUUCAAGCAAGAUUAUUGACAUGUCAAAACAACAUAACCAGGCAUAUAAAGCUUUUAAGUUUUUAAGAUUAGAUAUUUCGGUUAAGAUCAACUUGUCGAAACAACCUGAUAAAGCUUUCAAGGUUGAUAAGUUACAAAGAUUAGCCAACUUGACGUGUUCAUACAAUCAAAAGAUUAAUUGGAUGUAUGUGUAAAGUGUAAACAAAGUUUACACUGUCGGUGCAUACACAUUUAAUCAUUCAAGUAAAUAACUGAUUUUAUUCUACUAAUAAUUAAAUAGAGAUUAAUUUUCAUGCACUGACAGUGUAAAUGAGUUUACACAGGUUCAAUCAUAUCUCAAUUUUUUGGCUCAUAUUUAAUUUUAAAUUUAAUAAUAUUUAAAAUAAGAAAUAGAAUGUUGUGAUUGAAUGAUUGGGUAAAACCUUUUAUACUGUGAGUACAUAAAAAUUAACAUGAACGAAAUAACCUGAUUUUAAUUUUUGGCGCUCAAAAUUUAAAUUUUCCCGCUCAUAUUUUGAUUUUUUUGAAAUUAAAACACUGAUUUUAGUCAAUUGAUUUUACGUGUGAGCUCCUCCUUUUUUGGCUUAUUUUAAUCUUUAUGCUCCUUUCAGAGUUCCCGCUCUUCCUUCUUUUAGUUUCCCUCUCUUUUUCAUCUGUCAAAGUAUUCAGGACUCAAUUGGAGAAGAAAAAUUAAAAAAUUCUAGAAAUCUUAUCUCUAUCCUACUUGAGAUUUCCUAUCUCACUAAUCUGUCCUUUUCAUCUUACUCUCUCACAUUUUCACUAUCUCUUUAUCUCCACCUCUUCUGCAUCUCCUUAUCACUUUACAGUCGGAUCCAGUUCCUCUCCUGCCAAUCUCUCUCCGGCGUCUCACCGCACACGGCCGUUGAAGCUCAUGACCGCCGUCUCCGCCAAGGACCCAAACAUCGUCGCGUCUCAUCGUUCUAUCACCGCUCUCGGCGCUGGCCUGAUCACGACCGCCUUAUCCCACCCAUUGUGCCUCUCGCUGACGAAGCAAACCCAACCGCGUCUCGCCGUCUCCGAUUCUCUCAUUCAAUUUGUCGCCGUCAAGCUCAAGCCCCAUAUCCUUCAGAACGACUACCCCUGGUUUCCAAUUUCAAAUUUAGGAACACGAAACCUGUAACAUUGUACAAGAGGAAUGCAUAUUGUCUUGGCAUUUUAGAUUUUUUGUGGUUGUACCAGAGGACAUGACUAGGUGAAGAGUAGUACCUCGGACGGUGAGUUCAAUUUCCUACCUUCCGCUCUUAUGUUCAAUUUUUAAUUUUACUUCCUCUGUUAUUCAUCUCUUUCUCAUUUGGCUUACCAUUUGUCAGGAAAACAAAAUUCUGUGCAUAUGCUAAACUAGCCAUUAAAAAAAUUGACUUUGAUAUGAGGGUGUUUUUUUGGAUGAUUGGUCUAUCUUGGCUUAGAAACUGAUUUUUGGUGAUUUGUUUUCUGCAGCAAAAAGGGUUUUCUGUGAUACUUUCAGACAUGCGUCCAUCGGUUUCUGGAAUCACAAUCGGUUGUUGGCAGUGCUGCUUCUUCUGUUCAAGCUUCAGCUGAUGAUGAUGAUGAUUAUAUUCGGGAGGAGCAAAGUGUUGAUGAUCCAUCCGGUUCAAAUGAUAAGGGAGUCUUGCAAGUUGGAGGGAACCUUAUUAUAAAGAUUUUGGAGAGUGAAGAUUCCAAAGGUGGUUCAUUUUUCUCAAGACUAGUUUUAUUCCAGCUGAUUUGGUUGCGUAAUGUGUUUAUUUAAUCUCUUUUGAAAUCUUCUGCUGCAGAAAUCAGUCAGAUUUGUAAACCAUUAUUUAGAAAGUCAUCGUAGCUGAGGCCUAAAGCCACAAGACCUUCCUCAAGAGAGAUCUAUUUGAUAUGUCAUGGUUUAAAGCCAGACGCAAAGACAUAGGUUGUUUUAUACGAUAUUCUUUGUCUGGGUGAACAUUAGGGAUGAACAACAUACAAAACUCACCUUCUCCUUUAUUUUUUUAUGUUCAUUUUCAUUACUAUAUUUGUGCUUGAUUUUGUUAAAAGGGUGUUCUACUUUUGGGCUCUACUAUGGUCAUGGGAUAUUUUCUAUUCUUAAUUUAAUUAUAAUAAACUACUUUUAAGAUCAGUCGGGGACCAUAUAAGAGACUAUCAAAUUUUUUACCUUGUGCUCAAACUGGAUUUUCUAAUAUUUUUGUUAUGAUCUUAUGUUCCUGAUUUAAUUUAUACCAUUUUAAACUUAAAUUAACAGGAUCUGUUGCAACAAUGGGUAAGAACCAUUUGUGAGUUUAGUGACAUAAUUUGAUUGUCACCUUGGUUUCAAUUGUGCAUGACACUCAUUUGUUUCUUGCCUUGUUUACUUUGUGUUUUCCUGAAUGAUUUUCUUGUUUGCUGUCUGACAAGUUUUUAGUUUCAGGCACACUAGUUGUUCAAUGAAAUAGGAUAAAUGUGCGAAAGCAAGAAUCAUGAAGGUGAAAGAGCAACCCGUUUUAGGCUGAGUAGCACCUUAUUGAAUCGCACCUCCAAUAUUUUGUUCAUUGUGAGAGGUCCAUUUGAAAAAUCUGGGAAUUUUUACAUUAUUCCUUCGAUUUGGGUGCCUCUCUCUAUCUCUCUCUGUCGAGUUCACCAAUUUCUUUGUCUAUCAUCACUAAUUCCUUUGUUUAUGUUCUGCAUAGUGAGAUUAAUUGAUUGCUUUAAAGAAGUCAAUUUAUGAGACUGGGCAUUCAAGGGAGUUCCAGUGAUUUGGUUACCGAGGUAUAUGGACUAUGUAGUGGAUUAUCUUUCACAAAUCGUACCGACUGUCUAGCGCAAGUUGAUCCAGGUUUCUCCUUCCUCGACCUUUCACAUUUUUUUAUGUGAAUUUAAUUUACAUUAUGAAUUCUUUAUUGAUUUGGGUUUGUGGAAAGUUCAGGACUUUCAUGUUUUAACCAUGUGAUGUGUCCAAUUGCAAUGAGUAAUGUUCAAAAUCACUCUUUGUCAUCAAAUGUUGGCACAUCAAAUUUGCGAUUGAAAUUUAAGAAACGUGAACUUUACUACGUAAUGCAUCCAAAUGGUAAAGCUCUUAAUUCAUUGUUGAUUUUUCUUUGGCCAUUCUCAUGAUUUGGUACUGUUAAAUUGUGCUAUUAACUUUUGAUUUUCUAUAGUGAUUGUGCAUGUUUUGUCUUUAUCUACUUUCUUCUUUCAUCUGUUUGUUGGCUACUUAGAUAUAUGACAUACUCCUAUUUUCUCAGAAUCAAUUAAUUUCCACACAUGCGCAUAGUGUGCUACUUGUUUCUAAUUUUGUUUCAUUGACUCCAUGUUCUGUGGUGCUAAAAUUAACUUGUGGCAGUUUGUAGGAGGAAAAAGGGUGGAUGGUUUCGUGUCUGAGAUCAUUUGGUCAUGCUAAUAUUGACUGUUUAAUAGGGAGGAUAAAGGAUAAAUUGUAAUGCUGUUUGGAAUGAAGGAGGAUAAAUUGUAAUGAAGGAGAUUGACAUCUGGUAUUGAUUGUAUUUGUUUAUAUAUGGUAAAGUGGCCAGAAAUUUCCUUUAGAUCAGAAAAGUAGAAAUGAAAGGUAGAGUGGAUCGUCUACAUUCACUGAGUGCAUGUUUGUAAAUUUAAUAGAUUUUCUCAUUUGGGGGUUAAAUGAUUCUGGAAGAAGCUAUCAGAAGUAAUUCUUACAUAGGGAAAAAUGAUCAUGAGAGAGUUAAAGUAGAUCCAAAAAUGGUGAAAAUUAGCUAUAUGUAUUACAGAGGAAAACAUUUUGAGGAUUGAUCGAUAAAAUUAAAUUAUCGCAUGAUAAUCCCAAUACAAGCAACCAGGAAACUCUAUAAAUGUCUAUACCAGCUUUUCCAUUUCUAAGUAUCUAGGAGAAUUAAAUUUAGUAGGUAUACGCAUAAUGUACAAUAUUGUUUUAAUUGCAUUAACAGUACAAAAAAGAAGAAAUUGUUUGUUAUGGAAUACUGGCUUAACUUUUCCUUCAAUGAAUUUCAUAAUAAAGUACAAAAAAAUGUGGAUUCCAUACAUUAAUUCAUUUGUGGGGCACUAUGAUCUAUUUGACUAUAGUAUAAGGAUCCAUCUCACACAUAACAUUACAUGUGCACAUUUCAUAUUAGAUGAUUUAGUUUCUAGCUUACUUUUUAAUAUUAUCAGUGUUACUUUUUAAUGGCUUACUUCAUUUUUGAGUCACUUGGUAUUCCAGUUCUACUGAGCUAGGUGUAUAUAACUUUGCUGUUUUUCACUGUUUCUUGGUGCAGAAAUUAGACCUAACACAACUAAGCCUUUGGAUUCUGAGUGUUUUUCCUCAAAAACUUGUGCUUCCUAGGCAAUUCUAUUUGCUUCAUUUUUUUUAUUCUCAACUAAUUGGAUCAAUUGCAUGAUUUAGUGAAGUUCCAACCCUGAUUAUUUGUUCCAGCCUUGGAACCACCUUGAAAAAUGAAUUUUGUCACUGACAUUCCUCCAGUCAGUGUUGAGAAAAAUAUUUUUUUUCUUCUCUUUUGAUGCCAAUCCUAUAAGAUAGCAAGAACAUGAACAUUUUUGGCAGAGAAUCAAAUAGCUUAUGGAGGAAUGUUGUGGUUGAAAGAUAUUCGCAAGACCCUUUGUCACUGCUCUGGCACUUAGAAUUAUCAAACCCUUCGGUUGGAUCCAUUGUAAUCCGGGACACUUAGAAUUAUCAAACCCUUCGGUUGGAUCCAUUGUAAUCCGGGACAUAUGGAAGGUGCUUAUAAAUGAUGAUUUGAUUUCUGCCGGUUUCAUGGAAAACCUUCUGGUUGUUGUGGGAGAUGGCAAGAAAACGAAGUUCUGGAAGGACCCAUGGGUAACUGAUUCUGCCCUUUGCAAUGUAUUCCCUAGACUGUAUGCUUUGAGUGAAAACAAAGAAGCCAGAAUUGCAGAUGUGGGCUCUUUCUCCAGAGGGUCAUGGGAUUGGUCAUUAAUAUUUCGCAGAUCGUUUUUUACAUGGGAGGAGGAACUUUACUCUUAGCUCCUGGUCUCGAUCAACUCCAUUAUUCCAGCUUCCUUGGGGGGGAGAUUACCUGAUAUGGUGUCUUAAUCAAAAGGGCUUCUUCUCGGUUAAGGAGCUUUGCAAUUAGGCUGAAGAUCAAACCUUCAUUAACCGUACUUGGCAAGUUCCUAAAAAUGUAGCAAAACUUAUUCCUCCCAAAGUUGCUCUCUUUUUCUGGCAGGCACAGAAGAACAAAAUUGCAACUAGAGCCAAUUUAAUUUCUAGAGGUAUUGAUCUAGCUGACUCAUCUUCUUGCCCUCUUUGCAUGACCAUUACAGAAACUUGCUCUCAUCUAUUUCUACACUGUAAUUACACUUGGUCUCUGUGGUGCUCGAUUGUAAAUCGUGAAGGUUUUUAUUGGGUUGUUCCUUCGUCUCUAGAAGGACUCAUCUCUGAAUGGGACCAUUUACCCAAACUUUCUGACAAGCUGCUUUGGAGUUUAAUACCAUAUGCGCUAUCAUGGUCAAUUUGGAUUGAAAGGAAUAAUGUGUGCUUUAAUCAGAAGACUUUCAAUUGUACAGAAGUAUGGGAUCUUCAUCUCUCACGAAUUGGGUGGUGGACGCAUGAUUUGCUCCUUCAAAAUGCUUACAGUAUUGAACAAUUGGCCAGGAAUUUUGAGCUAAUCAGAUUUGGGUCCAAAUUGCCUACUGCAAGACAUGCUGGCUGGACUCCUCCUGAAGUGGGUUUAAUUAAAAUUAACGUAGAUGGUGUUGCCAGAGGAUCACCGGGAAGAUGUGGUAUCGGUGGUAUAUUUCGAAAUAGUGAUAAUGAGAUUCUGGGUUUUUUCUCUAAACAUGUUGGGGAAGGCUUUGCUUUUGAAGCUGAGGUGUGGGCGAUCUUUGAGGCACUUACAAUCUGUGUUAACCGACAAUUGAGAAAUCUAACAAUUGAAAGUGAUUCUUCUCUAGCUGUCGGUUGGGUCAAUAAUCGAAGCAACAGACCAUGGAAAUUGUUGAACAAGCUUAACCAGAUUGACCUGUGGGUUGCGGAGGUAAAUUGUUUAUCGGUGAAACACAUUUUUAGAGAGGCAAACGGCGAAGUUGAUAAAUUGGCUAAGCGAGGAGCUGAUCAUCCGAGGGACUUAUAUUACUUCAAGACUUCCAGCCAUCAUCAAUAGUACUGGAUUUUUUUCUCCGAGGGUCGAGUAGUAGUGUAAACCGUGUGGGAAUUGUAUUCUAUAUUGGCUAGCUUUCCUUAUCUUUCUAGUAGGUUGUUUUAAGCUUGCGGUUUCAUGUACUUCACUUUGCCUAAGUUAUAUCUCCUCUGCUUGUUAUCUCUGUUUUGUGGUUGGUUGCCUUGGUUAGAGUACUCUUUUUCCUCUCCUUGGGUUUUUCCCACUGGGUUUUCCCUUGGAGAGGUUUUGAUGAGGCUUUCUCCUUGGCCGGGUUUCCUAACCACAUCUCUUUAGCAGUUUUGUGAGACUUUUUGUCCACAUGAGAGGAUUGUUCUCAUGGCUUUAUUCUUCAUUUUCUAUAUAUAUAUAUAUAUAUAUAUAUAUAUAUAUAUAUAUAUAUAUAUAUAUAUAUAUAUAUAUAUCAGUUGUUUCUCAAAAAAAAAAAAAACAAUAAAAUUAUUUUGUCCAAUUCCUUGUGACAGGAUUUAUUCUUAACUAGGUAAUAUGGGAUAAUUAUAUCUUCACACCUCAAAAAUGAGGUGUGGAGAAGUGGAGGAAGAGAGAGAUAGGAAGAAAGGAGAGAGAAAGUAAAGAUGUGAUAAAUGAUUUGAUUGAUAGAAAAAAGAGAAAUAAAUAGAAAUAAAGGUGGAAAAUAAGUGGAAAUGUGUGUAUAUAUCAUAAUUCGGUAAUAUGUGAUAUGUAGGGGGCGAUAAGUAACAAGAUCAAAUUUAUAAUAAAUUCUUAAACUAGUUUUCUUUGCACAAGACAUUGUUAGGAAUUGGAUGAUACUUGACCGAACUGCAAAUAGCAUAUUCAGGCUCUCAAUAUAGUAUAGCUUAAAAUCUAGUGUUUCACAAAGUCACCAACAAAUUUUGAAAAAAAAAGAAGAGGUGAUGAUUCAAGUGCUACACAAAGUCAAGAAACUACUAUGUUAACUCAAGAUGCGCUUACAGAAGUAAUGACACUUUAAGCCAAUUUGGCAUCAAUAAUUCCACUAGUUUAUUUGUUGUACAAAUUUUAUGAUCAUAGGGUUCUUUAAUCACAUACAGCUAGUGAAAAACCAAAUCUCAGCAAUCAGAGAUGGCGUAUGAAUAUAGAAGAGUUGAGAUAAGGUCCAACGAAAUAUGUGAGAGGAUGUGUUUAAGUGCAUUGUUAAGUGUGUGGAUAUGAAGUGAUGGAGCACAAUGACAUAAAGUUAAAGUGCAUCAGGAAGCGUGUCGACAUAAAGCUGACAUAAAGAUGAUGACAUCGUGUAACGUGUUGACAUAAAUGGUAAAUGGUGUAACCUAAUUAAUUGAGUUAGGAUUUAUUUACACCUUAAUUUCACUUUUACUUCACUUUUUUAUUUAUUUGUCUCUUAUCUUUCAAUCAUAUUAUCACAUAUCACAUCUCUUUUUUUUUUCUCUCUCUCUCUUUCUUCCUAUAACUCUAUUCUUUCCACCUCUUUCACACUUUUGAUGUUUCUGCAAGGUGGCUUAGACCACAGGCAUAUCAAUGUGACGUAUUGGUAGCCAAGGAAAUCCUAUAAUGCACCCUAAACACACACGUGGUUUCACUUGCACCAUUCAUGAAUGUACUUCAAUGCAAGAAAUUCUAUUUUAUUUAGUCUGUCCAGUUUUUAGACUUGGAGUGUCUAUUGCACAAGGACUGUCAGAUUGAUUUGAGGUGCAUUUCAUUAAAGCGCCACUUUACUUUGUAACUUAUGUCCCUUUAUGCAAUUUGGUAAAAGAAAUAUUUAUUUACUAUUAUGAGUAUUCUCCUCUUUCUCUUUUAUAGCAACGAAUAAUAGCAUUAGGUACAGAUUGUAAUGUACAAUCUUAAUGCGCAUAUGGAGCUCACUUUUACAAAAUUUGGUGCAAUAUUGGGCAUAUUCACAAAACUAUGGUAUACAGGAAAAUUGAAAAAAGAGAUGGCUUCUGAUUUACGUUGUUAGCAUAAUAAUUAAAUCUAGUCUAAGAUCAGGAAGCAUAUGAAUUUCGAGGUAGCCUUGCAAUUAAGAAUGGUGGUCUCUUAAAUUUGCACCCAGGAAUAAUUACAUAGACAGUUCUUGUUGGUCUUUAAUGGUCCUAUUGGCCUAGCUUACUACCUCUGAUAAAGUAGUUUCAACAGAUCUGUAAUACAAACUUCAGCCCCUUUGACUUUAAAUUUAAAUUUACAUCUUCCUAAACCUUUGUUUUUCCCCGUUUCAAAUUUAUCCCUUUUUUUUGGGAAAAAAAAACCUGGCUUUGUUGUUAAAAAUAAAAGGGUUAAUGGUCAAAUUGGUCCCUGUGUUUGUAGUGAAUUUUGAUUUUAGUCCCUCCCCGGAAAAAACUAGCCGAUAUCUCCCUGUAGUUGCAAGCAUUUUGGUUCUAGUCCUCACAGGAGGUCGGAGCUCCGGUGAGAGUACUGAGUGGCAGGCCAGAGAUGACAUGGCAUUAUCCACGUCAUUUUCAAUUUAUUUAUAUUUCCACGUAAAUAAUUAAUAACUAAAUUAAAUAAAAUUAUUAAUUCAUUCAAAAAUAAAAUCUAGAAAAUAUUGGGAAAAAUUAAAAUCAAAAUUUUAUAAACCCUAAUCCCCCUGCAUCUUCUCAAUCAAGCCUCUCUUUCUCUUCCCCACCCGGUUCCCAAUCUGAGCAGCAAAAAUCACCACCAUUCCAUUCCAGGAAUCAAAACCAACUCAAACCUCAAAACGGUGGUUUGACCUUCUCGCCUCACAACUCUCUUUCUCACCUUUGACCUUCCAUAAUCUUUUACGCGCUGGUGGUUUCAAUGGAGGUGCCACCUAGAACGGUGGUCGUGGCUUGGUGCGGUGGGUCGUUCAUCGUUGGAAUGAGAGCUUAGGUCGACGGAAAUAAAGGUUGUGGCAGACUAGCGGUGAAGGAGCAGAACCAGAUCGAGACCCCACUCACCCAGAUCGCGAAUCCGGUUUCUUGCGAACUCAAAAAGCGAAUCGCCCCUGGAUCCGCCUUCACCACCCCAUGUCGCCGCCGUUGUCGUCCUAAACAACCGAAGAGCCUUGAUGGGGAUACGUUCCAGUUGCUCAGUCAUGUCGGUUUUCUGGGUUUUGAUAUGUGUGGGUUAUGAAUCUGGAUUUUGUGGAUUACAUGGAUCUGGGUUAUGUGGGUUUUGAAUUUGGGUUUUGAAAACGAUUCAAUUGAUCUGGGUUAUGUGGAUUCUACGGAUUUGGCCAUUGAGUUUCUAACUAGAAUUUGUGUUGUUUUCUGGGUUUUCAAUGUUUGGCCAUUUUGGACUUUUUUCGUUUUCUGGGUUUGAUGAUGAGUUUGAAGAUGGAGAUGAUUAAAGAAGGAUGAAGGGGAAGAAGAUGAAGAUGAUUAAGACAUUUGAGCUUUUGUAUUUUUCACUUUAGUCAGGUCUGAAGUGUGGGCGUGGAUGGUAUUAUGUCAUGAAAUAUAUGAUGAGGAAAUAACUGAUAUGUUGGGUGCUGCAGAAAUUUUGUUAGGCGCACAUAAGGUGGUCAUGGUUGCUGAAAUCGUGGAUAUGGUUCUAAAUCUACCUUGUUAGGCGUGGAUAUGGUUCUUAGUACUUUGAACAAUUUUUGAAUUAAUUAAUAAUUUUAUUUCAUUUAGUUAUUAAUUAUUUACGUGGAAAUAUAAAUAAAUUAAAAAUGACGUGGAUAAUGCCAUGUCAUCUCUGGCCUGCCACUCAGCACUCUCACUGGAGCUCCGACCUCCGGUGAGGACUAGAACCAAAAUGCUUGCAACUACAGGGAGAUAUCGGCUAGUUUUUUUCGGGGAGGGACUAAAAUCAAAAUUCACUACAAACACAGGGACCAAUUUGACCAUUAUCCCAAAAUAAAAUUAUACAAAAAGAAAGUAGUACUUAGGGAACUAAUUCUUUGGAAAUUAAAUGGACGCAAGACUUGUUUAACUAAGGUGAGAAAAGAAAGUUGAACAGCCACAAUAACCGUUAAAAACUGGCCACUAUAAUGCUAGUCAUUCCACUAAAAAAAAAGACAAUCUAGAGAGCUGAAUCUAAAAGUUAAAGUUACAUUAAAAAUGUAGGAGCUUAAUACAGUGACACACAAUAAUUACCAUUCUGACAAAGUAAUGCUACUAAAUUAAGGGUAAAUAGCUCCCAACUUGCACAAAUUUUCUUCAAUUUGAGGCGAAGAAGAGGAAGAACUAUAGAACUCUCCUACUAAAAAUAAUAGACAAAUUAUAUGAGUCACUUACAAAGAACACAUUUGAAAAGUAAAAGCAACGUAAACAAAAUUUAGAUAAGAGGCUAACUUUGCCGGUUAAUAGUGGAGGCAUAAAAUCAAAGUGUAUGGAGCAUAAAAUUUCAACAGCAAUAAAAAGAUAAACAUAACAUUAUGAUGAAAUGUAACUCAUGGAAACUCAAAAACUUACUCAAUGACUCUUACUCCAUGCCACCAAGAACCAUUUUUUUCAACGAAUAAAAAUAUUCACAUCCCAAAGAUGAAUUUCCGAGGAUGAAUCUCACUUCAAACACAAACACAAAUUCAAUUCAUAAGACAAAGCAAUCACUGAGCCCAUACUUUGUUAGCUUCCAGCACUGGUCUUGCAUCAAGCUUAUCAAGGGUGAAAUCACAACCACCACUUUCCCAAUUAACAAUGAGGAAUCUGAAAGCACAGGGACUUACCUGCAUAGAAAAAACCUUCCUGUAAAUAAAUACACAAUUACUAAGAAGCACACAAGAUUAAUCAGAGAGAAAUAACAAAACCAGAUCCUGUUGCAGCAAGAACAAGACAAUCUUCAUUUGCAACCCAAGCAGCUAGGGCUUCCUUCUGAAAACUUUUCAAUGCUGAAAACCAAAAAUGCUUUUGCAACAACUUGCUAACUCUGUGCUCCCAAUCAGAUGCUACAUCCAAAUCUCCAUUCACAUCAGAGUCGCUGACGACAAAGGGAAACUCCGGGACGGUCUCGAUGCGGUGGCCGCGGGCGGGCGAGGAUGAAUGACGGAACAACGGAGGUUGCGAUGGCGGAGACCAGGGCGUGGCGCUUCUGGUUCACGUUGAUCUUGCGGUGCCAGCGACGCCAGAUCUUUGUGGGAGCGAACAUGUGACCACCACGACACAUGUUUCCGAAAGCUCCCUGGCCAGCAUGGUGGGUACAACCACCGGGGACACGGGGGAUACGGGAGAAAGCACGACCAGUUCCUCAAGACUCGGCGAAGCACUGGUGGCCGGCGCGACGGGAGACGGCGAAAGGCUGGCGGCUAUUUUUGGAGAUGUUGAAAUGGGCGAAAUUUUCGAUGUCAGGACGGAUUGAAGCUCUCAUGACAUUAGGGAUGGAAUGGUGGUGGCAGCAUCGGAGGACGCAUCGUCUCUUUUUCUGGUGGUGUGGCCGUGGCUGUUGUGGCUCGCCUGGAAUAGAGGAGGAUGUUGUGGCUCGCUUGGAACAGAGGAGGAGACGAUGGUGCACAACUCUGUCGAGGAAGGAGGAGCCAUAGAAGAAGAGUGGAACAUGGUGAUGUUUCAGCAGAAAGAAAACGAGAGAGAAGGAGAGUGAUGAGAGAGUGAGAGCAUGAAUCAGUUAGAUGAGGGAGAGAGUAAGCGGAUCUGAUUUGAUGAGAGAGGAGAGAUAUGUGCUUGAGAUGAGAGUAUUGAGAUAAGGAGGAGAGAGAGUACAUAGGUGCCUACAUCUCAUUGGUUGAAGGGGAAAGUUGAGAGGGAAAGUUAAGAGAGAAAAUUGGGAGGGAAAGUUGAAAGGGAAAGUUAAGAGGGAAAGUUGGGGGGAAAGUCAAGAGGGAAAGUUGAGAGGGAAAGUUGAAAAUUUGAGCACCUAAAAUCAGGUUGUUUCAGCUAUUUCGUUUGUUAAAUGAUUAAAGAUAUAUGCAAUGAUGGUGUAAACUUUGUUUACACAAACAUCUAAUUAAAUUUGGUUUGGUCAAAAAAUGUGUUUUUAUUUUAAUUGAACUUAAAAAUGAAUGUAAUUCUCUUUUCUAUGUUGUAUACAUUGAUUAGAUUGUUUCAACAAGUCGAGUUGGCUAAUCUUAGUAACUUAUCAACCUUAAAAGCUUAAUUAGGUUGUUUCGACAGGUCAAUCUUAACCAAAAUAUCUAAUCUUAAGAACUUAAAAGCCUCAUAUGCUUAUGUAAUUUUGGCAUAUCGAUCUUGCAUGAACUAGUUAAUAUUAUGAACUUAAGAUCAAGGUUAGCUAACUAUGUGUUGGUUCAAUAUCGGGUUCGUCCUUAUUAUCUAUCGGGUUCAUUCUAAUCAUCCAUCAGGAUCAUAUUGAGAUGGUGAACGAUCUCCUCAUCAUUAAUCACAUGCCACGGCAAUGUCUAUAGCUUAUGAGAUGGUGAAGAUUAAACUAAUACUAAUUGAUAUAUGAAAAGGAAAAUUCAAAUGCAUUGCACCAACAAUAUCUAUAGCAUAACUAAUUAGAUAGAUAUAGCUUAUCUUCUUAAGUAUCUAAUUUAAAGUUUGAUCUUUGAACGGAAUGUAUGAAUAAUUAUUUGUUGAGAGAUAUAUACUUAAUGCGAUCUCAGAAUCUCGAGAGAUUAAUAAUAUCAUUACCAGUUGUGGAUAUACCUUGUGAAAAAAAUACAUUACGUCAAAUAAUUAAAUGAGUAUCUUCAAGUAAUUAAUUAAUUAAUAUUGGAUUAAACUUAAGUAGUUUGAAAAGACAAUUAGUCUGCACCACUUGGCUAAAAUUAAAUAUGGUAAACAUCACACGUUAGGUGCCCAAUCAAAUAGUUAACAACCACUAAUAUAUGAUGUGAUCUGUGUUAUGGGGUGGUAGAUCAUAGGUCUUAUUCAAGCUCAAAACUGACAUGGGCUUCAACUUCACCUUUUUAAUGUACAUGCUAGAAUCCAAAAUUAAGAGUUAAAACUAGGAUAAGUUCAUUGUGAUCAAUGGUCGAUCCCUUCAUUACAGUACAACUAUAUAGAGCUUACAUUGAUAUAUUUACAUAUCUAUGAAAACAUAUGUAUAUAUGAACAUCAAUUUAAUCAGGGAAAUGCGUGUUGGUUAUAAUUUUUUCUUUGUUUUAAAUCAAUAUAUACUCAUCGGAGUGAAUUUUGAUCAUUUAGAUUUUCGCCAAACAACUUGUUCUAUGUUCCUUUUCUCAUGCCUUGAAUAAUGCUUAUUAGAGCAUUGUUCUUUCAUAUUAUCAAUGAAUAACUUGUGUUUACAUUGUUAGAAGUUCGUUUGACAAAAUACCAUUUUGCACUACUUUGAUCCAAUUGGAACACUAAACGAUGAAAUAUGAUGUUUAUAGGUUUUAAAAAGUAAAAACACAUAUAACUAGAAUUUACAAACCACUUGCCUUGAAGAGUUUAAAAGUAUCUAUCUUUACCUAAAUCUUUAAGUAUAUUUUUAUUUAUUUCACAUGUAAGAAAUAUGCAUUUUAAAAUACAUAUGUAUCUGUUAAUCUAAAUAGCAAAAAGUUGAAUUACAUUUUUGUGGUCAUUUGGCCACCAGUCUCCACCGGGAAAAGGAGAAAGUUCAAUUUCAUUAAACAUAUAGUCUUCAAUUUAAGUUAUAUGAAUAAGAAACACUAAAAAUGGUAGGGAAGAAUUAACUCCAUCUAAACGUUACUUAGAUUAAUUAGGAUUAGGAAGUCGCUUUGGCGCUUUGCCAACGCAAUUCAAAUUAGCAAAAAAAACACAUAUCUGGGCCUUUUUGCAUUAGCCCAUUCUGUUGGUUUUUUUUGUUUGGCUGAUGGACCUUCACUUUUCUAUAAGGAUUUGAUUGUUUUUUUUCUUGGGCUAGUUUUUUUUGCUGCUGACCCCUCCUUUUUUGGUGCCAAAAACGCAUAUCUGGGCUUUUUUGCAUUAGCCAAUUCUGUUGGUAUUUUGUUUGGCUGAUGACCUUUUUUUUUAUACUUUGACUCUUUUUUUUGCGCUAACACAAGUUGAUUAAUCUUAAGUUAAGAAAAUCACUAUAAUAGAUAAACCUGAUUUAAGCUCUAGUUUAACUAAGACUAUAGAAUAACAAGCUCUAGUUUAACUGAGACUAUAGAAUAACAAACUCUAGUCUAACUAAGACUAUAGUAUAACUAAGCUUCAGUUAGGAGGGUCAUUAGAAUAACUAACCAUAGUCUAAUCGAGAUAAUAGUAUAACUAACAUUCGUUUAAAAGGGUCAAUGGAAUAACUAACGUUAAGUUAAGAGGUCAAUAAAAUGGAUAAUCCUAGUUUAACGUAGACUUUAGAAUAACUAAAUUAGGUUAAAAGUGUCAUUAUCCAUCAAUUCACUAGUAUUCAUUUAAAUAUUAGAAUUGAUCUAAUUAUAUCCGCAAAUUUGGAAAGAUUUUCAUGAAACGAAUAUCACCGUUGCUUCUGGAAUGGUCGAAACCCUUAGAAUCGGCUCCUCUUGGACCCAAAACGGAUAAAAAUGACCAAAAUUAUUAAAAAAACACAUUACUUAAGUUUAUUCAAAGGCCAAUAUCUGGUCCUAUUUGCAAAUCUGGAAAGAUUUUUAAGAAAUGAACCACACCAUUGCGUCCGGAACGAUCGAAAACCUUAGAAUCGACUCCUCUUGGACCCAAAACGGAUAAAAAUGACCCAAAAUUUCCAAAAAACACAUUCUGCCACAUGCCAGCACGAGAACAAGCUACGUCAGCGUCUCUGACGUCAUCAGGCGCGUGUGUCUCAUAGCUGAGAGUGGCCGCCACUCUCCUUCUUCCUCUAGCGCGAGUGGGGCGCGUGGCCGAGAGUGGGCUCACUCUCCGGCCACCUCGCCGACAAGUGCGGGAGAGUGUGGCUUCGUCCGGGCUCCGUUUGAGAUUCCGGAACUUGUUGCGGACUCGUCUCAGCCUUCUGAAUCCAUCUAUGACCUCAGAUUUUCAUUUUGGGAACUUUUAAAAAUGGGUCAUUUUCGAAAAUGAUGAUUCCGGCCACCUCGAGUCACCAUCAAAGCUCUAGUAUGACUUGUUGGGACCGUGACUUGACGAGGAACAUCGAGGAGACAGAUUUUGCACAAAUUCUCACCAAACAUUGAACAAACAACAACAUAAAAUUAUUUUUCCUAGCUAGUUACCACUUAUGGAACCCAGAAAGUGAGAAUAAUUUUAUGCAGUUAUUUUUCUAUUCUUUCACUAUGAGGGACUGAAUAUGAAUCAAACAGAAAUAAGGGACUGAAUAUAAAUCAAACAAAAAUAAGGGGCUAAAAGUGGGAAGCAGAAUUUAAUUUUUAAAUAGGCCCCUGACGCAUUUACAUUAAUGGCGCCGAAAAAAUAAUAAUUUGACUUUCAGUCCUUUUUUUUUGGGGCACCUGUGCCUCUCCAGAAAAAUGGCAUAUGUAAGCUUUCCCCUAAUUUUUUAAGAAAAAUUUAUCACUAAUAGUCUAAAAUUGUUAUGUUCCAAACUCUCAUUUAUCUAUAGGAAAAAGAAAUGUCAUUAAAUUAAAGUGCAUUUAAUUUAAGCUUGUGUAGUAUACUUCUUUUUGUGUGGUAGACAAACUAAAAAUUUAUAAUUAUAGUACAAAGGUCACCAUUAAGAUGAAGGAUAAGUUAAAUUAAAAAAAGAAGUCAAUGAUAAAUCCUAUAAAAAUUAUGGAUGAUAAGUCUUAUUAUAAGUGCCAAAUUGCUAAUUAAUGAAAAAUGGAAAAAAGUGGGAGUUACGGUAAAAACCCAAGAUGGAAAUCUCGAACCUAUCCUUGGUGAUAUGCAAACUACUAUCCACCAGUACAACAUAGAAACAUACAAAACGAGCAAUUAAUUUUGUUGAUUUUUGAAAAAGUUGAGAAAAUAUGUGGGGUUGGAGUUCCCCGGCAGUGAGGAAGAGGUCAUUCAUGAAUUGACGGAAUUCCUUAGAGAAAAUGAUCUUGUUUGCUCGUAGUGGUCUUUUGUUGAUCUGUGGCUUUUGAGGCGCUUGGGGCUCUUGUUGUUGGGUUUGGGUUGUCUUGGCUUUGAGCCUUUUAGGGCUUUUGGAGUUCUCAUUGUGGUUUAGUUGUUGGUUGCUUUUCCAUGGCUGGGUUCUGUAAUUCUUUCGCGUCUCCUCUUUGAGAGAUUGUACUUUUCUUUUAAUUUUUAAUAAGCUCGCUCUUUUGCUCUCUGAAAAAAGAAAAAGAAAAAGCUCUUUGAGAGAUUGCACUUUUCUUUAAGUAUUAUUUUCUCUCAUCAUUUAAACUCUCACAUUAUUUAUGUUUUCCUUUAUUUCUCAAAAUUUAUUGCAAGAGGGUAUUAUUGGAAAAAAUAUAUUUAAUACAAUCUUAAAUGUGUAAGUCGUCAGUUAAAUAAAAACAAUUUUUUUCAUCAAUUGACAGCUAAAUAGUAACGGAGACAUGGUAGAUUCUAACAUGUUGCUGCAAUGCAAGCAAGCAAGCAAAUUAAUCAUGUAUUCUCCACUAUAAAUACCUAUAUGCAUCAAGCAAUGCAAUCACACCCAAAACCUUGUCUCCAGUUAUUCCCCAUUCAAGCAAGCAAAUUAAUCAUGUUACCUCCAGCAUUAGCUAUACCUGCGUUGCUCCUUCUGAUAUUACUUUUCAUUCUAUCAGUUGCCCUGCUUCUUAAUCCAAAAGAACAUAAAAAUGGUAGGAAAUAUCCACCAGGUCCCAAACCUCUGCCAAUUAUUGGCAACCUCCACCAGCUGGGUAAACUCCCUCACCGAUCCAUGCACGAACUUUCAAAAAAAUAUGGACCCGUCAUGUCCUUAAAGCUAGGAAAGGUCCCAACCAUUGUGAUUUCAUCCCUUGAAACAGCAGAGCUAGUCCUCAAGACCCAUGACAUUGUUUUUGCUAGCAGGCCUAUAACUCAAGCAUCCAAAUACAUUUGUUAUGACAGUAAAGGCAUAAUUUUCACUGAGUAUAAUUCCACUCACUACACCAGAAAAGGGCUUUUACAGCGCCCCUUUUACAGCGGUUUAGGUGGCAGCCGCUGUAACAACACAAACACGGAGCGGUUGAUGGGCUAUUACAGCGUUUUAUUAAACUAACCGCUGUAAAAGCAUUACCUUUUAACAGCGGUUCUCUUAGAAGGCGCUGUAAACACAAAAACACGGAGCGGUAAUAGGCUUUUAUAGCGGUUUAUAUACUGACCGCUGUAAAAAAUAGGUUCCAAUAUUUACAGCGUUUAUUAAACUAACCGCUGUAAAAGUAACGUAAAUAAUAAAAAUCAAGAAUUCAGGUUCCGUGGAUCGAACCCAGGUUCCCUUAAUAAAACGCAGGCUUAAUUGCAGUUUUGCUCCUUUAUCUUUCACCUAUGUGUGAUUUGACUCCUUCAUGUUUAAAACGAGCACAUUUACUCCCUUGUCUUUCAAUUUGUGAAAAUUAACUCCUUCCAUUAGUGAGUUUUUUUAAAAUUGACGGAAUUGACUGACGUGAUGUUCAUUAAAGGACAUGAUUCUGUUAAAAUUGAGCAUUUGGAUGUCAUUUCACUAAAUAAAUAAAAAAAUAAUUAAAUAAGUAAAAAAAUAAUUAAAUAAAACUGAAAUAUUAAUCCCUAAUUAAAUAUGAGUGAAUUUAGUUUUUUUAAUUUAUUUGUGUCAUUUUUAUUUUGUUUAUUUACUUAUGUGUCAUUUUGGGAGGUAAGUUACGUCAUCCUUGAUCGUGGAACAAGCAAAUUCCGCCUGAAAUUAGACGGCAAAUUGACAAAGGGAGCCAAUUUUCACAAAUUAGAAUUUUAGGGACCAAAAUCGCUCAUUUUAAAUAUGAGGGAGCAAAAUCACACAUAGGUGAAAGAUAAGGGAGCAAAACUGCAAUUAAGCCUAAAACGCAAUAGUCUUUCCACUAGGCUAGAUUCACUUUAUGGUAGAUAUGUACAAUUUAUAGUAUUAAUAUAAGAUUUAGUUGAUUUCUUUAAUAAUUGGUUCAAAAAAUGUUCUGUGUGGGAUUCGAACCCGAGGCACCACAGAAAAUAUAAUGAGUCCUUUCCACUGGGCUGUUACACGUUUUUUAUUAGUUUGUUCGUUUUGUAUAUAUAAGUAUUAUUUUCUUUAUUGAUUUUGUAAAAUUACAUCUGUAACUGCAAACCCUUAUUUUUUACCAGUUACAUCUUUCACCAAUCUGCUACCUCACGACGUAAUCUCGACCUGCUACUUCUCUCAAAGCCCUCGCCACCUCCUGCCUCCGCCGUCCUUGCCGUCGCCGCCUCCAUCCCUUCCGCCGCCGCCGCCGCCUCUGCCUCCGUCCCUGCUGCGCCGCUGCCUCUCUUGUUUUGGGUCGCUUCCUGCACGGUUGUUGCCCUGUUCUCAUUAUCAUCCUUUCGAGACUGUAGCUUUGAAGAGCGUUGCUUCCACCGUGUAAAUCAUGAUGUGGAGACUCCAGGUAGCUUCCAUUGCUCAAUGUUCAUUAUUGUUCUAACUCUUGAUCUUGCUCUUUGUUCAUCAUCGCUCCUAUUCUCGAUCGUGCUCUCUUUGCUGUUUGAUCUUGGAUUUAAUGCUCUAACUCAAUGGAUCUCAUAGGCUCUAACUCAAUGGCUCUAUUCGCUAUCAAAAAUCCCUCUUAUGCAGUAUUUCUCGCUCAAUUUCAUCAAUCUAGGUCUUCUCAAGAUCUGAUGCCUUAGUUCAAUAGAUAGUUUAGUCGAAGCUUGUUGUGUUUUAGAUUAAUGUUAGGGUUGUUUUUUUUUUUUUUUGCUAGAUUGACAUUUCAAUUAACAUUGCUUUGUUACUUUCAUCGAGGUGAACAAUGUAUGGUUAGAGGGAACACCCAUCAGUUCCCCUUUCAGCGCUCUGGAAGAGCGAAUUGGCGAAUGAGAAAACUAAGAACCGGAGAUGGUAGAGGCUAGCGAGAACAAGAAAGGAGAGGAUCUCAUGCUACUAAAAAUCGAAUGCCAAAGGGUGGUGGGAGAUGGAGUGUGUACAUACUCUGUUUUUUUAGUAUGUUUCUUUCUUGCGCCAUCACCUCCUGCUUUUCUUUUACUCAGAUUUGAUAGAUUGUGAUUUUGAUGCAUCAAAAAGUCAAUUUUUGUGUGAUGUCUUAUUUUCUAAUACUAGCAUGGCAAGAUGAUAAAGAAAAGUAAAUGAUUGAGUGAAAAUGUUAUGCUAUGCUGCUUGAUGCUGAGUUGCUUUAUAUUUGUCUCACCUUUGUUAUUCAGUUUGAAUUUUUAAAUAUUCUGAACUGUUGAUGCUACACAUGUAUGCAGAGGAUCAGGAGGUAUUCGCCGACUGAAAUUGAAGGCAUACACAAGUAUUUUUAUAACUUCGUAUAUUAAGAGAACAUAUUGAGUACCCUCUCUGGAAGCUAAAUAUUUGCAUGUGCUUGACAAUUUUUUCAGGAAUAUAUACGAGAUGGCAUUGACUGGGCUAAAGUUGAAUUAUACCUGUACCCUUCCUUGGAUGCUGUCAUUUCGGUUCAAACUGAUUUACGGAAGGCACACUUCCAUUAGCAAUGGAUUCACUCUUCUCCUUAUCUCUCUAUGUGGAUAAUGAUGUCUUAUGCUUGAUUGUGUUGUGUUUAUUAGGGUUUCAUUUCGAUUACAUUUCAAAUUUGUUGUUUUGUAUUUGAUUUAGGUUUGAAAUUGAUAUCGUUAACUUAUAAUUUUUAUUUCAGAUCUUUCUCUCUUUGAAUGCUGCAAUUUAAGAUUUGGAUUUGUGGGAGAUGGUGAUUCCGGUGUUGUGUUGCAGGUUUUGGAUGCAUGUGUCGAUCAUAAGAUGCGUUCAGUCUCUCAUACAAUACUUUCUUGAUUCUUCACUCUACUCCACCCUCACAACAUCGAUUCUCAGAAUUGAAGGGAAUAUGAAGAACACCUCUGUCCAAGCAUAGUUGACUAUGCUACAGUCCCCGGAAAAGAAGCAGGUACCACCAGUAUAAAUAAUAAUGCUAGGAAAUCAUCUUGCUCCUGUUCAGGUUUCUAUUUGUCUAUUUGUGUAUUAUUCCUAAUCUAAAGAAAUUAAAGCUAGGAAAUUCCAGAUAAAUUUUGUUAUAGAUGCAUGUGUCUCUUAGUUGGAUAGUGAGUCUAAAUUUUAGAUGUUAAUGUCCUAUAAUGAUAAUUCCUAUGAUUUCCAUCUCAGCUUACAUCGUCUUGUGACUUAAAUCAUAAACAGGUAUUGAUUUUGCAGCAAUAUAUUUUGCAGCAAUCAUAAAUCUGCAGUUGAUGUCUCAUGUUUAAGGUUUGCAUUGUUAUAAUCCAAACUCCACUGAGAAAAACUUUGAGAAAGUUGUUGUAUAACUGAUUUUGUUCUGAGGGAAAUUCCCUCAUCCGGUGGCAAACUGAGGAGAUGUUUUAGAAUAUCUUUCAUCUUUCCAGAACGUCCCGGGUGCAAUAAAAGAGAGAAUUUUUUCGAGACAAAGUCUCGGAGAGUCUGCAAUGCUUUCUGGGUUUCUUCAAUUUUGUAAAUGCAACCUAUGGGUAGCAACUAAAAAUAGAGAUUCAAAUGUGAGAGCACAGGAGCAUAUAAGCCUAUUAAGUGGUUGUAUUGUUGUUAAAACUCUGGAAUGAAACUUGAAUAAGAGUUAUUGUAUGUUUAAUGAAGCUGUGAAUGGAUUUGCAGAUGAUGGCUGGUCCAUGUUAGAGAGUGAUGGCAUUGAUGAUGUCACCCUUCUUGUGAAUUCAUCACCGAGCAAGAUGAUGGGUGCAAAUCUUGGAUAUAACAAUGGAUUCCCAUCCAUGACCAGUUCUGUGCUAUGUGCCAAAGCAUCCAUGUUGUUACAGGUAUAAUUCUUUAAUACUCCAUAAUGUGGACUAAUGCUAUUGCUUAUUGCUCAGCUCUUAGGAAUUGCUUUUACUUUCUAUUGUUUUCAAGCAAUUGAUUUCCAUGUAUUUAGUUGUCUCAUGCUCUUUUUCUGUCUUUGUAGAAUGUCCCUCCAGCUAUUCUUCUUAGAUUCUUGCGGGAGCACCGAUCAGAAUGGGCAGAUAGCAGUAUUGAUGCUUACUCAGCUGCUGCCAUUAAAGCUGGCCCCUGUAGCUUGCCAGGGGCCAGAGGAAGUUUUGGGGGUCAGGUUAUUCUUCCACUAGCUCACACAAUUGAGAAUGAAGAGGCAAGUUGUUUUCUCCUAAUUUUAUAAUCUAGUACAUAUUUACUAUUUAGAAAUUACCAUUUAAUCUUCCAACAUAAAAUUGAAUACAUGUUAACUUGGCUUGUGGAUUAUAUUAACUUUUUUGUGUUUCUCUUCCGGCAUAUUACAUACUAACUGACACUUUAUCUCUAAAAUAGUUCAUGGAGGUUAUUAAGCUUGAAAACAUGGGCUACUAUCGGGACGACAUGACUAUGCCUGGUGAUGUUUUCCUCUUGCAAGUAAGUACUGCUCCAUGAUGCCAUUCUUUUCAACAUAUCUAUGUCCAUACCUUACAGCAUCAUGGAAAAAUUCAUAAAAUUUUAAUUGAGGGAAUGCCUUCAAUUAAAAUCCAUUAAUAUUCUGUUGGUUAAUUUUUCUCAUUCGCUAACUAAUCGUCCCUGGCUUCUAGAGUUUGCAAAGGAUAAGAUGCAUCAAAUAUCAUGAAUGGAUUUGCAUGUAGUUAUAGGAAUAGUCAGGAAUUAAGGAUCUAUAUGAAGUUUGAUUUUAAUUGAAUAGCUAUAACACUUGCGCCUGCAUAUAGUUCAGAAGGUUUAAUCCAAUAUCAAGUUUAUAGCUAACAGUGUUUGUUGCUGCACCUGUCAUCAGCUUUGCAGUGGAGUGGAUGAGCAUGCAGUUGGCACCAGUGCAGAACUAGUUUUUGCUCCAAUAGAUGCGUCUUUCUCUGAUGAUGCACCCAUUUUACCUUCCGGUUUUCGUAUUGUACCUCUUGAUUCUGGCACGGCAAGUCUUUAGCUUGACACAUGAUUUGAUUGUGUUGUUUUUGAAAUUUGCUUGCUUGCUUUAAUUUUCCCUUUUUCUUUAAGUUAGGAUUCUGAUUUCUGUCUUAUAUAAGAUGCAGGAUGCUGCUAGUCCAAACCGGACACUUGAUCUUGCCUCAUCACUUGAGGUUGGAACCACAGCAAACAAAGCUGCUGGUGCCAAAUACAGACAAAAAAAAAAAAAACAAAUUACAGCGGUUCCGUGGUGGAACCGCUGUAAUAUAUAUUAUCAAAUACAGCGGUUACCGGCUGAAACCGCUGUAAAAGAAGACUCAAUUACAGCGGUUAUUCUAGAGAACAGCUGUUGUAGGUCUGUAUUUACAGCGGUUUUAUUAAAUCAACCGCUGUAAAUAAUGCAUCUUUUACAGCGGUUAGAACCGCUGUUAAGGCUUUUACAGCGGCGAGAUCUACAGCGGUUCUGGACCGCUGAAAACCGCUGUAAAAGGCAAAAAAAAAACCGCUGUAAAAGCCAUUUUUUGGUGUAGUGACUACAAAAAAACCUGUUUUUAGUGGCACUAUAUUUGUGGCAUUUAUAAAAGAAUGCCCCAAAGUGAUAUUAAUCUGGCAUUUAAGUAGAAUGCCACAAAUUUGAGAACGCAACCCUAGCUAAUUAGUAGCUAUUUGGCAGCAAAUUACUUGUGGCAUUUAUUUAGAAUGCCACUAAUUUAGGAUCAGAUUCGCAGCUAAUUAGUAGCUAUUUGGAAGCAAUUUUUUAAAGUGAUGAUAUCAAUCUUUUUUUUGAACGUGAUGAUAUCAAUCUAUUAUUUAUAAAAUUGAUAUUGUUAGAAUAUAUAUAACAAACCUCACUGUUAGAAUAUAUAUAUUUUUGAAAGACCGUUAGAAUAUAUAUAUAUAUAUAUAGAUAAUUUAACAUUCAAGGUUUCUUUUUUUUCAUUUUAAAAAAAUGGUUUCUUUUUUUAAUUUCAAAAAAAAGGUUACUCUUUCUUAAAAAAUAUCUUGCUCGAAAAUCACUCAUUCAACAAAAGUGAACAAUAUAUCUAUAGCUAAGUUGAAAAUCACCCACUGAACAAUCAUCGAACACACGCAUUCAUCUCUCACUCGCACAAACUCUGCAACUCUGCACCGAUCGAAAUUUCAGCGUCGCGCAUCAUCGCCGCGCAUCACCGCCGCGCAUCGGUUGUCUUCACCACCGUGACAGAGCUUCCGGAACACCACAACCCUCGCCUCACUCUCUUACUGGUUAUCUUUCUCACUCAUCUAUAUCUCUAGGGUUUUUCUGUUUGCUUAGAUUCCAAUGUGUGUGCGUCUUCUCCUCUAUAAUUUUCCGAUUCUGAAUUCCGAGUAUUCCAAUUUUGAAUUUUGAGUUUUCCAUUGUGCGAAAAUGCAGAAUCGAAGAACGACAAGGAAGAAGAAGGGAAUGGAAUUGAGUUGAUUGUGUGUGAGAACCGAACAUGACAUCGUUUGUUGCUCACUGAAGUAGGUAAAAUCAAACCAAACCAAACCUUCUUGACCUUAAUUUCAUGCUUUAAUCUCUCACUCGAUGUGUUUGCUUUCAUUUCUAUGCAUCGCUACUUGAUUGUUGAGGAAAUCGUGUAAAACAAGUGAGUCUAUGUGCGUUUGCGUUUGCGUUUGUGCCAGCGCAUGCAUGCCAGGUGUUUGAUGAAAUUAUUGCUUCAUAUGUAUCCCUGUUUUUUAUUGUUGAGAGUGUCAGAGAUCUGUUUCAUGAGUCUAAUUCUUGUAUCAUGAGAUCAUGUUCUGUUUUAAGGUGAUUUUGGUACUAUCUUGUAUAUACUUUUCAUUACAUUGCUGAAUUAUGCUACUGAGGAUUGGCCUGCUGAAACAUGUACUCUUAAUCCUAAUCCUACUCUAACCAUCAGAUUGGUCCAAGUAGGAUUAGGCCAUUAGUUUCCCUGGUGAAAACAUUUACAAGUUUGAGUAAUUUUAUGUUACAACUUCCCCUAUUUGUUUUUUCUUUCUAGAAUUGAGUCACUAAACCCUGCACAUUAGAACGAAUGCUGAUGGUUAGUACUGUCAAUUUAUUAAAAGGCAAUGGCUAUUACAAUUUGCUGAACAGGGCAAUUAAAUUGCUCACUUCAAUUUGUUGAAAAACAGAAAAAAGUUGUUCUAUAUCCAUUUAGACUUAGUUACAAUUUUAAUCCUUUCUUGCCCUGAUUUUCUUGUCUCAUUGUCUAUAUCCAUGUAAUCUGUAGCUAUUGUUAGUUUGGGUCUGUAUCUUGCCUCUGUAUCAUGCAUAAAAUCAAGUGAUCUAAAGCUAAAUUGAACUGCUCUCUCUUCUCGCUCCAGCAUGUUUUUUUUUAAUUACUUUUGCUGGAUAUAGUAAGUAAUUCUCUCUCUUCAUUGCUCUCAUUUCCUAUGCAGAUUCUGGUCUGGAACGAACUGCUUUCUUUCUUUCUCCUUCGUAAGGAUCUCUCUCGGGUUCACAAGGUACCCUCUCUCCCCUACUUGCUUUCGGUUUCAACUUAGUUACACGAUCACCAAAAUGGAUAAAUCAUGGAUUGAUAUGCCGCGAAACACAGUUGAAUAUCUUGAGGGGUUAGAUAAGUUUCUAAACUUUGCGUUUGAGAAGCGGUCAGUUGAUGGUGUAAUAAGAUGUCCAUGUCCUAUAUGUUGCUGUAAUAAAUGGGAAAGUAGAGAUGUAGUGCGUGACCAUUUGAUUUGCAAGCAGUUUCCAAAAAAUUAUAAGGUUUGGAUAUGGCAUGGUGAAACAUAUGAAAGUAUGACAUCAAGGGACACUGAAGUAAUAUCGGAGCCACUGCAAAAUGAAAAUCCAGUACUAGACAUGAUUAAUGAUUAAGUGCGGAGGGCCAGUACAUUAUCGUUGGAUGUAUCCAAUUGAGAGGUUAUUUCUUUUUAAUGCAUUAAACUCAUUUAUUAUUUUAUAUAAUUAUUAAAUAUGUAAUAUAUUAUUUUAAUACCUUUUUGUGAUCAUAGGUUUUUAGGACAUUUGAAGUCCUUUGUACGAAAUAAGGCGCAACCGGAAGGUUCCAUAAGUGAAGUUUACUUAGCUGAAGAGACACUCAAUGUGUAUUCACGAUAUGAAGGUGUUGAAUCGAGGAUGAAUAGGAGUCGCCGUGUUGAUGAUAAUCCAAAUAAUAAUGAAACUUCUCAAAUGUCCUCCAUUUAUCCUCAAUUAGGUAGACCAGUGGGGAGUUCAUCAACUUUCACUUUGGGGCCUUUAGAAAAAAUACAAGCGCAUCGAUUUUUGCUGCUGAAUUGUCCAAGAGUCAAGCCAUAUGUUGAGUAAGUAUUCUGAGGCAGUUCAUGUGAUUAUGAGAGUAAGAAUAUAUUCGUGCAUUAUUAACAUAAAACUUUUUUUUGUAGUGAAUUUAGAGCAUUCAUUAGGAAGAGGAGUAGAAAUCGAAGACCUUCAGCUACAGACAUAGAGAAGAUAGUUGCUAAAGAUUUUGCAAAUUGGUUUCCUCAACGGGUGAUGAAUCCAGACACUACAAACUCAAUUCCAGAUGAAAUCAAGUUUCUAGCCAGAGGUCCAAUGUCGUGUGCAAAAAGAUAUAGUGCAUAUAACAUCAAUGGGUUCAAGUUUAGAACGGUAGAUAGAGAAGAGGGUCUACAAACUCAAAACAGUGGAGUUUUUUUGACUUCAAACACACCAUGUGUUGCAAGUAGUGCUGAUGCAAAUUUAAGGCGAGCGGAUUUGCCAUACUAUGGUAAACUUGAAGAUAUAAUUGAGCUCAACUAUUAUGGUUAUUUCCAAGUUGUCCUUUUCAAGUGUAAAUGGGCAGAUACCACACGCGAUAGAGGGUUUAGAAAGGAUGCUUGGAAAUUCUCUUCAGUGAACUUUUCUCGAUGUAUUCACACUGGUGAUAGGGAAGAGCAUGAUCCAUAUAUCGAAGCUUCACAAGCACAAUUAGUGUAUUAUGUGGAUGAUGAGGUCAAUAAAGGUUGGAGUGUUGUGGUGCAUAUGAUGCCAAGGGAUUUGUAUGACAUGGGAGAAAUUAUGGAUGAUAUUGAAAGUGAGGCAUACCAAGAGCAAGACUUAAGCAAUUUAUUGUCAAAUGAAGAUGACACAAUAACAUUGGCUAGAGAUGAUGUAGAUGGUGAAUUCAUAUAUGGAAAUGCAGAGAUGAAUGAGUAGAAAAAAAUAAAAAGGGAAUAUCUUUGGGUAGUAUGACACAUGUUUUUAAGUUCAUUUAACUUAUGAUUAUUAUUUUAUACAUGUUGCCAUAUGGGCAAGCAGCAGUACUUCUUUCUAAAGCUUGUGGAUGCAUUGCUAGAGACCCUGAUCAUGUUCCUAUCAAUUUUGAAAGUUGGAAAGCAGUACUUGAUGAUUACAAAAAGGAGUGCUUUAAAAUUUUGAAGGUACGCAAAUUAUAUUGUCAAAUGUGUACUUUUAUGUUCUAUUUUUCUGGUUUCUGUUCUGUUUCUGUUUCCUGUCUAUGUACUGCUGGGAUGUUGCAUUUUACACUUGGUAUCAGAGCCUGAUGGGGAAGUAGGAACAUGCUAAAUAUGUUAGAUAUAAGUUAUUUCUCUGUUCUGUUCUUAUAUAAUUAAGCACUAUGGUCGGGAACUGGACUGGUAGUACACUUUGAACUAAACUAAAAUGAAAGCUCUUCUGAAAACCUUCUAGGAUUAUUACUAUUCAGACUUAUGAUCAUCUCUGCAGCGGAGGCGUUGAAGGCAGUAAGUCCCUGUGUGGCAGUAAGUCUAUAUUGGCCAUACUACAGACAUGUUAUUAAGUUCUGAAUAUUUUUAAUGUCCUUGUUUAGUUUCUUUUUGUGGUGGCUUAAGUCUGAUCCAGAUCUAUACUGCUCAACUAUUAAGAACAACGCAGAACCUAACUUAUAUUUCUAAUUUAUUUAUCUGUUUCUAUAGAACCAGGUGAUGGCGAUGAUACUUACGGGUAAGGAAGGUCUGUCUUCUAUGAUGCUUCGCUCUUUCUCUUCUAAGCUUUCUUUCAGAUCUUCCCAACCCUCUUCUUCUUCUAUCGAUCAUCCUCAUCAAUCCAAUCAAUUAUCCAAAUCUGUCUUCAAAGAAGAAAUUCAUUUUGAAGAUAUCAAUCAAGAUCUCGACAACUGGGAAAUCCCUAAAAUCUCUCAUGCUGAGAUCUACAAACCAAACGGAUCCUUUUUCAAACGAUCAGACUUCAUCAUCAAAACCGUUGAGCAAACCUACAAGCUCAGAUCUGAUAAUGAAGAAAUCCAUCUGCUUUCUGAGAAAAGCGUCAAAGAUCAUAUCAGCAAGAACUUCAACUAUCUUCACAUAGAUCUAACUGUCAGUCUGGAAGACAAAAACAUCCUUGACGUUCUCUUCCUAAAUAUCAAGCUUCACGGCCUUGAUAUGAAAGAAGAUUCCAUACCAAUCUCUUUGAUCUACAGGGUUCAAUACAAGGUAAUGAACUCUAUCAAAUCUUAUUUCUUGCGAACCAAUUGUGAGAAAUCCGGAGAAACAACUCUUUUCCUUACAGAUUAUGAUAAGGCAAACGUUAUUGUUCCCAAAACCAUCCAAUGGAGUGAUAUCACCCUUCCAGAGAAAUGGUCUUUGGAAAAGAAACCCUUUCUAACCUGCCACCUAAAACUCCUUUCCUUCUUAAAGGAGCUCAAUCUACACCUGUCCUAGCUUCUCCCUUCAAGACUAGAAAAGAAGAAGGGGAUGUCACUGGAAAAGACAUCAAAGACCUCAUGGAACAAUCCAAUUACACCAAUAAAUAUCUUCAAAUUCUUGGAGAAUCCCAAGUACAGGAUUCCUCUUCCAAGAAAGGAAAAGAAAAGGUCAAGAUUGAACCUUCCUCUUCUAAUCUUGAUAUCCCUAAAGGAUGUCAACUUGAGAAACCCCUUUUCAAACCUUUUCAAAUCAGUAGCCGUUCCAAACACUCGGCUCAAACUCUUCGAGCAAAAAAGGAAUCUGACAAUGAGCUCCUCCAAAAAGUGGUAGAGCAACUUCAGCUUCUCAAACAAGUUAUUCCUGAGACUCCGGAACCUCCUGAGACUCCGGAACCUACUCCGGAAGAAGUUUCUAAUCCCACUAUUACUGCUCUUCCUCCUCCAAAAACUCGUACUUCUACUCGUAAUACCUCUACUUCUUUAAAUAAUAUUGAAGAUGGUAAGGUUGAGUCUGAUUCUGAUAUUCAAUCUGACGUUCAAUCUAUCAAAAGUAUUCCUGUCAAUACUGUCAUUCACAAUUCUAAGAAUCAGUGGAGGAAAGAAACCAAGCUCUACUAUCCUAGAGCUACUGCUCCUGAUCUUCUUUUAGAAGAAUCUUCAAACUUCAAAAGCUUCAGUGCCAACAAUGUCUAUGAAUGGAACAUUGAUGGUGAAAAUGAGUAUGGUAUCACCAAAAUCCUCCAAAAUAUGACUAUGGUAGCCACUGCCUAUGUUACCGCCAACAAUUGUCCUGAAUCUCUUAUCGUUGAAGUCUUGGUUGCUGGUUUCUGUGGCCAGCUCAAAGGUUGGUGGGAUAAUUAUCUCACUCAAGACGAGAAGGAUCAGAUCUUGACUGCUGUCAAGACUGAUGAAGAAGGUAAUCCUAUCAUGGAAGAUGGAAAAUUCAUCUCUGAUGCCGUCAACUCCUUAAUCUUCACCAUAGCCCAACAUUUUGUUGGAGAUCCUUCCCUCAUCAAGGACAGAUCUGGUGAUCUUUUGUCCAAUCUUAAGUGCAAAUCUUUGGGUGAUUUCAGGUGGUAUAAAGAUACCUUCCUAACCAGAGUUUACACCCGUGAAGACAGCCAACAAGCCUUCUGGAAAGAGAAAUUCCUGGCUGGUCUUCCUAAAUCUUUUGGCGACAAAGUUCGUGAGAAACUUAGAAGCCAAAAUCCGGGGGGAGAAAUCCCAUAUCACACCCUUAGUUAUGGACAGCUCAUAGCUAUCAUUCAAAGAGUUGCUCUCAAAAUCUGUCAGGAUGACAAAAUCCAACAGCAACUCACUAAGGAGAAGUCUCAAAAUCGCAGGGAUUUGGGUACUUUCUGCGAACAAUUUGGAAUUCAAGGUUGUCCCAAGAAACCUAAACCCAGAAAGCAAGAUCCUCCUCCCAAACAACAAUGGAGAAAGAGAUCUAGCAGGAAUGAUCAUAGGAAACCCAAGCCUAGAUCAAAACCCCAAUCUUCGCAAAUUCCAAAGAAUCCUCCUGAGACUAGACCUUCUCAAGGAAAAGAUGUUACCUGCUACAACUGCGGCAAGCCGGGCCAUAUUAGCAGGUAUUGCAGACUCAAAAAGAGAAUCUCUGAGCUUCAUCUUGAACCUGAAAUUGAAGACAAGAUCAACAAUCUUCUCAUUCAAACUUCUGAUGAAGAAGAAUCUAAUCCUUCGGAUUCUGAGGUCUCUGAAGACCUAAAUCAAAUUCAGAAUGAUGAUUCUCAAUCAUCAUCUUCCGUCAAUACCUUGUCUAUCAAUACUUUGACCAAUGAACAAGAUCUUCUCUUCAGAGCUAUUAAUUCUAUCCCUGAUCCUGAGGAAAAGAAAAUCUAUUUGGAACGCCUCAGAUCUACUCUUGAAGAUAGGCCUCCCAAAAGUCCUAUAACCACCAAUAAAUUCAAUCUUAAAGAUACUUUCAAGCGUCUUGAGAAAUCUACGGUCAAGCACGUUACUAUUCAAGACCUUCAAUUUGAAGUCAAUUCCCUCAAGACUGAGGUCAAAAGUCUCAAGCAAAUCCAAAAAAGUCAGCAACUUAUUUUGGAGAAAUUGACUAAAAAUUAUGAAGAAGAUGAUUCUUCUAUACCUGAUUCCAAUCCUGCUCCUAACAACAAUUGCGAAGACUUUCUGGAGAAUAUUAACCAGGUCACCAUUCAGAAAUUCUUUAUCCAUGUUAAAAUCCUCAUUGGAGAUUUUGUUCUCGAAAUCCCUGCCCUCUUUGACACAGGGGCAGAUUCCAGUUGUAUCUCGGAGGGACUCAUUCCCACCAGAUAUUUUGAGAAAACAACUGAGAAGCUCAGCGCUGCUGAAGGAUCUAGACUAAAGAUCAAGUAUAAAAUCCCCUCAGCUAUCAUCAAAAAUGGUAGUCUUGAAAUCGAAACUCCAUUUCUGUUAGUCAGAAAUUUGAGUCAAAAAAUCAUUAUAGGGACCCCUUUCAUUAAGAAACUCUUCCCCUAUAAUACUGACGAAAACGGCAUCACUGUUCAGCAUCUUGGACAACCUAUCUUGUUCAAAUUCUCUGAACCUCCCAUAGAUAAGACUUUGAACGUCAUAUCCUACAAGGAGAAGCAGAUCAACUUCCUCAAGGAAGAAAUCUCUUACAGAACCAUUGAGGAACAAUUGCAACAACCUUCUGUUAAAUCAAGGAUUGAGGAUAUUUUGGAAAAUAUUCAAUCCAGCAUCUGUUCUGAUCUACCCAACGCUUUUUGGGAAAGGAAGAGCCAUAUGGUGGAACUUCCUUAUGAAAAAGAAUUUUCAGACAAACAGAUCCCAACCAAGGCUAGACCUAUUCAAAUGAAUGAAGAACUUCUUCAUUUCUGCCAAAAGGAAAUCAAUGAUCUCCUUGAAAAGAAACUUAUUCGCAGGAGUAAGAGCCCUUGGUCCUGUGCAGCCUUCUAUGUCAACAAACAAGCUGAGAUAGAACGAGGAACCCCUAGGCUGGUUAUUAACUACAAACCUCUCAAUCAAGCCCUUUGUUGGAUCAGAUAUCCUAUCCCCAACAAGAAAGAUCUCUUAGCCAGACUGCAUGAUGCUAAGGUCUUUUCAAAAUUCGACAUGAAAUCUGGCUUUUGGCAAAUCCAAUUGCAAGAGAAGGAUAGGUAUAAAACUGCUUUUACUGUUCCUUUUGGGCAGUAUGAGUGGAACGUUAUGCCUUUUGGGCUAAAGAACGCCCCUUCUGAAUUCCAAAGGAUUAUGAACGAAAUCUUCAAUCCUUAUUCCAAAUUCACUAUUGUCUACAUUGACGAUGUUCUAAUCUUUUCCCAAACUCUUGAUCAACAUUUCAAACAUCUCAAUACGUUCAUCUCUGUAAUCAAAAGGAAUGGCUUGGCUGUUUCCAAGACAAAAGUCAGUUUGUUCCAAACCAAAAUCCGAUUCCUUGGUCACAAUAUCCACCAAGGAACCAUCAUUCCGAUCAAUAGAGCCAUCGAGUUCACUGAUAAAUUCCCUGAUCAAAUCAUUGACAAAACCCAAUUACAGAGAUUCUUGGGUUGUCUCAAUUAUGUUGCGGAUUUCUGUCCUCAACUCAGUACCAUAAUCAAACCCCUUCAUGAAAGACUCAAGAAGGAUCCUCCACCUUGGUCCGAUAUUCAUACCAAUGUGGUCAAACAAAUCAAACUUCGUGUCAAGAAUCUCCCUUGUCUUUAUCUCCCUAAUCCUCAAGCUUUCAAAAUUAUUGAAAAUGAUGCCUCUGAUAUUGGUUUUGGUGGCAUUUUGAAACAAAAGGUUUCUGACAAAGAACAAAUUAUUGCUUUUACUUCAAAGCAUUGGAACCCUGCUCAGCAGAAUUAUUCUACUGUCAAAAAAGAAGUUUUAGCAAUCGUUUUGUCUAUUUCAAAAUUUCAAUCUGAUUUGAUCAAUCAAAAAUUCUUGGUUCGAGUGGACUGCAAAUCUGCCAAAGAGAUUUUACAAAAAGAUGUCAAAAACUUAGCUUCAAAACAUAUCUUCGCCAGAUGGCAAGCUAUUUUAAGUGUUUUUGACUUUGAAAUUGAAUAUAUAAAAGGAUCUUCAAAUUCUCUCCCUGAUUUCCUCACUCGUGAAUAUUUGCAGGGCAGAUCAUAAGAUGGCCUCCAAAGGCUCUUCCUCAUCCAGAGGAAGAGGCAGAGGUUCUCACAAGAACAAAGGUAUUACAAUUUAUGACUUAAUCCUCUCUGGGCCCACUGCCCAUCAAUCUGGACCCACUGUCCAAAAUCAAAAAUCUGAGCCCACUGCUCAAAAUCAAUCUCCCCAACCAAAACAAACCAAAGCAGAUUAUGCUUUAUCAAUUCCAACUCUCCUUGCCCUCAAACAAGCAGGCCUGGAUAAUGUUCCUCAGGGACUCAUCAAUUUACCCAAAAAAUCCUGGGCUAGCAUGACAGAAGAAGAUGAUGACCUUCAAUCUCUCCAAGCCAUCAUUGAUAAAACCAAAACCUUAGCAACUCAUUGCGGGAAAAAACCCGUUGUUGCUCAACCCAGUCAACCCAACCAAAAUACCGGUUAUCUAGCCAAAAUAAACUCCAAAUUCCAAACUUUUAUUGAACCAGAAUGGUGGGAUAGCUCUGGAGGAGUCGACCUUGCCAACAAAAUUGGCAUUAAACUCUUCCCAAAUCACCUUGAUCCCAUUCACCCAAACAAAUCCCAAAUUUUCUAUGAGUUUAUCCUUAUAGAUACAAACAGUGUAGAAAUCAAACACUUUAGGGAUAAAUCUGAUAACUCCCUUAUCACUCAUUCUACACUCCAAAUUCUCCGUGUCCUUCGUCCCACUGACUUUGGACCUAAUCCAAAUGGUUACAAAAAAUUCUCUCAGAACUUUGACCCUGUAGGUUUCAACUAUUGGGACUAUAUGAAAGCUUGGGAGAAUACAAUCCUUGGUCUACAAAAUCAGAAUUUCAAACACUCUUGGCUCAUUUAUUUUAAAUGGUCCAACAAAUAUUCUUUUCCAAAUUGGUUUCACUCUUGGUGGGAUUUCUUUGGACCUACUACGGAAAUCUUUCCCUCUGAAGUUCUUGAGGGUUACAAUCAUUUUUUAAAGCAUUGGAAUAAAGAUUUAAACAAUUAUCCUGAUUGUUUGAAUUUUUACACAAUCUUUUCCCUUUCUUGGGUAUUUGCCUGGCGUUAUGGUCUCAAGACAAAAGCCCAACCAAUUCUCCACAAACAACCCUUAAUCAAAUGGUGGAAGGUCUUUGAUGCUUCCAAAGCUCAUAAGGAGAAUGUCAAUCAGUGGUUUAAGUCUAACCAAAGGUGCCUUAAGCAUGCCAAUCCGCAAUCUAGUCUCUUGCUCAAUCAAAAGGCCCACAUCACAGCGGCCCUUGCAGGAGCUUCAACAGAAGAAGACUUGCUGAAGAAUCUCCAAACAGCUCUGCAAUUAUUGAAAGAAAAGGAGCCAAAGGAGCAGGCCUCAUCCUCAAAGGCCCCUCAGCAGAAAACUUCCUCACAAUCUUCUUUCGGGUCAGAUCUUGUCCCGGAAACACUGGAAUCAAGUGAAGAUGACCUCUGCUAAAGCUUUGUCGUCUUUUUUCAUUAUGUUUUGUAAUAAUUCAAUCUCAAUUAUUGUAUUCCACUGUAGCAACAGUAGAACUUUUUACUGUAGCAAAUAGUGCCCGUCAAAUAGUACCGUCUACCGGAACUAUUCAACCGGAACUAUUCAAACAGUGACCAAAUUUUUCUUUAAAUAGGCAUCUUCUGAGCUUUGUUAGGCAGAGUUUGGCAUAGCCUAGAUAGAGAGUUAUAGAGAGAGAAAACACUGAGAGUCCUUCUGUAAGUUCUCUUUCAGUUUUCCUUUCUUCAAUCUUUUCAGUUGUUCAGUUUUUAUAUUUCAGUUUUUGUAACCUAUGUUUAUGUAAUAUAUUUCCUCCAGUUUUAUUUUUUUGUUUAUGGAAGGCUGAGCCUCCUGUUUUAAUUCCUGUCUUUUAAUUUCUGCAAUUUAAAUUUCUGCUACUAGAAGCCCCUCCGUGGUGGCGUCCUACUUCUCUUCUUAAUCCUCAUCUCAUCCCCCUCCUUCUGUAUAUAUAUAUAUAUAUAUAUAUAUAUAUAUAUAUAUAUAUAUAUAUAUAUAUAUUUGGUAUUUCUAAAAACAAAUUAUUGAGUAUUGAAUUGUCUUUUAACCUUAACACUAACAAUUAUCUUUUUUGUUGAAGAAUCUUUUUCAUUUUCAGGCACCGGAGUUAAUUGCUAAGCGUUAUUGCUUUCUUACCAUGGGGAAAAAGUAUAGUGUAAAUUCAGGUUCCCUCUGACACGAUUGUCCUGCACGAUGCUGGGACAAGAGGUUCGACAACUGCUUAACAGUGAAACAAAACUUAACAACAGAAACAAUAACACACAGUAAUUGUUAACCCAGUUCAGUGAAAACUUUCACCUACGUCUGGAGGGUUUGCACCCAAAGAAAGGAAAUCCACUAUCUCAAGAUUCAGGAAUUACAGACACUCAUGAACACCUCAGUUCAUAGUUCACUUCCUAAUCUACCCAGUGUAUUUCUACUUAGAAUCUCAACCUAAGUAUGAGAGCCCCUCUCACUUCCUCUCAAUCACUGCCACAGUGAUUGGUAAACACAAUGAACAAUCAGAGUUUGAAUGUAAUCAAACAACACAGAACCCUUCUUUGCUUUAUAGAAUCAGUGAGCAAAGAGGAUUCACAAAUAACAAGAACGAAGCACAAUAACAAAUCCUAAAACACUCGAUCUCUCUCUAUCAGCUUCGGUCAUCUUCACGUUUUAGGUCUUCAUCCUUUUAUAGACUUCAGCAGCGGUAGCAUGGGCUUUAGGGUUGGCACGGGCUGAAGAAACAGAUAUCAGUAACAGCAAUUCAAAAACACAAUCUUGAUAGAUUCGGUUUCUUAUUGCACAAGUAACGAUAGAAACCAAUCUUUUAGCAAAGAUUGUUUCAACAAAUAACAACCCCACAAUUAAAACCCUUCUGGAUAGCUACUUGCUCCUCAAGUAACUCAAAAACAUAUCUUCAGUAAAUCUUCAGAGGGCCCACAAUAUAAACACAAGCUGAGGACUGAUGUCCUAGCCUCACGAGGUCAGAUGCCACGGCAUCUGCUUCGACAAUUAGUUGUUUUGACAAAAUGCAAGGCAACAUGUUCCAACAAUCUCCCCCUUUGUCAAAUUUUGUCUAAAACAACUCACAAUCAGAGAGGAUAAAAACAAGAGAAAUAACUCUCCCCCUUAGUCAGAGCUCCCCCUCAAACAGAUGCAUCUACACAACCAACUACCAUACUUCAGAAGGCAUAGUCGGAACAAACACAUUUUAACAUCGCAAACACACAACCAGAGGUACAAUCAACCUUAGCACAUGAUGUCUUCAAAAUGGGUCAGCUUGGACAUCAUCAUAUCAAAAAUACUACCAUCAGAAGCUGGCAGCACAUACCCAGAAGUACAGCUAACAGAAAUACUGCUCAUCAGAAGCACCGUCAGAAAUACAACUCAUCAGAAGUAACAUUUCAGAAAACAAACAUAGCCAUCGUCUUGAACUUGUCUUCAGACCAGAGCUAACACUAUCAGAACACACGUAGCACAGUAGAAACAGAAGCAACUUCACCUAACUUCUGAGAACAUGAACAUCUGAACCACAACAAACUUCUGAUCUGCGAACAUCUGAACAAAAACAACUUCUGAACCACUAACUUCUGAACAGAAACAUCUGAAAAAAAACUCUUCACUAACUUCUGAAACCUCAAAACAGCUGAAACAUAGAUCUUCACUUAAACAUCUGAUCAUAAAACACAUGCAUACUACUCCCCCUUUUUAGCACAAAUUUGCAAAGGGUGCACGAAUACAGCAGAAACAAAACACACUAGUCUUCAGAACUGGAGUCCUUUCCAGAUCCUUCUGCAUUUUCCUCUGCACACUCUUCAGAUCCUUCCUCCUCUUCAUUACUCACAUUCGGAGCAGCAGCACGUUGCUCACCAUCUUGACGUUCUUCUUCUUGUAGCUUGAGUAGCAACGCAUCAACUUUGAGCUUCCUGGCAGUGCUCACCCUGAUUGUCUCCUGCAAAGCCUUGGAAACUUCCAGUAAUUCAGCUAUGAUGGCCUUAGCGUCAGAUUCAGUCACAGGAGGAGCAGAUGUUCUGCUGGUUGGUAAGGCAAUGUCUAGAACAUGUGGCUCCAUAAACAAACGGUGAUCCAAAGUGAUUGGAACUCCACGAGACAUAGCCACAUCAUCUGCCCUCAGAAUCUGAGGAUGUUGCUUUAAGAUUAUCUCAGUAAGAAGUGAAGGAAAUGAAACAGGCAGCUUCACAGCACAAGUAUCAGCAUGCUUCAAUGUCUGCUCAAACACAAAAGUUCCAAAGUCAAAAGCCAUAGACUUGCCAAUCCUAUAGAUCAAUUUGGCAAGCGUUGCAGAAACACCAGAAGUAUGUUGAGUAGGAACCCAAUUCACAGCACCAAUCCGGUUAAGAAUAGCAUACUUCACACUCAGAUUUCCAGGAGACAACAACUUCUUGCUGGGCCACUUCUUCACAUGACCGGCAGUAAGCUCCUUGGCAACAUCAUCCAUGGACACUUCUUCAUCAACAAAUUCAAUAGCACUUCUUCCAUGUGCUUGAUUGAUCACAGCAGGUGAAAACAAUACACAUUCAGCCCGUACAUAGACUUUUCUGAACUCUGCACUAUCAGGAAGUCCCACAUCAACAGAGAGAUUCACCAGGAACUCUCUCACAAGCUUCUCAUAGCACCUUCCAACAUUCUGAAUAGUCUUCAUCAGACCUGCUUUCUCAAUAAGUGCAAUAACAUCUCUGCAUUCAAGAACAUCAGAACCAACAUCCCUUUCCUUGGCCAUUCUCCUCUUGCAAACAAACUUCCACUUCUGAACAUUCUCUUCUAAGUGGAAAGACACUCUAUCAAUAGGGACAGCAGGAACAUUCUGAGGAACACGCUUACCAGAAAACUUCUUUGUAUCAGAAGAUCGAAUGUCCUGAACACCGACUUCAACAUCUGACUCAGAGUCUUCAACUUCAACUGGAAUCUUCCUCUGCUUGUUCUCAGUGGGAGCCUUUGCGUCCUUUUGCUUCCCCUUACUCUUCACACUGACAUGUCUAGAUUUCUUUGAUGGAGUAGGUGUGAUUUCAGGAGAAGAAAUCCUUCUUUUCUUCUUCAUUCUCGCAGCAACACUAUCAGCAAAAGUCUCAGUCAGAGGAACAUCAUCAGAAGCAUCAUCAGAGAUGUUCUGAACAGAGGCUGGAUCAGCAUCCUUCGAAGAGGAUGAAACAGAGAUAUUAGGCGUGGUAGCAUCGCCUGAAUUUUCAUGAGAAGUGGAAUCCUUUCCAGGAGUUUCUUGAGCAGAACUUUCCUUAGACCCAGUUGCCUCAACAUCAGCCACAACAUCAGGCACAACUUCAGGAGGCGAUUUCACUGGAGAAUCUUCAUCAUUGAUUUCUUCUUCGUCAGGAACAUCCUCAAGGAUAGAAACAUUUGGGGCUUUGCUGUUCUUGACCUGUGAUUUGUAGACCUUACAUGUUGGGUUUCUUGAUCGCAUCUUCUUGGAGGCUUUCUUGGACACAAAAGACGGUUGAGAAGGAUCACUCUUCAAACCCAUACACUUGACUCCUUUAGCAGUUCCUUCAAUCUUGGCCUUGACAGAUUCCUUCUUUCCUGAACUUUGAGACAUGACGAAUCGAGAGGAAAUACAAACAAAGUUCAGAACAAUGAAACAAAUUUGCAAAUGAGAGAUGAUGAGUCUUGAAGAAGAUAGAUGCACAAGCGGUUGAGAGAACACAAUAUGCCCGUUGGAGGUAGUUAUAGGAUAUGUGAACCAUGAAGUAACUUUCUCUCUGCUGAUGUCACAACGGCUGUUAAUGAUGACCAAGAAUAAACUAGCCGUUGACACACUAGGGCACGCUAAUUGCUAUGCAUCAGAAAGACAAAUCCCUAUACUUCCUCUUAAUUUUUCAAAAGUGAUAGCAUCAAGGGGUUUUGUGAAAAUAUCAGCCAACUGCUUGUCAGUUGUCACAUGAUCCAAAUUAACAAUUUUCUCCUCCACCAAGUCUCUAAUAAAAUGAUGUCUAAUGUCAAUAUGCUUGGUCCUGCUAUGCUGUAUAGGAUUCCUUGAAAUAUUAAUUGCACUGAGAUUGUCACAGUACAAUGUCAUGACAUCCUGUUCAACAUCAUAUUCCUUCAGCAUUUGCUUCAUCCACAUGAGUUGAGUACAACUACUUCCUGCUGCAAUAUAUUCCGCUUCAGCUGUAGACAAUGAGACACAAUUCUGCUUCUUGCUAAACCAUGAAAUCAAAUUAUUCCCUAGGAAGAAACAACCACCAGAUGUGCUUUUUCGAUCAUCUGCACUACCUGCCCAAUCUGCAUCACAGAAACCAACUAACGAAGAAUUUGUAUCAUGAGUAUAGAGAAUACCAUAGUCACUCGUGCCAUUGAUGUACUUGAUAAUUCUCUUGACUUGUAGCAGAUGACUAGCCUUAGGAGCUGCUUGAUAUCUUGCACAUACACCAACUGCAAAGGUGAUAUCUGGUCUGCUAGCAGUGAGAUACAACAAGCUUCCAAUCAUGCUUCUAUAGAGACUUUGAUCUACAUCUUCCCCCUGUUCAUCCUUGGAGAGUUUGAUGUGUGUAGCAGCAGGAGUUCUCUUGUGACCAGCCUUUUCAAGCCCAAACUUCUUGACUAACCCUUUAGCAUACUUGCUCUGUGAUAUGAACAUAGAAUCCUCCAUUUGUGUGACUUGUAGUCCUAGAAAAUAAUUCAAUUCACCAACUAGGCUCAUCUCAAAUUCAGAUUUCAUUUGUCGGACAAAAUGCUCCACCAUUGAGUUCGACAUUCCUCCAAAGACAAUGUCAUCCACAUAAAUCUGUGCUAUCAUGAGCUUACCUUUGUCAUUCUUCACAAACAGAGUUUUAUCAAUUCCACCCUUGCUGUAACCAUUGCUUACAAGAAAGUCAGUUAACCUUUCAUACCAAGCCCUAGGUGCUUGCUUCAAACCAUACAAGGCCUUCCUCAACUUGUACACAUGAUCUGGAUGAUGCGGAUCUGUAAAUCCUUUAGGUUGUUCAACAUAGACUUCUUCAUUCAAAUAGCCAUUCAGAAAAGCACUCUUCACAUCCAUCUGAUAAAGUCUGAACUUCAAGAGACAAGCAACACCUAACAAGAGUCUUAUAGAUUCCAGUCUAGCUACUAGAGCAAAGGUCUCAUCAAAAUCAACUCCUUCAAUCUGAGUAUAUCCUUGAGCAACAAGCCUUGCUUUAUUCCUUGUGACUGUUCCAGUUUCAUCUGACUUGUUCUUGAAGAUCCACUUAGUGCCAAUGAUGUUUACUCCUUCAGGUCUAGGCACUAACUCCCACACUUCAUUUCUCCUGAACUGUUCUAGCUCCUCUUGCAUAACAUUUAUCCAGUAUUCAUCAGUGAGAGCUUCAUUGACAUUCUUGGGUUCUGUCUUAGAGAUGAAACAACUGUGAGCAAUCAUACUCCUGGAUCUGGUAGUCACCCCUUCUUGAAGAUUACCAAUAAUGUUUUCUUGAGGAUGAUUCUUCUGAACCCUAAUUGAUGGAGCUUUGGUUGAUGUGAUAUCUUUGUCUUCCUUUUCAUCAGCACUUGUUUCUGACUCGUUGUCGAGGGCGGUUGCUGGAGCAUCGGCUGGAACAUCUGCAUCAUCAUCAUCUUCAUUCAAAACUGCUUCUUCCUUCUUGCUUGGUUCAUCAUCCACAGUCACAUUCACAGAUUCCAUCAUGGUCCUUGUGCGAGAGUUAAAAACUCUAUAGGCUUUGCUGUUCAUAGAAUACCCCAUGAAAAUUCCUUCAUCACUUCUAGGAUCAAGCUUCCUCUUAGGAUCACGAUCUGCAAGGAUAUAACAUUUACUUCCAAAUAUGUGAAAGUAUUUUACAGACGGUUUUCUACCUUUCCAUAGCUCAUACUGUGUGGAGGAUGUCCCUGCCCUGAUGGUGACUCUAUUAUGUAUGUAACAGGCAGUACUCAUAGCUUCAGCCCAGAACUGGUGUGGAAUCUUCUUAGCAUGUAACAUUACUCUAGCUGAUUCCUGGAGAGUUCUAUUUUUCCUCUCAACUAUUCCAUUCUGCUGUGGAGUGAUAGGGGCAGAAAAUUCAUGGCUAAUACCUUCUGUUCCACAGAACUCCAAGAAUUUUGAAUUUUCAAACUCCCUUCCAUGAUCACUUCUGAUUCUCACAAUCACACAGUCCUUCUCAUUCUGAAGUCUCAUACAUAGAUUCUUGAAUAUUUCAAAAGUCUCUGAUUUUUCUCUCAUAAACUCAACCCAUGUAUACCUUGAAAAGUCAUCUACACAGACAAACACAUACCUUUUUCCUCCCAAGCUUUCAACCUGCAUGGGACCCAUGAGAUCCAUGUGAAGCAAUUCCAGAACCUUUGUCGUGGUCUGAUGCUGGAGCAUCUUGUGUGGCACCUUGGUUUGCUUACCAAUCUGACAUUCUCCACAUAGCUUUCCUUCUCCCAAGCUCAAAUUGGGCAAUCCCCUUAUUGCUUCAUCUGCAAGAAUCUUUUGCAUGCUCCUGUAGUUGAGAUGUCCUAGUCUUUGAUGCCAUACAUUCACCUCAUCUUCUUUAGUUAACAAACAUCUGGAAACAUGAGCUUUAUCUUCUGAUGUCCACAUAUAACAGUUGUCUUUUGAUCUGACUCCUCUCAUCACAACUCUCUCAUCAUCAGUGGUCACAACACAUUCUAUCUUAUUGAACUUCACAUCAUAUCCUUGAUCACACAGUUGACUUAUGCUGAUUAAGUUGGCUGUUAAACCAUUUACAAGUAACACAUUGUUCAAGUUAGGAGAUUCUGUGCUAACAAGAUUUCCUACUCCCUUGAUCUUUCCUUUAGCUCCAUCUCCAAAAGUAACAUAGUUGGUGGAGUGACUUCUGAUGUCUUGCAAGAAGCUCUUGUUUCCUGUCAUGUGCUUUGAACAACCACUAUCAAAAUACCAAUCUUCCUUUGAUGAUGCUCUGAAAGACGUGUAGGCUACCUGACAUCUGACUUCACCCUUGGGCUUCCAUUGCUUCCUCAUCUGAACAGGCUUUUUAUCGUGCAUCUGAGGAUAACCAUAUAACCUGUAACAGUAGGGCUUUAUAUGACCAUUCUUACCACAGUAGUGACACUUCCAAGGUACAGUUUUAUCAAGCUUAAGCCGGGGUUUCACAUGCAGAGGUACAUGUCUGGGCAAUGAAUCUGACAACUGAUAAUUUCUAGGCUUCUUGAAUUCAGUUUGUUUCGCAGCAGACACAAAUUUCUUUGAACCUUUCUGAUUUUCUUUGUUUGCAGUUCUAUAGUCAAAGCCAAUUCCCUUCAAACUCCCUCCUUGCUUGCUAGUUUCCUUCAGAAUUUCAUCAAGCAUAUCAGAACCACUGUUCAACAUUCUAACAGAUUUGUGAGUAGCUUCAAGCUUUCUUGUCAGAGUUGCCACUUCCUCUUGAAGUCCUGCAUUAAUCAACACUAGAUUAGCCUUUUCCAUAACAUCAGCAUUAUUAAACUUACUUUGCCAUUCCUCCAGAUCUUCCUUCAGCUUUGUGCUGAGCUCUUUCAGCCUUUCAUUCUGAGAGACAAGUUGUUCUAUCUCACUUUGCUUUUCUCUCACAAGUUUACAUGCUUCUUCCCACUUGAUGUGUAGCAGCUUGUAAGUCUCAGCCAGUUCCUCAUCUGUAAUGUCCUCAUCACUUGUAUCAGACUCAUAGACGGUUCCAGAGAAAGCAUUGACUUUGUUUGCAGAUAUCUCCUCCUCAUCUUCAGUGUCUUCAUCUGACCAAGUUACCAUCAUACCUUUCUUCUGCUUCUUUAGAUAAGUGGCGCAUUCAGAUCUGAUGUGACCAUAUCCUUCACAUUCAUGACACUGCACUCCUUUAUUCUGACCAGAUUUUUCUUCUUCUUUGGUCUUCCUCUGUGAAUUAGUAAAUUUGGGUUUGUUAUCGAACUUCAUGUCCUGGACAUUAGGCCUGGUUCUUUUAUCAAUCUUUCUCAAUGCUCUGUUGAAUUUUCUUGCUAGCAUGGCUAGAGCCUCAGUCAGAUUUUCACCCUCACAAUCUUCAUCAUCACCUUCAUCAGUGUUUGACACAAAAGCAAUACUCUUAUUCUUCUUCUCAGAUUUUCCACUCAGUUUCAACUCAAAUGUCUGCAAAGAGCCAAUAAGUUCAUCAACCUUCAUGUUCUCAAUGUCUUGAGCCUCCUCAAUUGUAGUGACUUUCAUAGCAAACUUAUGAGGAAGAGAUCUCAAGAUCUUCCUUACAAGCUUCUCAUCUGACAUAGGCUCUCCCAAAGCAAAUGAAGCAUUAGACAAGUCACGGACACGCAUGUGGAAUUCUGAAAUAGUCUCUUCUUCAGUCAUCAUAAAAUUUUCAAACUGAGUAGUAAGCAUCUGAAGCCUUGACAUCCUUACUCGAGUAGUUCCUUCAUGUGCAGUUUUCAGAAUUUCCCAAGCAUCCUUUGCCACAGUACACGUAUUGAUCAGCCUAAACAUAUUUUUGUCAACUCCAUUAAAGAUAGCAUUUAGAGCCUUUGAAUUUCCAAGAGCAGCUUCAUCUUCAACACUGGUCCAUUCUUCUUCAGGUUUUUCCACAACAGUAGUAGAGGUGCCUUCAACCUCAGCCUUAGUGGGGUGCUUCCAACCCUUGACAAUAGCUUUCCAAGUCUUAUUGUCAAUUGACUUGAGAAAGGCUGUCAUGCGAACCUUCCAAUAGUCAUAGUUAGUACCAUCCAGAAUGGGUGGCCUAUUAACUGAUCCUCCCUCCUUGUUAUCCAUGAGAACUUGAAUAAAAACUCCCUGGAGCUCACCCAACCAGAACAGGGUGCCUGCUCUGAUACCAAUUGUAAAUUCAGGUUCCCUCUGACACGAUUGUCCUGCACGAUGCUGGGACAAGAGGUUCGACAACUGCUUAACAGUGAAACAAAACUUAACAACAGAAACAAUAACACACAGUAAUUGUUAACCCAGUUCAGUGAAAACUUUCACCUACGUCUGGAGGGUUUGCACCCAAAGAAAGGAAAUCCACUAUCUCAAGAUUCAGGAAUUACAGACACUCAUGAACACCUCAGUUCAUAGUUCACUUCCUAAUCUACCCAGUGUAUUUCUACUUAGAAUCUCAACCUAAGUAUGAGAGCCCCUCUCACUUCCUCUCAAUCACUGCCACAGUGAUUGGUAAACACAAUGAACAAUCAGAGUUUGAAUGUAAUCAAACAACACAGAACCCUUCUUUGCUUUAUAGAAUCAGUGAGCAAAGAGGAUUCACAAAUAACAAGAACGAAGCACAAUAACAAAUCCUAAAACACUCGAUCUCUCUCUAUCAGCUUCGGUCAUCUUCACGUUUUAGGUCUUCAUCCUUUUAUAGACUUCAGCAGCGGUAGCAUGGGCUUUAGGGUUGGCACGGGCUGAAGAAACAGAUAUCAGUAACAGCAAUUCAAAAACACAAUCUUGAUAGAUUCGGUUUCUUAUUGCACAAGUAACGAUAGAAACCAAUCUUUUAGCAAAGAUUGUUUCAACAAAUAACAACCCCACAAUUAAAACCCUUCUGGAUAGCUACUUGCUCCUCAAGUAACUCAAAAACAUAUCUUCAGUAAAUCUUCAGAGGGCCCACAAUAUAAACACAAGCUGAGGACUGAUGUCCUAGCCUCACGAGGUCAGAUGCCACGGCAUCUGCUUCGACAAUUAGUUGUUUUGACAAAAUGCAAGGCAACAUGUUCCAACAUAUAGGAAUGGAAAGUUGAAAUUAUGGAAUUCUAAAGAUAACCCUUGUUAUUCUAGAGAACAACUUAUUGGUAAUGUCCCUAAAGGAGUUCCUAAAGAUCAAUGGUCAUCAUUUGUUGAUUAUCACUUGAAGCCAAAAUAUAAGGUAUAAUUUCCUAGUUGUUUGUUAUCUAUAAUUAUCUUUUUCAGAUUAUAUUUUAGUUAACGUGUUGUUCAUAUAAUAGGAGUUAUGUCAAAAGAAUGUGGAGGCGCGUAAAAAGCAAACAAUUCCACAUACCGGCGGAUCUAAACUUUUAUCAAGGAGACAACAUGAAAUGGUAUAUAACUCAUGUUAUGCCUUGUUAGGUCUUAAUAGAUUGAUCUAAUUAUUUUUAUUUGAUAUUUGGACUUAUAUGAGUCACACACAUAUGUAUAGGAAAUAGAGGUUGGACAUGCUAUAAGUCGAGGAGAAUUAUAUAUUGCAACUCACAAGAGAAAAGAUGGGUCUUAUGUCAAUGAGGAGGCAAGGUUUGUAGGGGUAAGUUACAAAAUUAAAUGUUUAUUCCCCUGCUACUGAAAUUGGAAUUUAAAACCAGAAUCUUGCUGUGCUUUUUUUUCAAGAAAUAGAAUCUUUGCGCUGCUGAUUUAGAAUAAGUUAAAGUUAAUGACAUGCUAUCAUUUUACCCAAAUGACAUGUAGGAGCAGGUUGAGCAAGAACUAAGUCAAACCAACAAUUUUGUAGAAGUUUCAAAAAAUGAUGCUCUUUCCAAAAUUUUGGGUCCAGAUAGAGCUGGAUGUGUGCGUGGAUUAGGCUUAGGUGCUCUUCAUAGUGUUGCAUUUGGAUCGACUAGUGGUAUAGCCUAUAAUAGCUCAGCUGAAGUAUCUCAAUUGAAAGAAGAACUUAAUUUUGUAAAGAGCAAGUUAGCAACUUCUGAAGAGAAUAUUUCAACAUUGCAAACUAUAAUGUUUGCAUUUAUGCAAAUGAAAGAAUUAAAUAUCUCAGCAAACUUGGGUGCUUUGUUCGCGACUUUUACUCAAAUGGUAAUGUUGCUUAUUGAUUUAACUAAGGUAAUAUGUUGCAGUUUUUAAUGAGUACAAAUGUUGAUUUGGUGUGGUUUUAAUUUUUAAGGACAAUGCCAAUGCUAAUGAUGAACCAGUUCAAACUGCUGAUCAUGCAAAGGGUUUUCACUAAUGUUAGUGAGGUUAGUCAUGUUUGCUACUCUACUUUGGAAAUUUAGUUUUGAAUGCUGAAUGUUUUCAUUUCUGUUUCUCCAUUGAAGUGAUUACUUGAUUGGGUAAUAAAUAAUAUGGUAAAGUCAUCCUUGAUUUGCCUUAAUAUUUUAUGUACAAGAUUACAGCCAUAUUGAUUAAGCUACAUAUCUAUGUCUAUCCCCCUGCUUGACUAAUCAGAAUUAGAUCCCAUUAUCUAGAAAUGUUUCUAGUCAUAUCUUAAACGAUGCUGUGACAUCCAAAGCUGCAUCUAAAUCAUAUUUUAUCAGUUUUCCUGAUUUUAGUUUCAGCUACUGAUUAGAAAUUUGACAAAUGUCUACCCUUUUCAUUGCAGGGUCAAUUGAUGACAAUAUAGAUAUAAUGAAGAAAUGUCUAAAAAUAAUCGAGUCUUUAAAUCCUUAUGUACUCAAAUUCAAAUGUUGGAACCAUAUAUUUCCUUUCAUGUUCAUGCCCAUUUGUGAGUUAGAUUGAACCUUGUGACAUCUUGAGGCAUACUCUGAAUUUAGUAAAGAUGUUGCAUAUUUGAGAUAUGUAAGUGAAUUGUAAUUUUUUUUUUGAGUGACUGAACCACCUUUGUAGAGUGGUCUUGCAAUUACUUGUAGCAUUAUCAUGCUCAUGCUCAUGCUUUUUAAAAUUCAUUAUGUUCUUUUUUAUCCUAUUCUCUCUUUGCUUAAUUUGGUGUUAGUUUAAUCCCUAAUCACCAACAUAUUAGAGAUUUUAAUAAUUCAUUUAAAUUGAUUCACAAAUAAAAAAAUAAAAAAUAAAAAAUUCACUUGGAUGGGUCAAAACCUGAAUUAUGCAUUUUGUGGCACUUAAAGGAUGCCAGUACUGUUUGAGCCUAAUUCAAUGGUUGGUGUAUUUCGUGGCAUUUAAAAGAUGCCAAUACCAGUUGUGGCAUACAAAACCGGCAUUUAAGCAAAAAAUGCCACAAAACAGUUGUGGCACCUGUAAUAGAGGCACUUAAAGGUGAAUGCCACUAAUAACACUUGUGGCAUUUAAUAAAUGCCACAACUUAACAAUAUCAAUGCCACUAAAAAUGCAUUUUUUUGUAGUGUUCCUACUGGCGCAACAUGAUGAAACUGUGCAUGUUUGAGCUCUUAAACAUGCCGAAAGUUCAAAGCUUUGCUCCUUUAAGGAGAGAUGAAGUAGGACUGUUUGUGGAAUCACUUAAGAAAUCAGCAGCCUCACGUGAGGUUGUGAAUGUCAGUGAGAAAAUUGGGGAUGUUGUAGAGAAUACUGUCCAUAGAAUGAUUUGGGGUAAAUUUGAUGAUAAAUUUAAUUUGGUGUAAAACAGCUUGCUCGUGACGUUUUUCUCCUCAUGGGAGUUCUUGAUCUGGGAGAUUAUAUACCUUGGGUUGGGGCCUUUGAUCUUCAGGUACUUCAACUACAACUACUACUAGAUGUUUGAAUCUACUUAUUUCCCUUCAUAAUCAUUUCUGAUACGCAAUAAACUUUUUUUCCUAGAAUCAAUUUUGCCUUUAAAUGUGAUUGAAGAACGAUUUGCAUACAUGUACUAUUGUUACUUUUGAUUGUUAAAAACCUUAAUUUAUGUGGCUAACCAAGGAGGACGAAUCAUCAGUUAGUCCCUAGUGGCAUCAUCAGUUAUGAGACUAUAUGACACACCAUGUUAUCUGCUGACGUGACAAUAUUGACAAUGAUAAAAAUCUCAAAUGUUAAUUACAAAAUGAUGAUUCGAACAUGAGAUCUUAUAGUGGUAGAUUUCUCGUGUUUGAAUCCUCACUUUGAAAGUUUUGGAAUUUUAAGUAGAAUGUUACUAUUAAAGACUAACUAAUUAUUUGUCAACCGGCUACAUGUCAUCGGUUAGCCACGUUUAUUUGCAAACACCAAUAAUACUUUGUUCACAUACCUUUUUCCAAUUUCACUUUAAUGAUAUAAGAAAAAAAGAUUGAGAAAUGAGUGAUAUAAUAAGUUUUUGUUUAUUAGUGAUAUAAUAAGUGAUGUGAAAAUAUAGAGGGAGAUAGAAAUAAGAAAAUGCUAUUGUACACGAUUAUAUUUUUUACGACAAGGCACGACUUAAUUCCCACCGUGUGAUCUUAAUCAGAUUGGGGUUUUUAUCAUCAGCCCACAAUCCUUGUUUUCCAUCAAAACGUGCAAACUACAAUCAUCUCCCGUCGUGCAUUGAAUUUGUCAUGUGAUAUAGAAAUUCUCUAGAAAUAAAUGAGUGAAAACGAGAUGAAGAAAAAAUGGAGUGUGAGUGAAUCAUUAAUCUCUAUUGCCUUUUUUUUUACAUUUAAAGACUUAUAUUAAAGAAAUUGAAAUGUCGGGAGUAAAACCAAAUAAGCAUUCCUAUUUUUAAAAACUCCUAUUUUUAAGACUUUGACCAUAUUUAAUCCUUAUUCUUAUCCUAAAAGAUUUUACAUUGUCCACUAAAUUUUACUCAAAUUUAAUCCAUAUCUCAGGGACUUGUACGAAGGUUCAAGAAAGCGCACAAGAAAUUUGACGAAGUGUUAGAGAUAAUCAUCAAAGAUCACGAGGCUUCUGCUCGCCUUACCGACCAGAAAAGCGUGCAAUCUAUUGACUUCAUUGACAUAUUGCUAUCACAUAUGCACCAAUCAAAGGAUAAACAUGCUAUUACCAAAACAAACAUCAAGGCUAUUUUGUUGGAUAUAAUUAUCGGAGCAGUUGACACAACUAUCAUGUCGGUUGAUUGGAAUAUGGCAGAACUAAUAAGGCACCCAAGGGUUAUGAAGAAACUUCAAGAUGAGUUAAAGAAUAUUGUAGUGGGUAUGGGGAGGAUGGUAGAAGAAGCUGACUUACCAAAGUUGCCAUACCUCGAUAUGGUGAUGAAAGAGACCUUUAGGUUACAUCCACCUACUCCACUCCUCCCACCUCGUGAGUGUACGGAAGAUUUUACAAUCAAUGGUUAUUUCAUUGCGAAAAAGUCACGAGUUUUAGUCAACUCUUGGACAUUAGGACGAGAUCCUAAGAUGUGGUCAGAUAAUUUUAAGGAUUUUUAUCCAGAAAGAUUUCAUAACACCGACAUAGAUUCUCAUGGGCACAAUUAUCAAUUUUCACCAUUUGGUUCCGGUCGUAGACGCUGUCCCGGGAUGCUAUUGGAUUUAACUACGGUUCCGUUUCUUCUAGCUCAGCUAGUGCAUUGCUUCAACUGGGAGCUUCCACCGGGCGUGUCUACUGAUGACAUGGACAUGACUGAGGAAUUUGGCCUUACAACGCCAAGAACUCAGAAUUUGCUAGCGAUUCCAACUUAUCGCUUAAUAAAUGAAGGUUAAUUGAAUGCAUUCAACCUCAUGAGAAAGCAGGAAGUUACUUUAAUGUGUUUUUUAAUUUAUUCCUUUCUUUGUUUUUCCUUGAAUAAGAUCUUCAUGUGCUCACAGAGCUUCUUAAUUUGCUGCACUUGGAUCGAUCAUACCUAAGAGAUUAGGAUGAUUUUAAAUUUCAGCAGUGUAAUGAUUGUAAUAUUUAAUAAUCCUGUUACUCAUGAUGGGUUUUAAUAACGUUAAGUUGGCCGCAUUCAUGUAUUUAAAAAUUGCAUUUUAUUUUCCUUUGGACAAAUCUUUCUAGCCCAAAAACCAACACAAAAACUAGUAUCAACCAACAAUUCAACACAGUUCGUAGAUAUCGGAGAUCAUUAAGCAUUCAUUCAAGGGUUCAAUUUUUGAGAAGUGUAUAUAAAGAAAGAUUUGUUAAAAAAGACUUACUCACUUAAUCUAAUCUCAAAGCUUCAAAUAUAUUAGUCUUGGUGGUGCCAACUAUCAAAUACUUAAUAAAAAAUAUAAACAACUUUUAAAUACAACAAACGAAAUGAUAACUUGAUGGUGUAUGAUGGGCAAAUAAAUAUUGAUUUUUUUAGUUAAAAGGUGUAUGAUGGGCAAAUAAAUAUUGAUUCCACAUGUCAAUUUGUUAUAUAGCAUUUUUUUUUUGAAAGCAAAAUCUUUAUUGAUAAGGAGAGGUAACCAAGAGCAAAAAGGUAGCUCAAAGAAACAGUAUAAGAUGCAUCAACAAAGUUCCACACAAAGGACUAAUAGGCAGCAAAAAGAAAAAGAGCGCAGAUGCAGAACAGGAAGCAUUACAAGGGGCAGAGAAUGAGAAAAGUAAAGGGGGCAAAGCAUUCAAGAGAGAGCAGCCUUCAAAAAAACCCCUCCAUUAUAGAAAGCCACGAGCCAAGCUUCAGUAGACCAAUCAGCUAGGAUAACAACAAGUAGGAACUAGCAAAUAACACAGCUUCAUGAUCACAGAGCAAAAUGUGCAGAUACCAGUGCAGGGAAACACUACCAAUGGCAGAGGAGCUGUAAAGAAAACAUGCAGUAAAAUAUAUAUAGUCAAAGAGUAAGGAAGAUUCAGUUCAGCUUCUCCCAGAUUGGUUCAAUUCUAUCGCACCCUGACUUUGCUAAUUCAUCGGCCUCACCAUUUGCUUCUCUAAGUGUAUGAGCCACACCCACGCAAGCUACUUCCUUCAUAAUCCAAUCUAUAGCAUUCAGAUCAUUUAUAAGCGCUAGAGGUCUAUUGGAUUUGCAACGGACCCAACCCACCGCAAGUGUAGAAUCACUUUCAACCAGAACUUGAGAGAACCCAAAUUCUUUGGAAAAAAUCAGCGCCAGAAGAAUGGCUUUUACUUCAGCUUGGUAAGCCCAAGAAACCCCCAAAGGUUUAGAAAACCUGCCCAAGACAGCGCCCUCCGCGUUUCUCAGAAUUCCACCAGCAUCGCUAAUGCCGGGGGAUCCUCUAGCAGAACCAUCAACAUUAAAUUUGAGAAUAUUAGCCUCCGGAGGGCACCAAACACAGUUUCUUAUCUUCCUCACUUUCCCCAAAGUCUUAAUGUUUUCAAAAUUUUGAGAGAAAUCAACAAUAGAGUAGGGACAACCUUUCCACCAUGCUUUUGUCCACGACAUAACCCUUAACAAGUGCAGGUCCCACACAUGCUCAUAAACAAAUUCCUUUUGGUUAAAAACCAAAUCAUUACGGGCUAACCAAAUUGACCAGACCACAGCACAUGGCACUAGUUCCCACAACACACGAUCAGAUUUAGCACGAAGGGAAGGCCAUUCCUUGAACAAGUCACCAACAGAACCCGGAACACACCAUUGAACCCCAUCUCUAGUCAAGAUGGAAGACCAGAAUCUCCAAGGUUUAGCACACCACUACAUUAGGUGAUGGACAGAUUCGAGAGCCAUCCCACAUAGAUCGCAAUAGCCACCAUUUUCAAUAACAAUACCUCUCUUUAUCAAAUUUUCCUUGACAGCCACCCGGUUUUCCAGCAUUUGCCACACAAAUAAUCCAACUUUGGGGGGGAUUAUUUUCCUGCAUUGCUUGGAAAUUAACCACGAAACCGGUCAAAAAAAUCUCAGUUCCGCAGCAGAAUACCCCUCUUUUACAGUGAAGAUGCCAUUGGGAGAGCCCGACCAAACGAUUGUGUCUUCAUCAUCACAUGGGAAGAUCAGAUUCAGGUUUGACACUAGUUCCUGGAUUCUCGGUUGUUCCCAAUCGAAAAGCCGGCGGCGGAGCCCCAAAUCCCACAACCAACGACCAUCUUGGAAGAUUCCCAAAUCCGCAACCAUAGCAUUUUUAUUUAUGGCGAGGGCAAACAAGCGGGGGUAUCUAUAUUGCAGUGGGUUAAAGUCUAGCCACGGAUCAUGCCAGAAGCGAAUAUUAUUUCCCCUUCCGACACUACAGCAGCACCCUUCUCUAAAUACUCUUGCAAAAACUGAAUCUUCAAGCAGGACCUUAAAAAUGUCCAAGAGCAUGACAGAGCAGCGAUUAAAAUUAGUUGCAGCAAGAUGUAAAAGAAGAAGUCUAUCAUCCCACCCAUAUUUCUUGCAAAUCAUCUUCCUCCAUAGAGCGUUCUUCUCUCCCCCAAAGGAAAGACCGCAUCAAUUUCUCGAGAUCGCCCACCACACCAACCGGAGCCAGAAAUAGAGACAUGUGGUAAAUUGGAAUGGCGCUUAAAACUGCUUUCAACAAGACAAGCCUUCCACUAAGGGAAAGGUACUUAGAUCCCCAAGAGCCGAGCCUUAGUCUCAUGUUUUCUAUUAGGGGUUGCCAAAAUCUUUUCCUACGGGGGUUGUCACCAAGAGGAGCUCCAAGAUAUUUGAUUGGGAGGGUACCAAUCUGCACACUAAAGACAUCCGCUGCUCGAGCCAAAUCCUCAUGAGAAAUAUUGCACCCAAAAAUCUGAGAUUUGGACAGAUUUAUCUUGAGCCCUGAGAUUGCCAAGAACACUUCUAUGGCAGCUGCAAUAGAUUCUAGAUGUGCUAUAUUAUUGUCACAUACAAUUAACGUAUCAUCCGCAAACUGAAGAUGAUUGAUCUAUAGCUCCUCCGCAACAUGAAAACCACAUGGCUCCUCAAACUCUAGGAGUUUAUUCAGCAUGCAAGAUAAACCAUUUACACAUAUAUUGAAGAGUAAUGGUGAUAGUGGGUCUCCUUGACAAAACCCUUUUUCUAUAUUAAAGAAGUCGGUGGGUGAACCGUUGACCAAAACCGCAAGAGACGUCGUUGAGACGCACUCCUCAAUCCAUUGAAUCCAUCGAUUGCCAAAGCCCAAUUCCUUCAUCAUCUCCAACAAAAACAGCCAGUCAAUAUUGUCAUAAGCCUUGGCGAAGUCCAAUUUCACAAUCAGCCCCCCCUCAGUUCGAUUUUCCAUAGAGUGAAUGAUUUCAUUAGCUAUAAAAAUGCAAUCAGCUAUUUGGCGCCCCGAUGUGAAAGCGAAUUGGUUUUCUGAAAUGAUAAGUGGCAGAACCUUUUGUAGACGGGCAGCAAGAACUUUUGAGAUGAGCUUGUAAACGCUUCCGAUUAAGCUAAUCGGGCGAAAGUCAGAGAUGAAGCUUGGAUUGACACUCUUUGGGAUGAGUGCAAUGAAAGCAGAAUUCAUGCCCCUGACAAGUUUUCCAUGAGAAUGGAAGUCUUGGAAAACUCUUAGAAUAUCACUUUUCAGAGUGUCCCAGAAUGCUUUGAAAAAAUUCAGAUUAAAGCCAUCUGGCCCCGGAGCUCUAUUUCCAUCACAAGACUGUAAAACUGCCCAUAUCUUUUCUUCCGUGAACGGUUGUUCCAACAUGGAAUUAUCAUCCACACACACCUUUGGCAAGUUAUCACUCUUGAGGCUUGCCCCCCCACCUAGGGCCCCUCUUGAAGAAAGAGUGAAAAUGGUUAAGAAUGGCCAGCUUGAUGGCAGCCGGAUCGGACAGGCAAACACCAUUAAAAAUCAGGUUAGCCAAGCUGUUUUUGGAUUCUCUAACUUUUACAGAGUUGUGAAAGUAAUGAGAGUUUUUAUCACCCAACUUUAACCAUCUCAAUCUCGAUUUCUGGAUCCAUUUGCUUUCCUCUUUUCGGUAUUCAGACCAUAACUGAUUAAGAGUUACAAAUCUACCUCUUCUUAACUCCUCUGACACACCUUCUCGCUCCAUCCGAGCCAUUGUAUUGUGAAGGUUCUCUUCAAGAGCCUUAAUUUUUUCAGAUCCCCAAACACCCCUACGGGAAUGCCAUGCUUUAAUUUCUCCUUUGAGGCCUUUUAAUUUCUCUUGGAGCAUAAAACUAGACCAGCCUUCAACUAUAGCCGAAAUCCACCACUCCUCGACUAAGUGCUUGAAGCCAUCCUCAACAAGCCAGCAAUUAUAGAAGGUAAAGGGUUUUGGGCCAAAAUUUUGAGAGCCAAGCUUUAGUAAGACAACCCUAUGAUCUGAAAUCCACCAAUCUUCUACAACCUGGGACGCCCCGUCAAAGCGCUGAAUUGCCUCUCCAUUCAACAACCACCUAUCUAGCUUGCUCCAAAGGCCACCAUUCCUUGUGCUCCCCCAAGUGGACUCCCCAUUCCACAGAGGCAGGUCUGUAAGUUCAUUUUCCUCAACAAAUUUUUUGAAUGUAGCAUCUCCCAUAGUAUUAUCAUCGCCUCCUCUUCUUUCACCAUCAUUCAAUAUGACAUUAAAAUCACCACCCAAGAUAAUUCUCCCAGUAGCCAAGCGUAAAUCAGCACUCAAGGAAUUGAAGAAAGCUGCUCUGUCGGCCGGGUUGUUCGGCCCAUACACAUUACCAAUCACGUCAAGCAAGGAGGAGUUAUCAAAAUUAACGAGCAGAAGAAGGUACCUCUGGUUCUUUAUAACUUGAACUACCUUGAAGGUGGAUUUUCUCCAAAGAGACACUAAUCCCCCAGCCACACCAAGAGCAGGAACAAAGUCAAAUUCCAUACUCAUAGAUUUGGCCCAACUCACAAUCGUCUUCUUUCUAUUUUCAUCCAUCUUUGAUUCCUGAAGCAAACACACCUCUGGUUUAAUCUUCAAAAAAUCUAUGGGUAUGGAAUUUGACUUUGUUCCUGCUCUUGGUGUGGCUGGGGGAUUAGUGUCUCUUUGGAGAAAAUCCACCUUCAAGGUAGUUCAAAUUAUAAAGAACCAGAGGUACCUUCUUCUGUUCGUUAAUUUUGAUAACUCCUCCUUGCUUGACGUGAUUGGUAAUGUGUAUGGGCCGAACAACCCGGCCGACAGAGCAGCUUUAGCUAUAUAAUAUUUUUACAAUCUAUUUAAUAUUUGAUUGGUUUUAAAAGGUGUAUGAUGGGCAAAUAAAUAUUGAUUUUUUUAGUUAACAACAUCAUUAUUAGUUUUAUUUUAAAUUUUAAAUUUUUUUAUGUUCUAAAUCAAAUAAAUAUGAUUUUUAAAAAAAUUACAGCAUCAAUAUUUUUUUAUUUUUCUGAAAAAAUAUUUUUUAUAUUGCUCUUGGCCAUGGCUUAAAGCGAAGGAGAGAGGUGGUUCGAUGAACCCAUUGGCGUGCUUAUCUCCGGUGCGUGGUGGAGUGGUGGGAUAGAAUAAGCUUGGUUGUUUGAGAAUGAAUGGAGCACGUUGCCUACUUAUCUAUGGCUUAUUAAUUUUGUUAUUUUGUUUCUUUUGUUUCUUAUCUUUUCUACAAGAUGGUUAUGCUCAAUUAUAAUUGAUAAUUGGUUGCAACUACAUUGUAACAAACUUUAUUCAUGGGUUGAAGUAACUUUCCAUGAAUUUGCUUUUCAGUUUAAAUUUCUCUUUUGAUUGGGAUUUAUCUUUGUUUUGUUACAUGAUGCACGCAAGUAGUUUUUUACUUGGAAAAGAGAAGGAGGUGAAUUGUUAGAGAUUAAUUGUUAAAUAUUUCAGGAAUGAUCGUGAUAAUAACUUGAUGAUCUAAUAGAAAAACCCUUAUCUGCACUUUCGAACGAUAAACGGGGUAUUUUCAAGCAGUCGUUGUGCCAUUAAAUCUGUCACAUGGACACUUGACACAAGCAAUCCAAGUAAGCCUAACCACCUGCAAAAUUAAACUAACUAAAUAAAUUCCAAGUUAGCUUUUUUAGUAAUACAAGAAUGUAACAAGUUGUUAAUUUUAUUUGUGCAGAUUCUAUAUGAGAAAAGAGCUAGAAAUUUUGGUUUUCUAAGUUUGUCUCCUUUGGGAUGCUUGCCAGCUCUUAGAGCACUGAACCAGGAAGCUGGGGUGGUUGUUUUGAAGCAGCUUCUGGACUUUCUCUAGCACACAAUAAUGCUUUGAGCAGUAUUCUCACAAGCCUUGAUCACAUACUUAAAGGGUUUGAGUACUGUCAUUCUAAUUUCUAUGAUUGGCUACAAGAUAGAAUAAACAACCCUGCAAAUUAUGGUAUGUAUUGCAAUUUGCAGACCACUCAUUUCCCAACCAUACCUAAACAACCAAAUAAUUUAGACACUCAACUGACAUCUCAUUUUUCACUCAGGGUGUCUGCUAAGUGUCUUCAGUGUGCUGAUGUCCAUGAAUCAUUACUCUUAAUUUCCAUACUGCCACUGUAUAUCAAUCACAAUGUAUGUUACCAAUUCAAUUUUGAUUUUCGUUGAAGGUUUUAAGGAAGGAAUUAAUGCUUGCUGUGGAAUUGGCCCAUAUGAGGGCAAUUUACUUGUGGGGGCACCAAGAAAGUUAAAGAGUAUGAUUUAUGUGACAAUAGUGGCGAGUAUGUAUGGUGAGAUUCUUUCCACCCAACGGAGAAGAUCCAUGAGCAAAGGAGAAAAAUUACACGUGUCAAUUUGUUAGAUAACAAAUUCCACGUGUCAAUUUGUUAGAUAGUUAUAUAAAUUUUUUACAAUCUAUUUAAUAUUUGAUUGUUGAUUUUAAAAGGUGUAUGAUGAGCAAUUAAAUAUUGAUUUUUUUAGUUAACACCAUCAUUAUUAGUUUUAUUUUAAAUUUUAAAUUCUUUUAUUUUCUAAAUCAAAUAGAUAUUGUUUUUUUUUUUAAAUUUGCAGCAUCAAUUUUUUUUUCCCGAAAAAAAUAUUUUUUAUUUUGUAUAUAUUUGAAGUAAUUCACAUUUUAAUUCGAAAAUAAUAAAAUUUUAAAAUUAAUAUUCCAUAUAAUUUUUAUAACAAUAUAAAAAGCACAAAAAUAUAUAAGUUUCGAAAUAUAUACAAAAUAAAAACACAUUAACUAUUUUUUUAAGGAAAAAAAACAUUUAUUAUUUUUCUAGCCAAUUAAGGAUAAAUAGAAUCAAUAAUAUGUCCAGUUCAAAAAAGAAUCAAUAAUAUGUCAAGCUAUAGAAGGGGGAAAGUAAAUAUUAAUUUUACGUUUGAAAUUCAAAUUUCAUUGAAUCUAGAAAUUUCAAAAACAUGUUAUCAUUUUCUAAAUCAAAUUGAUAUUGAAUUUUUUUAAAUUUACAACAUCAAUAUUUUUUUAUUUUGAUUUUCUCAAAAAUAAUAUUUUUUAUUUUGUAUAUACUGGAUUAAUUAUUUCCAAUGUACCAAAUAUAUUGACGUAAAAAAUAUUCAAUUUCCUGUCAAAAAAUAAUAAUUAAAAUUUCAAAUAUCAAAAGUAAAUUUUAAAAAUAAAUAAAAAUUUAUGAAAUAAUAUUACCACAAUUAAAAAUCAUUAUGAAUUAAAAAAUUCUCAAAAAUUUCGAAAAUACAAUAUAUUUCUCGAAAAUAUUAAAAUUUAAAAAAUGAUGAUGACAAUUAAAUAUAUCAAAUAAAUAUUUAUUUGAGAAAAAAAAAGAUAAAAGAUACGUUUCAAUUUUUUUUCAUCUGUUGUUUAAUAUAUUCAUAAUAAUUAAGGUAUUAAUUAACGUAUCUGUAAGACCCAAGAUUUUAAGCUUAGGAUCAGUGGAAGAGAUUUCCAUUUACGAUUAGGGUUGAUGUAUUGUGAAGGGAAACCUGAACUAGAGUUUACCAAAUGAAAUAAAUUUAUGAAGGAGAAAGUUCAGGAAAAUUCUGAGGUUCGUAUUGAAGUCGAUAAAAGUUAUAGCACGAUCGUUUUACGCUUAAACCUAGGUCAGAAACCCUAGUAUAUAGCUAAUUUUCACUUUUAGGCACGACGGAAGUUAAUUCCAAAAAUCUUCAGAGAAAUGUUAGAACUUCUCUUUUUCCAUAUAACACAAUCGUUUCGAGGCGAAACUCUAGAAUCUAAGAACGUCUGAUUCCAAUCAUCGGAAGUUUGCCGAAACCGAAUCCCUGGUAUUUCAAAACCCUAGAAUUUCUCGACAAUGAAGACUUUUUCUAUUCAGAGCUUCAAAUGAAGAUUCUACACGCGUACACCCAUUUCUCUUGAUGAUUUCAAUCUUUCUUCCGAAGGAAGUUUUCCAUUCCGACAUCCGAUGCAAAAAGCAACUUAUCGGGUAAAAUAGUUUUAUACCGACUAUGCUUUAGUUGCCAAAAAUACAAAAAGACCUCAUUUUAGUUUUGGAAUUCUUUCGCCAAAACCUAUCUUAGAAUUCCCGGAGAAUGACGCCGGAAAAAUCAGAUUCGCGAAACUUUCAUUUUCCCGCGAAUUUCCAACCUUUAUAUAUAGCAAAGAAAGGAAGAAAAACUCAAAUUUUCCUCCAUUUUCUCUCCUCAAGGCCGCGAGUUCAUCCAAGGGAGAAGGAAGAAGAAUUUUCUUCAUUACUUGCUUGAUCGUUGAUCCGUUAGUUGCUACUUCAAGGCUUCGAGGUAUAGUCGCUAAUCCUUACCUCCGAUCGCUUUUUCCAUAGCUUUUCUGUAGAGUUUUCUGAGCGGAUAGUUUAUGGGUUUUUGCAAAACUAUCAUGAAUCUUUCAUUUCUGAUUCUAAACCUCUUCUAUAUGUGCCCAAGAUCACUUCUGCCGGAUUAGAUUUUCCGUUAUGUCGCCGGAAUUCCGCCGGAAUCAAUUUUAGCCUUAAAUACCCAUUUUUGGAGUUUUUGAGGUAAAGCUUCAACCUUUAGGCUAAAAACUAUCGCCUUAGCUUAGUGUUAGUAGGAUUAGUUGUCAUAAACGUCGUUAGUAACGUCCCUGCAAAAUUUGGUUUUUGGGAUUUCAGUUUUGAAAUUUCUAAGUUAAAAAUCAUGACCAAAAUACCCCUGCGACAGUUUUUGAUCCGAUAAUUUUUCCGAGCUCAGAAUACCCUUAGUUACGGCUAAUGAAAGCAUAGGAACCAAGUUUGAUCGAAGAAAAAUCGAGCCCCACAAUUGUGAAAAGUGGCCGAGCCCUAUAGGGGAGGAAGGGGAAAAUUUCCUUUUCCGAAAACUUGUCUUUUCGCGCUAGAUUAUCGUACCUUAGAGUAUAGAUUACUUCGAGUAACCUUAGUAAGUAUCGAUAGCUUAGUUUUCGAUAGAUUCUGAUAGUAUUUCUGUGGUUUUGCUCUAAAGGUGAUUUUGAGGAAUUCCCAGAGGAGCAAGCCUUUGAUUGUGAACAAGUGUUAGGAGAUCGUCCUGGAGAAUCUACAGGUGAGGGCUUCUCACUGAAUCUCUAGUUAAUGCUUAGGGUCGAUGUUUCGACAUUGUUUACUGUUUAUGCACUGGAAUUGUGUGUGAUUGGAAAAUGUUUUCUGAGGCUUCGGCUGACAAUGUAGAUGAUUCAUCUACUGAAUGUUUUUGAGAUUGACUUACAUGCUAUGUGUUAUGUGGGUAAUCUAGGAUGUGUGGUGCAUGCUUUAUAUGCUAAGUGCUAAGUGUUUAUGAUGCGAUUUAUCGAUAUAUGACAUGUUGUUGAUUGUGAUGAAUUGAAUAUGCUCUGUACUGGAAUCUGAGUUUCUGAACGGUGAGAAAAGCGGGCAGGUCAUGCCGAUUUUAUUUUGAGAGUUUUGAGGAAGCUUGAAAGGACGAAUGAGAUUCGGGCCUUGUUAUGAUGUUUAUGGAUCGAGACAUUCUCUGGAGUCUUUGGGGAUUAGGAGAUCCCGAGAACUUAUAGGAUUUGCGAUAAGACUAAAAGGAUAAUUAUUUUGUAAAGAAAACUCAUAAGACAUUAAACAACCUCUAAAUCUUUAAGUAAUGGUAAUAAUCUCGGAAGGAAGCUUUGGAUGCAAAUCAUAGUUUUGGAAAACAAGAAGUGUCGUCGGAUCCCAGUAUUGAGAAAGUUGAGGGGCUUCGAGAAUGUAGAUGUUGUGGUGCUGUUGGAGCAGCGUUUGUUGUUGUGCUGUUGGAGCAGCUAUUGGGGUUGUGCUGUUGGAGUAGCUAUGUUGUUGGGUGUAUCUUCGACUUUGCGGCGCGAAUCCGUAUGUCCAAACCCGACGGGUUGGGCCGAUUCGGCAAUAAUUGUUGACACGCGCGAAUCCGUAUAUUCAAUCCGAUGGAUUGGAUCGAUUCGGCGGUAGUCAUUCAGGCACGCGUGAGUCCGUAUGUUCAAUCCGAUGGAUUGGAUCGAUUCAGCGAUUGCCAUUUUACCUCGCGUGAAUCCGUAUGUUCAAUCCGAGGGAUUGGAUCGAUUCAGCGACAACUUUUCGACACGCGCGGAUCCGUAUGUUCAAUCCGAUGGAUUGGAUCGAUUCGGCGAUAGUCAUUGGACACGCGCAACGUCCGUAUGUUCGACUCCUUUGAGUGAACCGACUUGGCGUUGUCAUUUGUUGCGUGUGCGAGUCCGUAUGUCCAUCCCGAUGGGUUGGAUCGACUCGACAUGCCUAAUUGUGGGAGUUGCGUGUGCGAGUCCGUAUGUUCAACCCAAGGGGUUGGAUCGACUUGACAUGCCUAAUUGUUGGGCUAUCCUGGGGAUAAGUCCGGGAAACCGGUAGUUUCCGAGUAUGUGAUACUCUUUGCUUGUUGAGCAGUUGUGACCAUCGGAUUGAGAUGAGUCGGAUGAUCCGGAGAUCAUCAUGAGUUACUAUGUUGAUGUGAAGAAGUGUCUUUUGUCGCAGAAUCGACUUUACCUUAGGGUAAGCUUUUAGAGAAUUUAAUUUACCUAGAACACGUGGCGACGUGUCGAGUGAGAGUCAGAGACGUUGUUUGACUAAUCAUCCUGCAUUCAUGCAUACUGAUUUAGUUGUCGAGUGUGAUUGUUAUUUGUUAAUCCUAUUUGGAACAUGUUAAUUGUUAUUAUUGUUGUUAAGUUCAUUAUGGAAUAUGCAACCCUAGGAUGUUAUCCCUAGCUAUAAGCCUAAGUGGCUAUUCUCUUAUCUAUAUCUAUUGGUGCUAUUAUUUAUGUAAUUCUUUGGAGUUGACCCUCGCGUCUUCUGUGUGUGCUUUGGCGGACAAACGCCCUUUGUCAGAUGUCUUUGGCGGACUGGUUCACGACGGUUCACCCUUCGGGGGAAACUAGAGUUGGGAUGCUGGAACAGGAGCGCAUCGCGAUAGCGAGCGGAGGACGGAUGGUGUACAUAGACUAGGUCGUUCUGGAUUUCGAAUUCGGACGACAAUCAUGCUAGCAUGUAGGUUUUAGUGCUGGUGUGAGCUCCUCGAGAUGGGAUUAGUGUAGGAGUAGAGUCUUAGCUCUGAACAUCAUUUGUUUUCUUUGGGGACAUGGUAGUUUCCCACCUAUAGCUUUUUGUGUGGUUCCUUUACGGGAAUCACAGAGAGUUGGUUGGACUUAAGAGGUCUUAUUUUAGGCCAUCUGGGCUGACUUAUUCUUAUUUUGAGGGACAGUGUUGCAGACACCUAGCCUUUCUUUUGGAUUAUACCUUUUGCCUACGGGCGUUCUUUUCUACUACUUUCCGUCACUGGAGGUUACUCGUGACGAGGUUGGGUACUUACAGCGGGGGUUGUAAAUAUAUAUUGUAUAAUAGUUUUAUUGCUUUUCGCAUUUGGGUUUUAUUUAAUUCAGUCUUGUCUUAGUUAUUAUAUCGAAAAAAAAUAUUCACGUUUUUCCGCAUUAGGUUUAUUUUGGUUACUAAAGUGACGCCACCGAAAUCGGGGUGUUACAGUAUCAAAUAGAAUAAACAUAUUCUCCGUACAACGCGCGGGUAAAAAAACACUAGUAAUUUUAAAAUAAUAAAUGAAGUGGCAUAUGUCAAAAUUAUCAUUUGCCAUACUAUUGCUAUUGACAGAAUGACAUGGCAUAGUCAAGGGUCCCAUAGUCAGUCCGUCCCAUGUAGCAGCAUUGCCUGCUGUUUUUAAUGUUCAAACUGUAAUUAAUUUAUAAUCAAUGUUAAUUAUUUGGUCAAAUGAUAUUCAAUUGAGAGUUAUUUAAAAAAAUUGUCAUAGCUAAGACUUGAACAUAGGACCUAAAGGGAGGAAAGCUAAUCCAAAUUGGCACUACACCACUUUGUUCUUGUUAAGAAGAAUGCAUAUUAUUUUAUAUAUAUGAUAUACUAAGGUUAUAUUUUAAAUUAUUAUAACUUUUUAAUAUAAAUCGAGUCAAACAAUUAACCCAAUGGUUGAACCAUUGACUCAUUGAUCCAGUGUCUCAACCGAAUCGAUCACCGAUCUAAGUCUGAUAACACUGGUUGGUUUAUUGGGAGCUAGGACCGCACACACAACACAAUCAUGAAUCGGAAAAGAAAAUCCAAAGAUAUUCGCACUGUUUUAUGUUGGUAUAAUGUGUGGGUGAUGCUUGAAGUCUAUUUAAAUAUUAAUGAAAGAACUUGCACAUGUUAAAAUUAUUAUGUCAGGGGUCCCCUAUUCAGUCCGCGAUAUGGGACCCCUUAUCGUUGCAUAUUGGAGUUUGGACCGCCAUAUAUAUGUGGUUUUCAGGGCAUGUUUGGAUUGGCGUUGGAGAGGCCAAACGUGCGUUGCGUUGCCGUAAACGCCGUUUUGUCGUUUCGCCAAGCCGUUUGGAUCUGCGUUUUUCUUAACGCGUUAACGCUAUUUUGCAUCAAAAUCACGUUUUUUUGGAAUCUAAAAAUUUGAGCGUUGGCGUUGGGCGUUCAGCGUUGAUGGGUGAAAAUACUCACGUUUGUUAAAAUCAUCCAAACGGUAUUCAUUAUUUUAAAAUCACGUUUGUUACAAAUCAUCCAAACAUAAAUCACGUUUACUCAAACACAAUUUUACUCAAAAUCAUUUUAACAAAAUCACGUUAAUUCAAACACCAGUUUCUAACGGGAUGCCAAACAGGCACUUUGUGUAUGUAUGUCUCUUUGUCUCUGCGUUGGGUGCUGUGAGGUAACUAGGACCACACAAUUCACAAUGAGGCUAGCUUCAAGACAAGCACUUACCAUUCCUUCCUCAAUUAUUUCAAGAGACUGUGUGCGAUGAUGAUCAAUUAAUCAACAUGGCAUGGCAUUGUCAGGAUUGGUUUCAAGCUGCUGCUUCACAUCAUGUGUCUCUGCAUUGGGGCUUAAAUGUAGUUCCAGAUUGGAGUUUCAAUCCUAUAUUAUAUAUUUUAAUUAUAAUAUAAUAUAAUACAGGAUUGUCUUUUUUUUUUUGGUCAAAAAAAUACAGGAUUGUUCGGCUAGGAAGUUUUCCUUUUAGGUCAUUUUGUUUUUGAAAGAAGAGGCCCCAAUAGGGUAGCUCAUACUUUAGCAGCUCCAAGUUUUCUGUAUCGUGAUUGUUCAUGGACUCAUGGAGUCAUGGUGGGGAGAGCCACUUGUGGAUAUUCUUGUCAGCCUUGUAGCUGAUGGUCCAGAUUUUAAUUGAAUAUAUAUAAAUGAAGGUAUAAAUGAAACUACUACGAAGUCUUGAACUUUUUAAUGUAUAUAUCAAUCAAUAUAAACCGUCGCGUUGAGUAAUUAAAAAGGUAAAGAAUUGAACCUGUAAAUUACAUUCCUGCCGCCACACGCAUGACGCAUCAGUACCUUCUACAUAUUUUUCUAAGAAUUGUAUUGACAGUUACAUUCAAUUGAUUUCCGGAAAAUCCAAAAUUAAAAUAUAUUUUUAUUUUAAGUAAAAUUAAAAUGAAUGUUACUAUUCAUCCUACAUGAAUAUUGUGAUUGCACAUCCACUAAGCUUUGUUUCUAUUAUAUUUUUCGCAUAUCUUUAAUUUUAAAAAUAGUUAUUAUUAUUUUUUUUGAAAAUGGUUAUUUUUAUUUUUAUUUUAAAAAAAUUAAUUACUUUUUAAUUUAAAAAUUAUAGUCUAUGUUUAGCACGCCUAGAUAAUAAGCUAGCUGAAAGCUAAAAUGUUAGUUAAAAGUUUAUAAGCUACUCCCUCCAUUCCUAUAUCUGUCACUAUUCUGAUUUUUUUUCUUAUUCCUAUUUAUUUGUCACUUGUAGAAUUUCAAAAGAGCAUUAAUCAUAUUUUACUAAUUCUACCAUUCAUUUAAUGGUGGAAUGAAUAUUGAAAGGUCACGAGUAAUAAGAGAUAUAUAUGGUAUAGUAGGAAGCUAUAUAUCAAUUUUAAUAAAACAAGACAAGGUUGGGAGAGAACAAAUGGUGGCAUCAUGCCAUGUUUAUAUUUUUCCCAAAAUAAAUCCAAGUUAUUUACAAAUUUAUUUUAAUUUUUGUUCCAACUCAAGAGUUAAUGCUCCUUAUUUUUCCAAAAGAAAAAGUAGAACUUUAAAUAUUAUUUCUUAAUACAUAUGUCACAACCUUAAAAUGGCAAAUAUUAAGGAAUUGAGUGAGUAGCUAAUAGCUGAACUUAUUUUUUUGUUAAUAAAAGUUGUAUGGUUCAAAAGUCCAAAUUUAAGAGAAAAUCUCGAGAUAAAACAAAAGACAAUCCAAAAACACUGAAUAUAACAACUUUGCUAGGAAUGUUUCUUCUUAUCCAGACUCUGUUUGGAUUGAGGAGGGACCUCUGGGGUUGUCUAGUCUUUUGAGGGAUGAUGUAUUGGCAUCUAUGCCGAACUCAUUUUUGAUUUAAUUUUAUUUGAUUGUUGAUUUCAAAAAAAAAAAACUACCAAGCAAUCAAGUCUAUUGAAAACCCAUUAAAGAAAGAUUCAAGUAGCAGUUGCAACAUGAGGUCUGAUAAGUCUUAUAAGACUUUUCAACUUUAAAUUAAAUAGAAUAAAAUAAAUUAAUAAAUAUUUUAAUUUAAUAAAAUAAGCUUAUAUUUUUCUAAAUGAAGAAAAUAAUUUUUAGAAUUUAUAUUAAAAAUUGAAUAGUAAUUAUUUCAAAAUAAAAUUUGUUGAGUAUCUUGUUUGAUAAAGAUUUUCUAAGUGUUGGCUGCAUUUUGUCUAAGUUGUUUGAUAUGUUAAAUGGUGUGACAAACAUUGUCUUUGUCUGUUGUGCAACCCCAUGUCCUAAGCAUCUGGUAGGACAUUGUGAUUCGGGUUGCUGGGAGAUUUUUACGUGUUUCACGUUGAGUUUUAAUUGUGAAGAUUCGUCGGUGACAUCACACGUUUUAUAAGCUGAACGUAUCUUCUGCGAUUAGAAGAAUUAACCUAUUUGGAGGAAUAGGAUUAAUUCGUGUAGACCAAGUUAAUAUGUGAAAUUGGUCUUGGUGUGCUAUUUUUGGAGGAGAUCUUUUUGAAGAUUUACUUCCAUUUUGCUACAUGGACUCUUUGAUGCUCAAGCCCAUUGAAGACACCGACGGUGGAGCAUCUACUUAAUGUGUUCAAGGAACCCUAGCUGCUGUACGAGAGAGAUUUACACAUGUGUUAGUUGUACUCAGGAUUUUCCUUGUGAGUUUUGUAAUCAACUCCACAAAACACAACCAAUUUUACCGUUUUCCUAAAACCACUUUCAAAGACCUUUCUUUUCCCAUUUCACUCGUCUUGCAUAAAAAAAAACCGUCUUCAUGAGACCGCGGUAAAGUGGAGCAGCCACGACACAAAGUUCCUUACCUUAGCUGGAUCUCGCUGGUGGACUUAGAAUAAAGUUUGCAAAAUCUCAACCCGAAGAACAUCACAUGGCUGAAACUUCAAACAUCGAAGAUAGGAUUUUUCUCACUCAAAACUUAUAAAAACCAAACCUUUACUAUCAAGCAUUUCAAACUAGCUUUUAAAAAUGUUUCGUGCUAAGGUCCUACCAGAUCUAAAGGAAUAUUCUAGCAAACUCUAGCAGAGCACAAAUAAGGAAAGAUGAUGAAAUAAAAGUGUACAAUAUCAUUAAUGAGUAAAAUUCUAGUGAGAACAAUAGAGAACCCCCCAUUUUAUAGAGGGUGGAUUUGUAACCGUACCCUAUGGAAUUUGGGGAAUUAGACCUUAAAUCCAAGGCCCAACUCCCAAUACAAGUAAAUAAAACAAGCCCAAAUCCAACACCUGGGCAGGCGACUCUCCCUGCCUAGCUGAGACCGUCUUCCUUUGGCGGUCAUGUCCUUGUCUGAGAGCCCGCACACGAUUUGACCUAGAGUCCUUAUCUUAUGUCUUGCUUAUGUCUCUGGCGGGUCUCAUACUCGCGAGGGACUCACCCAGUCAAUGUUCCGUGUUAAGGUCUUACUAGCUAGAUCUAAAGGAAUAAAAGUGUACUAUGUCAUUAAUGAGUAAAAAACUAGUGAGUACAACAGAGGACCCCCUUUUAUAGAGGGUGAAUCUGUAACUCUAUGGAAUUUGGGGAAUUGGGCCUUACAUCCAAGGCUCAAUUCCCAAUACAAGUAAGUAAAACAAGCCCAAAUCCAAGACUUGAAUUUAUAUAUGGUAUUCAUCUGAUGGUCUACUAUCAUUAAGUGGUUUACCCAAUAUUUUUCUUUAAAAAACGUCAACAACAUUCUUUUAAAUAUAUUUUGUGACAGUUACGUUCGAGAAUGACUGCCAGGUUCUAGACAGUACAUGGGUCUCAAAACAUAAUGAUCCUUCAUAUUUAUCUUCCAUUAUUAGAAAUUGCUUGUUUUCGUCUUCUGGUUUUAACCCUUGUAGUUUUUGUUUAUGUUAAGAGUCAAUGUAACGUUGUAGCUGAUUAUCUUGUUAAAAAAGUUUUAUCUUCAAAAAAUUUGUGCGGCUUGAAGACUAUCCGACAGAUUUGUUACCCUUACUUAUCAUGAAUGUACCGUUUUCUUUUGUAACAAAGUUUUUAUUAUUUUCUAAAAUUUAUAUAGGUGAUAAAAAAAAUAUGAAUUAGUGGGUCUAGAUUUUUUAACACACAUACGAAAUUAUCUAUUAAGUAUAAUAUAUUCCUCCGCUAAGGAGAAAUUAAACUAGCGUGAAAUACUGGAAUGUGUCAUUUGAUUCAUUUCACACUCUUUUUAAAAUUGUUACUCAUUCACACUUCAUUUUUUUUUAUUAAUUUUAUUCAAUUACUUUUUCUUUAUAUUGAUGUUUUUAUCACAUAAUCUAUUAUCUCUCUCGUACUCUUAUAUCUAUCCAUAUUUGUGAAUGACUUAUUUAUUACCUCUUAUAGCAAACUUGUAUAAUAUGAGAGGCCUAUUUAAUUAAAGAACAAUAUUCACCAUUUAACUCGUACAUUCAAAGUAAAAGAACUCGCACAUGUCAAAAUUAUCAUGUCAGGGGUUCCUAUAGUCCGGGAUUUGGGUUUGGCGCCCCACCCUUUAGGCCCCACGCCCCAGCCUUUUUUUUUAUCUCAAAAGUACCCAUUGAUAAAUGAUUAACCGAUAUAAAUAUAGACAUCGGUUAAUUAUUAACCGUUAUUUUUCCUCUGUAUGAACACCUUCAUCCCAUUACCAGAACACGAAGAACAAUAUCGGUUAAUCAUUAACCGAUGUCUAUAUUUAUAUCGGUUAAUCAUUUACCGUUAUGAUUUCUGGCAGUUUGAUCACAUUAUCACCAUUACUCCUCCCUCCACCAACCCCUCCACCAUUACUCCUCCCUCCACCUGCCCCCCAUAACUCGCCCACACAACCUUAUUCCACCAUUACUCCACUCCUCCCUCACAUUUCACAUUCCCACCACCACUACCAUCUCCACAUUUUCCACCACCACCACCACCAACACCACCUCCACCAAGGGGAAGCUCUAAACUCCCGGUAAGUGUUGUUAGCUUUUCGGUUUUAUCUCAGUAGUUAGUUGUUAGUUUAAGUAGUUAGUUGUUAGUUUAAGUAGUUAGUUUAGUUAGUUAAGUUGGUAAUUUAGGCUGCUGUAUCGUGAACUGCAUCGGUAAAUGAAUUUCCGUUAAUGGAUCGGAUUAUGAUAUUCCAUUAUAGUACCGGAUUUUGAUUUGCCGUUAAUGUGUCGGAUAUUGAUUUACCGUUUUGGCUCCAGGGAUGACAGAGUCCUUUUUUUUUGGUGAAUCACAAUUGAUACAUGCUGCUAGAUUGGAAAAUGAUAAUCCAGAGGAGCAACCAUCACUAGUUGAACCUCCGAUUAUAUCUAUAGAUGUCUCUCAUUUGUAUCAUACAGAUCAGGUACUCAUUGCACAAAUUUUUGCAUGUUUUGUUUAUGCUUUGUUUAUGCCUUAUUUUAUGCCUUAUGCCUUGUUUAUCCUGAAAUAGUGUUUCCCUUUGAAAGAUGAUCUUAUGAAAUGGGUUCGCGACAUUUCUAUGGCAAAUAAUUUUGUUUUGGUGACAACAAAGUCUGAUAGUGGUGCGAAGGGAAGAAAAGAAUAUGUCAUUCUGGGGUGUGAGAAGCAUAGUGUGUAUAUUCCCUACAGAGAUCCUGAUCUUGUUGAAGGAACGUCAACACAAAAGGCAGGUUGUCCUUUUAGGCUAAAAGGACGACGUACGAAAGAUGGUAAAGGAUGGUGGUUGAAGGUGAUGGAGGGUAGACACAUCCAUCUCGCAACUGAGUCACUACUUGGCCACAAUUACGCUGGUCGACUGAAUAGUGAGGAGAAGGAGGACGUGAUAAAUCAGGCUAAGACUUGGGUUCCACCUAGAAAGAUGUUGGCGUCCUUGAAAGAAAAAGAUCCUUCAAACUUGACUACCAUCCAACAAAUUUAUGGUGUUUGCAAGCAGUUCAGACAAUCCGUUCGUGGGUCACUGACAAAGAUGCAAUACUUGCUGAAGAAGUUGGACGGUGAGAAGUAUGUUCACUUCGAAAGAAAUGAACCAGGAUCGGAAGUGAUUAGAGAUAUAUUUUGGGCUCAUCCGAAUGCCGUCAAAAUUUUCAACACAUUCCCAUAUGUAGUGAUCAUGGAUUGCACAUACAAGACCAGCAAAUACAAACUACCCUUGCUCGAGAUUGUUGGCCUGACCUCCACAGAUAAAACAUACUCAAUAGCAUUCUGUUACAUUGGCAGUG